Molecule: long non-coding RNA, 116275 nt
Filed under: Coffea arabica (coffee)
Lineage: Eukaryota; Viridiplantae; Streptophyta; Magnoliopsida; Gentianales; Rubiaceae
Description: long non-coding RNA (CARA_LNC004647)
Source: RNAcentral
AAUCCACUGGAAUUCCGACCUGAGAGAUUCCUGGAGGAAGAUGUUGACAUCAAGGGCCACGAUUAUCGGCUCCUGCCUUUUGGUGCUGGAAGGAGGAUCUGCCCUGGUGCACAACUUGCACUCAAUCUGGUCACUUCUAUGCUGGGGCAUUUGUUGCACCACUUUACUUGGUCUCCACCACCUGGGGUCAGCCCUGAAGAGAUUGACCUGGAAGAGAGCCCUGGAACAGUUACUUAUAUGAGAACCCCUUUGCAAGCUGUUGCAACACCAAGAUUGCCUGCACAUUUGUACAAUCGUGUGCCAGUAGAGCUGUAAUGCUUCCUUUCUCUUGUUACUAAAUUUUCAGCUUGCAAGAGUUGCUUCACUUCCAACUCUCCAUUUGAUUGUGAAGAACUUGUUGGAUUCUACGAGGUAUUUGUGGAAAGCUAUUAUUUUUCUAGAAAAAAUAAAGUAAGGGUUCUCUAUGAUUUAAAGAGAUUUUCUUUUAUUGUCAAACUUUACCACAAUUUAGUUUGAUCUCAAACUUUUUGAAGUGUAGUAUGUUGAUCUUGAAAUAUAUAUCAGCAUUUGCUAUGGACAUCAUCAUGCCCAAACUCACACAGGCAGUGACUUUUACCCCAUUAAACAGCAAAACAAACUUGGCAAAACAGUUUAAAUUGUUGGAUGCUAGUGAAAAUUGUGAUGUGAUGAUAACCUUUUCCCACAAAGAAUUCUUGCCAAUAUGUUGCUUUACGGAAAGUAAAAUUACUCCUCAGGAAGUCAGUUGCCUUUUGAAGGCAAAAGCACCUUUAUCCCUUUCCGGUCUCUGAUAUACCAACUGGCCCGAAAUCCCACCAUAUGUGCUAGCAAACUAAUUUAUUAGAAUUAGAAACCAAACCCACAUGGUGCUAUACUGAAGCUAUUCAGCUUAAAUACAAGAGAUUUACAUUAAAUCAACUGAGAAACAUCAUUCUCAUACUACAGUAUUAUGCGUACACAUACACAGUAAAUAUGUUGUGCCAUAUUCCUGCUAAACACAGAUUUAACUGAUCGCAUAUUCUAAAACUAGCAAGUUUUUUAGCUAUCUUAUUCUAUAUUAUCAUCCCUCAACAACUAACCAUAUUAGGCAGCAUAUAUCAACAUAACUAUAAGUUGCAGAAAUUUUGACACCAUUAAACACUAUAGGCUCCAAAUUGAAGAAAAUAAACUUUGCAUCAACAGUUUGCAAGUUCUCUGAUGCUCCUGUUGAAACACAGGACUCGAUCAAACUUUAUGGCUUUUUCAAAUGACCUGAAAAUAUAAAGAAGCAACUAACGUCAAAUUUAAUCAGGACAUUGGCAUGUAAAUCUUAACUAAGAUAGAGGAGGAGGAACAAAAAAAAAAAAAGCAUUAUCACAACUAUCAAGAGCAGUUCACAUCGUAAGAGCUUAAAAGAAUAAUGAGAGGAAUAAGUUGCAACCUUGGCCUUAGCUAAAAGAUUGCUACAUGUCAUAUGGUAUUAAUGACAUGUAAGAGCUUGAAAGUAUUAGGCAACUACAUCAUGGCCUCGAGGAAAAAAGUGCUGCAUCUAAUAUACUCCAGCAUCAUAUAUUGGCAAUCUCUGCCAUCUCAUCUGAGGUUAUCCAUAGAACAGAAAAGCUUAUCGAAGUUUUAAUGUUAUUUACCCCCACCUCCUCCUUUUAUCCCAAUUGAUCUGAUACACAUUAAGAAAUGCACAUACUAUCAAGAGGCCAAAGCUUAUAUCAGUAUAUAAUGCCGUGGUAGAAUGCAUUGGUUUCAGAGGUCAUCCAAAAUAAGAAAGUCCAAUAUAAACUACACCUCAAAACAAUGUUCACCACCAGUUCUGCUUGGGCUGGUGACUAGGCUGGGAAGAAACCAUAACUUGUAGCUGCUACAGCCCAAACCUCAUAUGUGUUUUAGGAAAAAUAAAAAAAAGGGGUUCUAUGCACUUGAUACUAUGUAUAAGCAGGUGGGACCUAACUACGUAAUAAUAGUUCCUAAGCUAUCAUAGAUAAUUGUUUAAGGCCCAAUAUACUGACAAGUUCUAAGCUAUCACAAAAGAAUUGCUGCAGCUCCUUGUAAAAUUACAAAUGAAUUCUAAAACUGGAUUUAGCACAGACCUGCUAAUAUGCUUAAAGGAAACCAUUUAAAAGAUGGUACAUUACACUUCUGUGAGGAAGGGAGCCAAAGGCCAAAUGAACUAGGAAAAUAUGUUUGUUGAAAAGGCUACACGAUGAUGGCAUGAUUAACAAGCUGUCUUAUCUGAAUGCUUAAAAUGCCCCUAACAAACUCAUGUUCAAAAAGAGCAUUAUAAGAAACAGCAUCAAGCUGUUUACUUAUCCAAAGACAAAAGCAUGGAACCCUCCAGUGAAGGAAGCAUACAUAAGUUAGGCAAUUAAGUUUUGAAUAACAUAGAUUCAUCUCAUCUGAAUGCUUCAACAAUUUGAAAUCUAAACGUAGCUACAAUGGAAAGGGUGUAAAAGUUGCUUACAGCCGUAAUCAGGGAAUACAUAACAACCAAAAUCAUACUCAGGAAAUUGCCCAAUAUUCAAAGGAACCAACUAAAUGCCUUUUUCUUUUUCUUCCUUAAACUUGCUCCAUUUAUUUUCCUUCUCUCCUCAAAUCACCAAAUCUUUUUAUGGAGUACAAUAUAAAAUAUUAUCAACCGCGAAACGAACUUAGCAUCCAACUAAAGCAUAGUAGCUUAAUGCUGAGACAAGAAUCUGGUCCUAUUGAGUCCACCACAUCGUCCUAGUAGUUCUUUACCCAAAUCAUCCCAUUGAUUUUCCACUUACCCAUAUACAAAAAAUCAAGAGGUCAUUAUAUAUUGCUCAGCAAAUAAAGUUAAAUGGAUAAUGUAACAUGAUCCAGUUAAACAAUCUAAGACACCAAAGUAUUAACUUAAUACAUGACCAUGUUAAAGAACAACUCUCAGAGCAGUGACGGAGCCAGGAUUUUUUUGUUGGGGGGGCCAAAAUUUUUUCCUAAUAAAAUUAUUUUAAUAUAUUAUGUUCAAAAUAAUUUUCUUCUAUUUAAAUAUAUGACAUCUAAUAAUAUCAAAUAUUAAAUUUAAUUAUAAAGAUAUAUCUAUUCAUAAAUAUGUGGUACAAUCAUAACAAAAAUUAACAAAAAAAAACCUUUGAUUAAAUAUCUUAUAACAUUACAAACCAUCCAAUUUGCACAUCAUGAAAAAAUGCUCUCCAAUAUGUCACCUAUGCAAUAGAUAUAUAUAUAACCAUGUAAUAUAAAUGUAACUAUUUUCAAUUGAAAAAGAUAAAAAUUAUAUUAACAUACUUUGAAAUUUCAACAUCUUUUCUUAGAAGUAAAUUGAGCUCUACGUUCUUUCAUAGAACUAAAUUCAUCUAUGAUUGAAUCACUGCUAAAUUUUUCAGCAACUUCCUUUUCUAUAUACACAGUUAAACAAUCAUUCAAGAAAUUAUCUUCCAUCUUGUUUCGGAGCUUUGUCUUGAUUAUUUUCAUAAUUGAAAAUGCCCGCUCUGUAGUUGCAGUUGAUACAGGAAGAGUAAGAACAAGUCUAAUCAAUCUGUCAAUAAGAGGAUACAUCACUGAUUUUCUUGUCUUCACCAAGCCUUGACAUAACUCAUGAAUACCAGAUAAUUCUUGCAAUUCAGGAUGAUUUGGAAUGUCAAGCUCAAAAUGUUGAAGUUCUAUUCUUAGACGUACUAGUUCUUGCUCCAUAAAAUCAUUCGGAUAGAACUUCUCUGCAAGUUUACAAAUAUCAUCAAUCUUGAACAGCAUAAAUCCAUUUCUAGGAUCUAAAGCAGUGCUCAAAACAAGCAAUUCCACGGUAUGAUCAUUAAACCUGCUAUGUAACUCUUGCAAUUGAUAAUCAAUUGUUGCAAUAAAUAUAUCCACUCGAUAAUAAUGCUCCACACUAAUCUCAUCAUGAUGACCACGAGAUCUACCACGUCUUGCAAUAUAUUGAGCAUUCAUAUCCGGGAUAUCAAUUUGAUGUUGCUCACAAAAUAAUUUAACUUUCACCAAGAAAUCAUUCCAUCCCGAAUCUCGAAAAUUCUUCAGUAGCUUUGUUGUGCUUGAGACAAGAUGCAUUCCAUUCAAAAUAUCUUGAGAUUUACGUUGCAAUGCCAUACAAAGAUGAUGAGUGAUUUCCAUAAUGUCUUUCAUAAGAUGCAAUGUGAAAACAAAUCCAAAGGAUAACAACUGAUUCAAAGCAAAAUUAGCAUCUCCACGUUGAGAGUAUGAACCUCCAUCUGCUGCAAUGUUACUUAAAACCACACAAGUAGCAUUGAACAUUUUCAGUAAACUAGAAAUAGAAUCCAAAUGAGAACCCCAACGAGUAUCUCCAGCUCGUUUUAAAGUGCCAAUUUGAUUAAGCCCCCUUCCAGUUUCAAGUUCACCAUUAGCAAUCUUAGUAGCAAUUUUAAUUGCUUGAGCCUCCUUUAAUUCAUCAUUACGUUUGCUAGAUGCAGUAACAAUGUUGAUAAUGAAAACUAAAUUGGAGAAGAAUUGGUGAACAGAAGCUACUUCUCUAGAAGCUGCAACUAAAGCAAGUUGAAGCCUAUGGGCCAAACAAUGAAUGUAAUAGGCAUAUGGACAUUCAUGGCAAAUUAAAGCUUGCAAGCCAUUCCAUUCACCUCUCAUAUUACUAGCUCCAUCAUACCCUUGUCCACGGAUGUUAUGAAUGGCCAAAUUAUGUUGAGAGAGAGUAGAAAAAAUAGCUUCCUUCAAAGUUAAAGCCAUAGUAUCACGGACAUGAAUAACACCAAAAAAUCGUUCACAAAUGCAUCCUUCCUUAUCUACAUAUCUCAAAACAAGAGCCAUUUGCUCUCUUUUGGACUCAUCACGAGCUUCAUCAACUAUAAUGCAAAAUUUUGAAUUUCCAAUCUCUUGGCAAAUUUCUUUUCUAACCUUAUUGGAAAAUAUAUAAAGAAUCUCCUUUUGAAUUUCAGGAGAUGUAUAGGAGGCAUUGGAUGGAGCAUUUUCUUGAACAACACUUGCAACCUAUCCAUUAAUAGAGCAUAAUUAUAAUUUUAUAAAGAUAAUAACUAAAUGGAAGCAUAUUAUGAAUUAAAAAGAUUUCUUUCAAGCAUGCAUAUUAUAUAAAUUCAAGAAAGAAUGCAAAGCUGGAAGAAAAUCACUCUUACCUUAUCAUUAUAAGAAGCCAACAACUUAAUAAGUUGAUGAAAGUUUCCACGAUUAAGAGAUUUUUCACUCUCAUCUCGUCCUCGAAAGGCACAACCUUGAAAUGCAAGCCAUCGAACUACAUCAAUUGAAACUUGAAGCCUUAAUCGAUUAAUCUCAACUUGCUCAAAACUUUGUUUCUCAAUGAAAGUUCCAAUGUGUUGAGAAGCAUUCAUCAAAUCAUUGCAGGCUUUUACAGCAAUUCUAUGAAAUGAGUUAGGAUUUUUCCCCACAUGUCGUAAGAAAGCACAAUUAUCUCCAUUAUUGACCUUCUUCCAAUUCUUAAAGCCACCAAGAACAAAUGCACUUAAUUCAACUCGUCCAUUCGGCUUACUAAAUAGAUAGCAUGAAAGACAAAAAGUAGCAUCAAUUGAUGGAGAAUAUUCAAGCCAAGAUGGAAACAAUUCAAACCAAGAGCUACAAAAAUGACGAGCAUGUUUCUUUGAACCACUUGAAGGGUAAUUUUCAUGCUUAACUUGAUAUGGCCCCCAAUUGAUAUAAGCUCGACGAAUUUCAUCUUGUUGAUUAAGAGGAUAGCUCCAUAUAGGUGGACGUUUUCCGGGAUCACGCUCCAAAGAAGCAAUAUCAAUCUUUUCAAGUUCAACUCUUUGAAUUUUUUUGGGAGGUUCAACAACCAAACUCUCACUAAGAAUAGAUGAUGGAGUAGCAUCACUCUCCUUGUGCUUUUGAUCUUCAAUAAUUUUUCUUUUAAAAAAUGCAUCAAUUGUUGUUGACUUAACCAUGGAGAAUAAAUUUCAAACCUGAAUUUAAUUCACACUUCAUAAGUUAUAUACAACUCUAGCAAAUUAUCAUAAUAAAUUAUACGUAUGCCAAAUUAAUAUUAUAUAUGCAUUAUAUUAGUAUUUCUUUGAACCACAAAUAGAGUAUGGAACCACAAUUUUAAAUGAUACACACUUAUUAAACAAUAAAAUACUUUAUACAUGUCAAAUUAUAUUUCUUGAGAAAAAUAUACUACCAAUAUAGUAUAAUAUCACAAUUUUGAUACUAGAAAUGUAUUUUACAGGAGCAUAAGAUAAUUGGAAAGAGGAAAAGAUUAAAUUUCAUAAUAAAUUAAUUAUAAAAGGAAAAGGUUUAGUACAGGCACCAGAGAAUGGAGCCAGCCACUUCACUUCAAGUUAUUGGAUUCUACUUUCUAGCACCAAGUGACCAAGCCACGGAAGCCACCAAUGACCAAACGGUCCAAACCAAUCAUGGUGUGAAUCACCCUUGAAUUUUGAUGAAUCUUCUUUGAAUCUUUGUUGUAUUCUUCUCCAGACUCCAGUUCUCCUGUCUUCUUGCUCUUUUCACUUUACUUUUGUGUCUACCCACAAUCAAGUGCCACCGUGAAAGAAAGAAAGAAAUGAAAAGUCACCCUCUGACCCACACUUCCUUUUUGAUCCGCAUAUCAGAAAAGUGGGCAAAUAGCUUCCUUUGUAAGCUUUUCUUAGAAUACUAAAGAUAAAAUAAUUUUUUUUAAAUCUUUUAUCCAUUGGGCUAAGUUAUAUAUAGUUGUAUAUGGGCCAAUAAAAUAAUUAUUUUUGUUUUAGCCCAUUAACAAUUAUGAAUUGGGUCAUGAUAUAAACUCUCAUAAUAUAAACUAAAAUUGUAAAAAUUUAGGGGGGGCCAAUUUUAUUUUACACACAAAUUUACAUAUUAUGAAUUAAAAUUUUCAAAACUUAGGGGGGGCCAUGGCCCCCCUCUGCCCCCCCUUGGCUCCGUCAUUGUCUCAGAGAAUUUAUAUAAACUGUGAAUAGUGGUCAAGAACUUAUUUUAGGCCUUGGGUCGCAAGUAAAACAGACCAAAAACAUAUGUCACAGUGAAUGAUUAAGUUCCAACAUCUAUGUGGAAGGAUGUAUCAAAAACAAAAACAUUUACAGAAUCAAACUAAAAAGCAUUAGGACCUCAUAAGUGAUGAAAAGCAGCUUGGUAAUUGACCAAUGAAAUAGCGUCAAUUGGACAAAUAAGAACAUUACAAUAUUAUUUACAUUGUAUAUAAUGUGGAAUUAGUGGGCUUCACAAUCUUAUUUGGAGCAUCUUCAUUGGCCAAUGACCAACUGCUAGGCUUGCCAAGUAGUAGGUCCGCCCACAAUAAAAUUUCCAAGUAUUAUUCACUUGAUGAGAACUUUUACUAAGAAGAUAUUUCCAAGAAAAGGUGCUGAGCACGAAAAAGCUUCAUUUUGGACAAGUCCACUUCAGUGCAAUAGUCAACUGUAACUUUUUAAGAAGGAACUCAACACAUCAGAAGUAAUUGAAUAUCUUGGUUACUAUGCAGUUAUUCAACACAUUGUAACCUAGAAAACAAGACAAGAACCAUCUUGAUGAUACUUUUGAUGACAUGAUUCUCUUCAAGUUUGUGAUACAGAGGCGAAAUUAGAUAGAACAUGGCUAUAUCCUAUUCCGCAUCAACAUGUCCAAACUCAUAGUCAUGUAAAGAAUUCUUGGUUUAGAUUGUUUAAAGGUCAACAACAUGCAGCUAACAACCAUCUCAAACAAUUCACAUUCUUUUCUUGCCCAAUUCCCCAAUCUCAAAUUCAAACAACUACUCACUAGAUAGUUUAAUCUUCCACAACCAGGUUCAACAUAAAUUACCUAAUCUUAUCUCAAUCUUAAGAUCUCCUACAAGAACUUUGAGUGAUGAAAAUUAAAACAAAAUGAAUCUUCAGCGAGAAUUUAUAUGAUCAGAAAAAGCUCCAAGAUAUGCUAUUUGAGGUUAAUGUUUGCUCACAAGUUUAAUUUAAGAAACAUAUCUAACCUUGGUUAAGACCAAGGUCCGAAGUAGUGAAUGAAGGGAUGUCUCUAGUGUGCCUAAAUUCCUCCAAUUUCUUGAAGUUCAUCCACGGCUUCACCCAAACUUUUGCUUCAUAUAUCUGUUUCUUCCCAGCAUCAAUUGCCUCCAGAGUAAGAUGAUACAACUUACCAGCAACCACCUGUUCUUUGGCUUUGAUCACCCUUCCAAACUCAAGAAGCGCGUUCUAUGUCCAGAAAAAGGAAAUACAGUAAAUUACAUAUAAUCCAAAUUCCAAAAACAGUAGCUGAAGAAAGGACAUUAACAAACGCUGUCCAGGAAUUGUUUCCACAUUAAUUCAUUCUUCUUUUUUCUUCUUCUCUUGUUUUUUUUUUUUUUUUUUAAAUAUAAAAGCUCAUCAACAUGCAUCCGUUAUUUUAGAAAAAUCUGCAAUAUUAACCUCAGAAGACAACCAUCUAAAACUUACAUAAAUUUAUUUUCCCUGAAACCAUCAACUAAGGGUUUCUUUCAUCAAAAAAAUUGGGAAAUCCCUAGCUAAUCAUUCCCUAAAGCCACAUAAUUUAACAGAAAAAAUGCACACCCAAAAAACCCUUAAAAAGAAUUUGAACUCCGGGAUUCCCACCUCUUCUAAUCGAAUUAAAAAUCAAUAAUCAAGAUUUUUUUUCCAAAAUAAGAAAAAGGGCCAGUAAACAAAUAGCCAAAUCAAGAACCAAGAGAAAGAAAACAGCGAUUAAUGAAUACAGACCUCUUUCUUGUUGUGUUCUUGAACAGCAAAACGACCAAUGCUUUCAAUUUCUCCAUUGUUCUGAUCUCCUCGGUAGCCAUGGCUUCCCCCAAGAACACUUCCACUCUCCUUCAUCUUUAUGAACCCUUUUUCCUCACACGAUUCAGAAAUCACAGAGACCGCGCCGAAAAGACAAAGAAAGCAAAGAAGACUAGUACCAGUGCUGAUCUUCAUAGUUAUAGCUUUGAUUUGAACUAUUUCUGCGAUUCCUUGGUUUUAAUUUAAGGCUGUUUUUGGGUUUCUAGCGGAAUCCGAUGCAUUUAUUCUCGUUUUUGCUUUGCGGGUAAGAAAUUUUGGUGCGAAAGUUUGUUGGAUGACGUAACCUUUUCGGGUAUUCGCCGUGGGACGAGACACGUGCAAUGAUCUGCUGGAACUGGUCGGUUUGACCCGGUUAUGCGAUGAUUAAUAUAUUUUUUUUAUUAGAAUAAUGUUUUAUGGGUGCCCAUAACAUUAAUUAGGAAAAGUAAAUAAAUAUAAGUAAAAAUAGAUAAAUUAAAUAGAAAAUGUAUAUAAAUGUACAAGAGGGUAAUAAUUAUUAGUAUGUGUGCAUAUAUCGUAAGUUAGUUGAAUUUUAAGUAUAUAAAUGAAAAGCCAAUAAGCAUCUGUUAGAAAAAAUCUUUUUAUUAUUUACGCUAUUACUUCCUCAUCCUUCUUAUUGAGAAAUUAAUUUGGGAGUAUGAUAUCUACAAGGAAAGAUAAAAUCUAGUUAACGGGAACUUUUUUGAUCCCGUUUAAGGAUCAUUUCAACUUGUACAUCUCGAUAAAAAUAAUAAUGGUUUGAAUUUUAAAUCUUUAAAAUUGUUGGAACUUAAGGGCCAAUAACACUUUUUUUUCCUAUCUAAUUUUAAAAUUAACUUAGGAGUAUGACAUUCAAUAAGAACUGUAGAAUCUCCUUAAAAAUAAUCCAAUAAGAUCGUAAAGUUCUUCAAUGUUCUUUCAACAAUAUGACAUGGAUCAAAGGAGACUAUUGGACUUGCCUUGUAGUUAGUUCACCAUGAGCUAAAAUUUCAUUUAUAGCAUUUCUCAAAAAAAUAAAUACGAGCUUGUGACUUGUGCAUUCCUAUUUUUCCAGAUUUACUAAUUUAGUCACCCUGAAAAAUCCCGAUUGGUUUUAUUGGUUUUGUGUGAAUUCAUUUAGGUGGAUUUUUGAUGGACAUAGGCCCUAAUUCUUCACCGAAAUUCCCAGCUGUGUUUGGACUGGGGAACCUGAGUGGAUUUAGAUUUAAAACCCUUUACCAAAUUCCCUUAUAUGUUUGAAUGAAGUAAAAGAGAUGGGUUUGAAAUGCAUCAUUUAAUGGAAGGAUUAGUCUGGCUAUAACUAAUGAAUUUUAAAGAAUAAAUAUUGCAUGCACCGUUAGUUUAUACACUAUGAUGGUUAGAUGAAUCCAACAUAUGUAAAAUUUUGAUUUAAUUUAUCAUCUUAGCUAAGCCAUAGCUAAUUUCAUAAUGCACGUGAUACUUGCUUUUACCAGUGCACCAACCAUACCUAUAACUAUCAUUCACCUAUAUUUCAUGAUGAAGAAACUAGUUAUAGAUUCAUUAAAUUCUAUGAAAUUAUAAGGUUAAAAUGAUAAAGGUAAUUCCCUACUUUCGUGAGAAUAGUCUCUAUAUUCAACACUUCCAUGAACUAGUAUAAUAUCAUAAUUUUCAUUGAUGAUACAACACCUUUAGAACUAUAAUUUAUGUAUCUAUUGCACAUAUACAUUUAAAUGGACUAUAAAUUCAAAUUGUAAAUUGUGCACAUAUUUGUAUUUUCUCAUGGACUUGAUUUAAAAUAUUGCUUUAAAUAAGAACUUCUAACCAAUCUUGCUUUAAAUAUAUUACUAUUUUCAUCAAGCAACUUUACAUUUCCUAUCCACAUAUUGAUGCCAAUCUAAUAACAAUCUAUCUUUAAUUUAUCUUUGUUAAUCUGGGCAACUUGAUGCACAGAGUCGGCCAUAGAAAUUAGUUUACUAUAAAUUUACAUUUGAAGCAGAGACAACUAAAUUUUGCUUCUUGUAUAUCAACAGUUUACAAUCUUUAGUCUCCUUAUAAUACUUUUACUUUUGUAUACAAUUUUACAAAUUUAUCACUCUUAUUUUUAAACAAAAUUUUCCUUAAGAAAGUUUACAACAAUUAUGAAGUAGCUACUAUAUUGCUCAUAUUCAUUAUAUAUUCAUUUUGACCAAUGGAAAUUUUAUUCUUGACUCAAUAUUUUUUGGUUUCAUAAACAUAUAUUAGUUUUAUUUUUUGUCAUUUAGUGCCUUUUGACUAAUGAAUUAAUAUCACUCGUCAAAUAUAUCCAUAGGAAUACAUAUAAUAAUUAAUGUCCAUAUAUAUUUUACUGUGUUUUUUUUAAGUGGGAGGUUUUGAAUCUAUAACCUCCCAUUUAUAUUCUCUCCCACCUUAUCAUUCAACCAAAUCCUUUGCCCCAUUUUACUGUGUUGUUUAUUUGUAGUUCAAUGUAAAUUUUCUCUUUUUUAUUUUUAUUUUUUCCUACUAAGGGAGGAGUGGGACUUAAGAAGCAGGGAGGGAACGGGGAGAUUUACAAUGUAAAUUUUCUGGUUACUUUUUAGAAGAUAUAAACUUUUCGGUAUAUCAAGUGUACGGGUUUUAUAAUAUAUACCACAUGAAUCAAUCAAUCAAGCAUCUUAAUUAAUAUGCUUUGCAACAAAACACAAUGAUGGAACCAAAGAUUUGAAUUGUUAAAAGAAUCCUUGUUGCAAAUUGUGGGGUGCAAUUGCAAUAUAAAUUUAUCGUAACUAUUCAAAAAUUUGGUAUAUUUUGACAAUAAAUGGUAUCAUCAUUAUCAAUCAAGGAAUGGAUUUUAUACCUUAACUUUGAGUCAAAAAUGUUCUUGGACUUUAGAUCAAGCCAAUCCCUUUUGUCAAAAAGUCAAUAUCCACUAAUUUGGUUCUUACGGGAUUUUUCAUCUUCUUUUGGGGGGAUUGGUACUUGUGGUUGUAGACAAAGAUAAUUUAUUUAAUUUAUUUAGUCAAGAUUUAUUUAAAUUAAAUUGAUCUUGAUUAAAUUAAGUUAAAUGAUAAAAGUUCAUUAUGUUUUGAACUUGCAAAUUGGGCCAGUAUUAUAUGGGCUAUUAAAUCAAAUUAAAUUUGUAAUGUCCAUUUAAGUUGAAGUGAAUUAAUUGAUUUAUUAAUUCACAAUUGACUAUUUGAGUUGGCCCAUUAUUUAAGCCCAGGUUAAAUGGAUUUCUUGAGUAACAAGUGAUCCAAAAUACAGGAAGAUUCUGAGAGUUUUCUUCAAGACCUAGCCUACAUAUUUUGGCUAUAAAUAUAGGUCUUCCCUCAAGGCAAAGACAUGAAAAAAAUCCCUAACAUUCGAAGAAACUCUGUCAAAUUCUCUCAAGAGCUUUCUUCCUCAAAUCCAAGUCCAAGUCAAGUCAAACAAAUCCUCUUGCUAUCGGUGUUGAAGACUUGAAGUUUCAAGUGUUUGACGCCGUCAUCAAAUCAAUCGUUUUCUACGCAGAAAUUGUAGGAAACACCCGUUCGAUUGAAGAACAAGUCUUUUUGACCCUUCAAUUGAAACUAUUCGAAUAAAAGAAUCAGGAGAUUAAAUUCUUUGAUUUAAGAAUUUUCAGAGAUUGUAACCCGCUUAUUAUUUGAUUUAAUAAAUUUGAUAUUUGUGCAAGUUUUCUUGUCUUUUAUUUCAGGCAACAAAAUUUGUGCUUACAAAUUUCUGGCACGCCCAGUGGGACCAUCUCUGCCUCUCAUCUCUUUUCUUCCAACAACUUACCAGUUUCAAAAUUCAAUGGAGUUCAAGAAGGUGAACUUUUCUCUUAAAGGCUUAGUGGCCGAUGUCUCAACAAUUCAAGAGACGCAGUAUACUGCACAUCUGACAAGGAGCAAGGCCAAGAAGUUAGCAGAAAGGGCUAAGGCGAACGUUUUGACUGAAGAAACAAAUCUCAAGAUGCUUCCCAACAAGAAAGGAGCCCAUGAUGAAUCCAUUGAUAGCCCAAGUGAUUCGGCUGCCUCUGUGGUGAUGCCCGUCAUGAUGACCAAUACCACAACUGUGGAAGACCAGAUCUCGAAUCUAGCCAAAAUUGUCGAAGGGCUAGUAGUGCAUGCGCAAAGUCAGGAUGCCAAGAUAGUCAAAUUAAUGGAUAUGAUGGAAAAUAUAGGCGAAAAUAGCCUUAGUAUGUCCAAACAGAAAUUCAAAGUGCAAGAUGAAGGAGACUUGUCAUCAAGGGAGAAGGAGAAAGAGGAUGCGAAAUCACAAGCCGCGAAGGAAUUUUCAAUCUCCCCUAAUGGCACCAUUCAUGUUGACAAUCUGAAGGAAUUUAUCGAAGGUACAAUCAAGGAUAAGAUGGGUGGAAGCGCCAAGUCAUAUAGCGGUUACACUAAACCUUACACUGCUAGAGUGGAAGGUUUGAAGAUGCCUGUGGGAUAUCAACCUCUAAAAUUUCAACAAUUUGAUGGCAAGGGUAACCCUAAACAACAUAUUGCACACUUCGUGGAAACCUGCAACAAUGCGGGCACUGAUGGUGACUUGCUCGUUAAGCAAUUUGUUCGCUCUUUGAAGGGUAAUGCCUUUGAUUGGUAUACAGAUCUGGAGUCUGGAACCAUUGACAGUUGGGAGCAGUUAGAGCAUGAAUUUCUUAGUCGCUUCUAUAGCACAAAGAGAACUGUCAGCAUGACUAAACUCUUUAAUACACGUCAAUGGAAGAGUGAACCUGCCAUUGAUUUUAUCGACUGUUGGAGGAAUCUGAGCUUAAAUUGCAAAGAUCGAAUUUCUGAAUCUUCCGCGAUCGAGAUGUGUAUUCAAGGUAUGCACUGGGGACUCAGAUACAUCUUACAAGGUGUACAACUAGAAACGUUUGAUGAAUUGUCCACAAAAGCCCAUAAGUUAGAAAUUAAUCUUGAUGGACAAGAACCGCCAGUUCCUGACCCUCACAAGGCUAAGGAGAGACAAGAAGCGAGGAAAGGGGCAAGCCACCAAUCAAAAAUGAAAGGAAGGAGACUAUGGCCACAAGUAUAACACCUUUUAAGGUUGUUCCCAAAACUGCUAGGGGAGAAAACAGGAAGAGCAAUGCACAUCAAGAGCAAGGAAAGAGGAAGCCGACUCUCAAGGAGAUGCAAGACAAAGAGUACCCUUUUCUUGAUUCUGAUGUCCCUGGUAUGUUUGACGAUCUGUUAAAUAUAAACUUGAUCACGCUUCCUGAGAUGAAGCGACCUGAUGAGGCCAGGAACACUGACGAUCCAAACUACUGUAAGUAUCACCGAUUGGUUGGGCAUCCCAUUCAAAAAUGCUUUGUCUUCAAAGACAAAGUAAUGGAGUUGGCAAGACAAGGGAAAAUUCUCCUUGAAGAAGACAAGGCGAGUGUGAAUCAAACGUCCAUUGGUUCCCUGCAGUCCAUGGAGGAUAAAAGGGACAUGGUACCUGUAUUGCCGACAAUUCAAUUUGAAUCACUUGACCCUAUAGAAAUCAAACAAGAAAGUGCUCCUUUAACUCUUCAGGAACAUGCAUAUGAAGAUGAAAAGGGGCUACAACCUGAUGUGGAUGAUGAAAGAUGGACUCUAGUCACUUGAAGGAGGCAGAAAUCUUGUCCAUCUAGUAAGGCGAGCAAGGUCUUAACAAGAAGUAUGAUGAUUUGGAAGGGAAAAGAGAAAGACGUAAAGAAAAAUAAUGACUGUCGUAAUCUUCAAGGAGGUCGAAUCUUCAAGCAAAAGUCGCGAACUCCUAUCACUUUAAAAGAAUUCUUGCCAAAAGAAUUCCUUGAUGUUGAUGUGGUCGCGAGUCACACAACGCGAGUAGAUCAUAUCGAAGAACAAAAGAAUAAUACUCGUGAAUCUCUCUGUGAGAUAACCCGUAUGCCUAUCGGCAAUGAAGAAGGUCGUGUGUCUACCGGCAAUGAAGAGGUGAACGUCACAAGUAUCACUUUUACUAGUGAAGACUUGUUGCUUGGGUCAACACCGCAUAACCGCCCUCUGUUUGUGACUGGUUAUGCAAAUGAGCAAAAAGUGAAUAGAAUGUUGAUAGAUAGAAGUUCCGCAGUCAAUAUUCUCCCUUUAAAAACUCUGAAGGAGCUUGGUAUUCCGGUUGAUGAACUCUCCAAUAGCCGACUGAUGAUUCAAGGCUUCAAUCAAGGAGGGCAAAGAGCUCUUGGAUCACUAAAUUUGGAGGUAGUCAUUGAUGACAUGACGUCCAGAGCACUGUUGUAUGUGAUAGAUGCUAAAAUAGCAUACAAUGUACUGUUGGGAAGGCCCUGGAUUCAUGAAAAUGAAGUUGUACCUUCAACCCUUCAUCAAUGUUUUAAAUACUCCCGAAAUGGAGUGAUAAGAAGUGUGAAAGUCGAUGACAAUCCUUUCACUGAGGCGGAAGCGUAUAUCGCUGAUGCCAAAUUUUACGUCAAAAGGCACAUUGCGAAGGAUAGAUCUGAGCAACCUCUAUCUGGGGAUAAAAUCCAGAACCCCGAAUCUCCAAAUGCAAAAUGGGUGAAAGUGAUGAUUUCGAAAUAAAAAGAGGAAGUUCAUGAAGAAACUGAUGUUUCAUUGCCAAGCAAUGAAUCAGUUGUCUUUCGUUGCCCUCCCAAAUCAAGAAUAGAAUAGGGACAGUCACCUGCAAUUCAGCAUGAAACUCUAAAAGAUUUGACUCUUUCGGUAGCUCAUCUUGAUACAAAAAAGGCGUCAUCUUCUCAACUUAAAAGGUCUAACUUUUUAAGCAAAGAAUCUGAAAUUGAACAAAACACCAUACCAAAGUCAAGAACCAAAGAAGGUUUUGAUGCUAUCGCUUAUAAGCUUCUCGCUAAAGCUGGAUAUGAUCUCAAAGAAUCUGCGGUGUUAAAUAUUCCAUCCUGUCAAUCUACUGGUGACAUGAUUCAUGGGUUGAAUCCUACCCAAAAGAUGUUGAAGGAAAAGGGAUACGCUGUCGAAAAUCUCAAAUUUGACCUUGGCUACUCCUCUCCUACACCAAUUCGCAUCAAGAUCAAUAGAGUUAGUAGCCCAUAUAUUACUGUGGAGGAUGAGUCUUCUCAAAUAGUUGAUAAAUUCCAAACCUUUCACGAAAAGGAGAAUAAAACUCCACGGGUGUCUGUUUUUAAGAGAUUAGGACCACAAAGAAGACAAAAACUUCAAAACUCUCAUAAGAGUAAAGGAAAAAUGACAAAGUCAUUGCAAAAUCUUCAAGAACCUUCUGAUUGUCCCCAUAAAUUUGGUAGCAUCAUUCUUUCGAGAAUGAGAAGAUGCACAGACCUUGUAAUAAAGUGUGAGACUGAAUUGAGGGUCAGGGAGCAUACCGUGGUGUACACAAGACAAAAAGAGGAUGAUGAAGAGAGUGUUGCCUCAUGCAAUCAUAUAACCAUAAUUGACGGUGACUCUCCUGAAGAAGAAGAAGAUGCUGAAGACGCUCCACCUGAAUUUGAGGAAGGUGUUAAGGCCACUGUGGAUGAUCUAAAAGAGAUCAAUCUUGGUACUUCAGAGGACCCGUGUCCAAUAUAUGUAAGUGUUUCACUGAAUCCUGACGAAGAGAAGGCAUAUGUUGAUCUCUUGCAAGAGUAUCGAGAUGUUUUUGCCUAGACUUAUAAAGAAAUGCCGGGUUUAGACCCAAAAGUGGCCGUCCACCAUUUGGCUGUUAAAAAGGGAGUUCGGCUAGUGAAGCAAGCACAACGGCGAUUUAGACCCGAUUUGAUUCCGUUGAUCGAAACUGAAGUCAAUAAGCUUAUUGAAGUCGGGUUUAUUCGUGAAGUUAAAUAUCCCACAUGAAUUUCGAUUAUCGUGCCCGUGCGAAAGAAGAAUGGACAAAUCCGCAUCUGCGUCUAUUUCAGGGAUCUUAACAAUGCUUGUCCUAAAGAUGACUUUCCUUUACCGAUCACUGAGCUCAUGAUUGAUGCAACUACUGGGCAUGAAGUUCUAUCGUUUAUGGAUGGCUCUUCUGGAUAUAAUCAAAUUCUAUUGGCAUCUGAGGAUGAGGAGCUCACUGCAUUUCGUACUCCUAAGAAUAUUUAUUGUUAUAAAGUAAUGCCCUUUGGUCUAAAAAAUGCUGGAGCCACAUAUCAAAGAGCAAUGCAAAGUAUCUUUGAUGACAUGCUUCAUAAAAAUAUCGAGUGUUAUGUGGAUGAUUUAGUUGUUAAAUCGAAGAAAUGGAGUAAUCACUUGGAGGACUUGAGACAAGUAUUUGAUCGGUUGAGAAGGUAUCAACUCAAAAUGAACCCUCUCAAGUGUGCAUUUGGAGUCACAUCGGAGAAAUUUCUUGGUUUUGUGGUUCGCCAUCGAGGUAUUGAAAUUGAUCAGGCCAAAAUUGAUGCUAUAUUGAGGAUGCCUGAACCUCGUGACAUUCAUUAAUUGAAAAGUCUUCCAGGGCGAUUAGGUUAUCUGCGGAGAUUUAUCUCAAAUUUAGCAGGAAGGUGUCAACCAUUUAGUCGCUUGAUGAAGAAAGAUGUGCCAUUUCAAUGGGAUGAGGCAUGUAGUAAUGCAUUCAAUAGCAUUAAGUCUUAUCUUAUGAAAGCACCUGUUUUGGCUGCACCUAUACAUGGAAAGCCGUUACUUAUUUAUAUUGCUGCCCAGGAACGCUCAGUGGGGGCAUUGCUUGCACAAGAAAUUAAUGAAGGAAAAGAAGUUGCCCUUUAUUAUUUAAGCAGAAUGAUGACCCCCAACGAACUAAACUAUUCACCGAUUGAAAAGUUGUGUCUAGCUCUUAUUUUUGCAAUAUAGAAGUUAAAACACUACUUUCAAGCACAUAGCGUGAGGCUCAUUUCCAAGGCGAAUCCCAUAAAAUAUGUGAUGAGCAGACCAGUACUAUCCGACCGUCUAGCAAGAUGGUAUCUUCAACUACAGCAGUUUGAAAUUAUUUAUGUGCCUCAAAAGGAAGUGAAAGGACAAGUUCUGACAGAUUUUCUUGCUGAUCACCCAAUACCUGCUAAAUGGGAGUUAAGUGAUGACCUACCAGAUGAGGAUGUACUUCUUGUUGAGAUUCGCCCACCAUAGAAGAUGUAUUUUGAUGGUGCAGCUCAUCGUCAUGGGGCUGGAGCGGGGAUUAUAUUUGUGACUCCUGAUGGAGGGAUAUUGUUAUACUCUUUUACUCUAAGUCAACAUUGUUCAAACAAUGUCGCUGAGUACCAAACUCUCAUACUCGGACUUGAAAUAGCUGUUGACAUGAAACAGUUGGACAUUCAAAUCUAUAGUGACUCUCAAUUAGUGAUUAACCAACUCUUGAAAAGUUAUGAAGUCAAAAAGUCCGAGUUAAUUCCGUAUCACAAAUAUGCAAUGCAACUAAUGAGGCGGCUUGGAGGUGCAAGUAUUAAGCAUGUUCCUAGAAGGAAAAAUAAGCAAGUUGAUGCAUUAGCUGCGCUAGACUCUUCACUUACCAUGUCGAAUCAUGAGAUACAAAUCCGUGUAUGCCAAAAGUGGGUAGUUCCAUCACUAAUUGAUGAUGACGAUAUUGAAGGAGGCGACGCUCAUAUGGUCUCAACCUAUGAAAUUGAUAAAGAAGAUUGAAGACAACCCCUCGUUGAUUAUCUCAAGUAUCAAAAACUACCUGAGGAGCAAUGUAGGAGAACUGACAUCCGUCGCCGUGCCCCUCGUUUUAUCUUGUAUAAAGAUAUGCUGUACCGAAAAUCAUUUGAAGAUGUACUGUUGCGCUGUUUGAGCGAAGACGAGGCAUAUCGAGCGAUACACGAGGCACAUUCUGGAAUAUGUGGAGCUCAUCAAUCUGGUCCCAAGUUACAUUUUUGGAUUAAAAGAAUGGGCUACUAUUGGCCUGCUAUGGUCAAAGAUUGCAUAAAAUAUGCUCAAAUAUGUCAAGCUUGCCAGUUUCAUGCAAAUUACAUUCAUCAACCACCUGAGCCGUUACACUCGACCGUUGCUUCUUGGCCUUUUGAUGCUUGUGGUCUUGAUGUUGUGGGGCCAUUACCAAAGUCGUCCGGUCAACAUUUAUAUAUAUUGGCUGCGACCGACUACUUUUCUAAAUGAGUUGAAACCAUACCGCUCAAGCAAGUUAGAAAGGAAGAUGUGGUGAACUUCAUUCGCGUGAAUAUUAUUUACCGUUAUGGAGUUCCCCGAUACAUUAUCACUGAUAAUGGAAAAGCCUUCUCAAAUAACUUGAUGGAUAAGAUGUGUGAAAAAUUUCAUUUCAAGCAACGUAAGUCCUCCAUGUAUAAUGCCCCCGCCAAUGGCCUUGCCGAGGCAUUCAACAAAACUUUAUGUAAUUUGUUGAAGAAAGUGGUGGCUAAAUCAAAGAAUGAUUGGCACAAAAGGAUAGGCGAAACUCUUUGGACUUAUCGCACCACAUAUCGAACUCCAACCAAGCCACACCAUCUGCUUUAGUCUAUGGUGUAGAAGCUGUCCUGUCCCUUGAGCAACAAAUUCCUUCUUUGAGAAUUGCUAUCCAAGAAGGGCUCACGGAGGAAGAGAAUGUUCGCCUGCGCCUUGAAGAAUUGGAAGCUUUAGAUGAAAAGAGAUUAGAGACCCAACAAAAUCUGGAAUGCUAUCAAGCCCGUCUCUCUAGAGCUUUUAAUAAGAAAGUUCGGCGCCGCUCCUUUCAAGUCGAGGAUAUGGUACUCGCCUUUCGAAAGCCAAUAGUUAUGACUCAUCGCACUAAAAAUAAAUUCGUCUCCAAAUGGGAUGGGCCAUAUGUUGUUCGAGAAGUCUACACGAAUGGCGCGUACAAACUGGUGGACAAAGAUGGCGUAAAAGUUGGUCCUAUAAAUGGGAAAUUCAUGAAGUUAUACAUGCUAUAGAAAAAAAAAAUAAAACACUCCAUGACGCAUGAGUCUAAACUGCAUGUUGCUCCAGACCCGUAGAGCUAAAACUGUGGACAACAACCACCAAUAGUGUAGCACGUGGUUAAAUUGCUGAAACACUCCAGCAAAUCUAAGGUGGUAAACAAAUGGAUACUUCUGACCCGCAAGAGUUUAAACUGUGAACGGUAGGAACUACGUGUGACUUGAUUCCCUUUUGGGAUAUGUAGGCAGCUUAGAGGACAAUUUCUAAGUUCAGUUACAAUCAUAUAAAACUAAAUCCUUUGUCCGGAUGAUUCUUUUGUUGCAAAAAAAAAAAAAAAACGGUUCUCUUUAGGACAUUUCAAGUUAUUUUGUGACAUAUACUUGAAAGUGUAUUAUUCAGAUUACCAAAUUAUUUGGAUAAUUAUCUUUUUAAGUGUGAUCAAAAUUAUACAAAGAUGAAAUUGUUCAUACUACGGUUGAUAGUCUGAAAUGGUGGCUAUCGAAAAAGUAGGUAAAGACGAGGACGUCUGCAAGAAUGUGAUGAAAAGGAAAAAAAUCAAGUUUCAUUAUAAAGUGCUUGUGCUCAUAGCUACACGCUUUAAGCAAUUAACAAAAGAUGAAAUUUGAAAUAAAGUAAAAGAUUACAACUAUUUCUUGAAUUCAAAUGACGACAGCUCCUUUCGGUUGUUUUCAAGUAGUGCUUGUAUCUUGUCCAAAGUUUAACUCUCCUCAGCAAGUAGGGACGGGAAAUUCUCAAUCUUUCGAACUUCAUUUUGUAACUCGAUCAUCACGCCUUGCACUCGGGUAAGCUCAUUUUGCUCUUCUCGUAGCAGUGAAAGCUUCUCUUUUCUGUGAGUAUCCAAGAAUUCAAGUCGUUUUCUCAACUCUACUUUCUCGCGAUCAAUCUCCUUAACUUUCAACAUGUGCGUUGAGAUCUUUUCCGUUUGUUGUUUCUCCUUACUCUGAGCAUUUCUAAGAUGUUGGGUGGCCGUAGAGAGCAACUCAUCUAUGAUUCAGCUGAAAUUUUAUUUGAGAGAGAAGAUUUCACUGCGACGUAACGAGCUGCAUUUGCAAAGAAAGCCUUCAAAAGGCCUUGCAAAUUUGAAAUAUCCGUGGCAUUGAAACUUUGCAUUUCCUCCAUGAUUUCGCUUGCUUUCAUUUCAAGAGUAGGUAUGCGCUCCAAGGUUGUUUGAGAUAUCAUCACCCUCAAAUUAUUCCACAACAUUUGGAUAUAGUCUCGACGGCAUGUUGAGAUCACACUUUGGGGGCAAAAUUCAGACACUUGAGGUGCCCUUGGCCAUGAUGGUGGAUCGAAAACUUUGAGUUUCUUCUUGGCCGAUGGAGUCAUAUGGUCCGCCUUCUGUGGCGUGAUUUGCUGAAUCAUAUUUCCAUCCUCUACUGUCUUUUUGAAAUUCUCACUAGCACCCAUUUGUUGGGUAGAACUGACCACUUGUUUGGCCAAAAUUUCAAAUGCAGUAGGUCCCUCAACUGAUGCUUGGCUUGGUUCUCCAUCAUCAAUGAAGAUCAAAUCUUGAUCAUCCAACUGUAGGGAAAAUGUUAUGAGACAAAUCAUGAAUAUGAAAUUGACAAGCAAAUUUCAAAUGCUAAAUUAAAGAAGGCAAGGAAGGUCUUUAUAAUAUUGGCACGGCUUAUACCAGGCACAGAUAUAUCCGGAAUGUCUUUAAAGAGUUGUUUAGGAUCUAAACCAAUAUCAUCCAAAGGGAGAGUCAUUACCUUGGACUUCUUGCGCUUCCAAUGCUGGUCCGUGCUAGUGGAUUGCUUAUCCUCCUCAUCAAAAAGCUCACUCCUCUUCCUCUCAUGUGAAUUGCAAGUAUCAUGAUCAAUAGCCUUCGCAAUUUUUGAAGGAAGAUGAAAUGAAGUACCCUUUGAAAAUUGUUCAUCAGGAGUAAGGUCCUCAGGGGUAGCAACCUUGUUGUUUGAACUCUUCAAAAUUUCCUUCUCGUUUCUCACAGUCUUUUGCUUCAUCUCAAGACUAUUGCCAACCUUGGAAGGAUUGUUCAGGUUUACAAGUUCCUUCCAUUUUGACUUCUUCUGCUCCCCAUUUGAUUGGACACUCUUAAUCAAAGCAUCACGUCCUUUGAGGAGAUGAUUAUCAUGUACCAUAGACCACCAUGUUUGAAAGCCUGAAGAUGUGUGCUUGCUAGCAUUCAAGGGAUAGUUAGGAAAAAGUACCUUUGACUCUGUUUUACUGCGGAUGGCAGUGCGCCAGAGUAUUCGACUCAAGUCAUAAUUUGUGGAACGAACAUCUGCCCCGAGUUCCUGUGGAGGAACUUGAUAAAACCCGAAUUGCCGCGCGAACCUAUAUGGACUAUAUGGCUCAACAAGGAAAUUCCUUUCAGCAUGCAAAACUAAGUAAUUUGAGCAGGCGCUUACAAAAUAACUUAGUUCGAGAUUCGCUAAUUUGUCAUUAUCAAUAAAAAGUUCGUUGCGGUUCUUCACAAGAGAAGUGAUUCCCCAAGUUGUUUUGUCUCCCUGAUGAAAGAGGUCGCGGGCACUAUUUUCAUCAAAAUAUCGUGCGCCACCCUCUCCAGAAUAGUUGGUCAUGGUGGGUCCAGGCAUGGUAUUUGGAGUCUAAUAAUGGGUAGAGAAAUAACUCGCUAACCAAGCAUAUAUGUAGUGCACCGAAAAAACCGCACGUGCACACCCUAGGGUAGCUGAGUUUGAAAUUUUAUCAAGCCCACGGUAUAUGUUUAGCAGGACAGGAACAACAAGGCAAGUCUUACGACCGGCAGCCAUCAUACUAGCCAUCUUGAAAGUAGAUGGUCUAAUAUAAUGGAGGUACUCAUCUGGUAAAGCAAAGACACAGAGCCAGCAAGAUAUAAAUGCUGCAAGAUAGGUCUCUUCCCGCAAGUGAAGUUUAACUCCAAUGGUAUCAAAUACGCCAUUGUCUUGACUUGAAAAUUUGCGUGGUUGUCCAAUUUCGCCAUCCGAAUUUUGGAUCGCUUGAGCAUGAGAUGCCCUCUUUAUCCUUCUCUGCUUUGGCUUCGAGUACCUGGUUUUGCCUUUAAACCAGAAGUUAAUCCAUUGAGCAGCAGAGACUCCAGCUUUGUUGGAUUCCCCAUAUUGAAGAUGAUGUAAGGCUGCGAACAAAUACUCACAACUUUGUGGAAUAUGCCUUAAUUUUUUUUCAUUAACUCCAGUUAACUCCUCCGUGCAUGGGAUCACCUCUUUAUAGAUACCCCCGAUGAUUGGAAGUCCUCCUAACUUGUGCAAGUCCCAAAGUGAGAGAGACAGUUCCCCAACAGAUGUAUGCAAGGUAUUAGUGUCCGGACACCAUGCCUCGCAGAAUGCCCUAAGUACAUGGGGAUUCCUAUCGUAUGUGAAAAGCGAAGCAUAUAAGGCGUCAAACAGGCAAUUUUCGCUGAACACUUGUUUACUCCUGCCGAGAAUAUCCUCCAACCACUCCCAGUAAUUCUCGAUGUAACUGAAUGCACCACUGAGUCUCAAGAAAGGACCCCAAUGUGCAUCUCCAUCUAUGAUCCGCCUGCCAAGGAUUUGAAAAGGAGUUGUCCUUGGCUCCUUAUCGUGGAUAAGGGAUUUCAAGGAGUGAACCUUCGCGCCAUCAUCUUGAGGAAGUUCGAGUGACCAAUCCUUCAACUUUGGGUACUGGUGAGAAGGCCACUUACCCGAGUAACUUCCUUGUAUAGGGGGAUGCACCAAUAAUUUCGUUCCUUUAUCAUCAGAGUCAUCAUGACUAUUGGCGAUAAGGAGGUACCUUUCGUUUGAAAUUGUAACUUCCUUGAAUAUUGCCAUUUCGUCAAGGCUAUCCUGCAUAAAAAAAAGGGUUACAAUGGCGCGACCAAAGACAGUAAGUGGAGUACUAAGUCGUUAGCAUAAGAUAAAUAAAGAGAUUUCUAGAGCAUUGGUAAGCUCUUAUUGAGGUGGACAUUUAUGCCUCCUUUAUAUACUCCUCAAGCCAUGAUAUGGCUCUCGUGGGAGUUUGCGGUUGCGCCUUCUUCAAAUUCUGGUCACGCCUCCCUCAUGUACUCCUCAAGCCAUGAUAUGGCUCUCGUGGGAGUUUGCGGUUGCACCUUCUUCAAAUUGAGUGUCCACCACUCCUUCAGGUACUCCUCAAGCCAUGAUAUGGCUCUCGUGGGAGUUUGCGGUUGCGCCAUCUUCUUUGUAUUCCUCAAGCCAUUAUGGGCUCUCGUGGGAGUUUGCGGUUGCACCUUCUUCAAAGUGAGGGUCCACCGUGUAUGUUGUCGCAAGGGAUCCUCCUUUCAUAUCACAAAAAAAAUUGGCAUUGACAAAAAGUGAAAAUCAUGAGGCCUGUGAGUUACCUUAGUGUUUUGAAUUCCACGAGCUAUAAAGUGUCAACUCGCUUCAAUGGGUGUCAAUACAAGUUGCAACCAAAAAAAAAAAAAGACUCAUAAGAAGGAUGCAUUUCCAAGAAAGUCGCAAUGCAUGUGUUGGUGAGCACUUUAUGUCAGUUAUCAAUUAAAUUGACAUAAAAAAAAUAAUUCAAAAAAAAAAACUCAAAAAAAAAUAUUUUUUUUCUUUUUCUCUUUCCAAGGUGGAAGUAAAUCAAGUUUUAACAGAUCACAAUGAAAUUUGGCGGACAUCUGUUACUCGACCAACAUGUGGUUGUCAAAAGGCAGUAAAGAUGAUUACCUUCAGGGUGCACGUGUGAAACAGGUUUCUUCCUCAAAUAUUGUGGUAGUUUUCAGUAAAGAUGUUUGUCACAGCUUCAAGACAAAAGCAUGUCUUGUGCGACUUUUAUAAGGUGCUUGGAUGAAUCGUUUUAAGAAGUUUUAAAUUUUGGGCAGCUACUAAAUUCAGUGAUUACCAUUUAAUUUUUUGGAAUCACAUGAAUUUGGUUCCUAAGAUUAACUUCAAAAGCUGAAAGUCGGUUUAGGAAGCUCUUGAAAUUCGGCAGUCAGAGGUGCUUGGAUGAAUCAUUUUAAGAAGUAUUAAAUUUCGGGCAGCUACUAAAUUUAGUGAUUACCAUUUAACUUUUUGGAAUCACAUGAAUUUGGUUCCUAAAAUCAAUUUCAAAAACUGGAAGUCAGUUUAGGAAGCUAUCGAAAUUCGAGAAAUUCCAUAUUGUCAAGACAUUGGUUUCGGCAAUUACCUAUUCAUUGUAUGGAGUAAAGCUGCAACUCCAUAUGGAAGAGGAAGGCACAGGUCUGUUUGCAAGGAGAGAAUACUAUAUUAAUGCCUGGUGUUUUAGAAACUUGGAGUAUUUGGCUAUUGCUAUGAUUUCUCGGUUAUUACUACUUCCAAAAGUUGCUCGCAUGAACUUUAGGAAGCAAUGACGUUUUGGUAAUUGCAAGGUCAAGGUAAAUUGGUUAUUUCCAAAGUUGCUUGGCUGCCUGUCGCGCCCCAUUUUUACAAGAAAAAUAAAUAAAUUGGUUGAAAAGUGAAUUUUUAUUUGAAAGAUGAAUUUUGAUUUACAAAGAAAAUGAAGAAAAAUAUGGGUCUAAAUGGGACUUGAAAAUGCAACGAUUUGACCCAAAAUACAGUUUAAAAAGGGUUUUUUGAAAUAAAAAUCGGAGUCGCCACUUGGUAUAGAGUUAAGGUGUACCAAGUCACUUAAAAAUAAAUUUUUUAAAGGAAAAGGUAAAAAGAAACCUCUUUUAAACAACUCCUAGUCUACGUAAACCAACGAAAAAGGUUCGGGAGUCGCAUUUGACGAAGGGGAAGGCAAGGAUAAAAAUACAAGGCACCCCUUCGACCUAGCCAAGACUAGUUGCGCGAUUUAGUCAAAGAUUUUCUUGUUUUAACCAAAGCAUUUAUCACAUUUGAAUGUACUAUAUGAAUGCAAACCCUAGACCUAGGGGGACAUCGGGGAGCAAAAUUUCUCUUCAAAGCUUGAAUGGUGCCAAUCACAUUAAUUGUGAUGCCCAAUAGUGACUCUUUGGAGAGGUCACGAAUAAUGCAAAAAAUAUGAGACUCUAAGAAAAGAAAUAAAAUAAUUAUACAAAUAUAUAUGUCUUAAAGGAGUGCAUCAUGUCGGGUACGGGGGACUAAUGUUCGUGACUCAAUUUUUCCUUUAAUAGAGGGAAUACGAGCGUGCUAAGGCUAGAAAAGCCAAACUCGUCCAUAUUCCAUACCCAAGAGACUAUUCCCUAAUCUAAUCAAGCAAAUGAACUAACAUAGUUCUAAUGCUUAUAUGAAGUGCAAGACUAAUGUCAUGUUUCAUACAAAAGAAGCAAGUACUAUACAUAUAAGGGAUAAUAUGGGGAAAGGGGUAUACAUAUAUAAGGAAAAUGUCAUGCAAUAUGGUGAAAGAGGCCCUAAAAAUAAAGAUAUGCAUGAGAUGAAGGCAUGCGAAUGUACUAGCGAGGGACGGUCCUAUUGGAUCUAGCAUUGGACUAGUCCUUCACUAGCGCUCUCUCACAAGCAUUGGACUUGCAAGAGCUCGAGGAAAAUACCAUGACUAGCGUUGGACUAGCCACGGUUUCGUGCAUUUGCAUCCAUCAUACAUAAGUAAAUGUGCAUAAUUAAAGCAAGUAGGCAUGUGAACACGUAAUUCACAUAACACAUAACACAUAAGCAUGCAUAUCUAGAUGCACAUCCUAAGAAAGCGGUAACACAUAGCACAUAGGCAUGCAACACACAUAAGGCAAGUAAAACAAAUAAAGCCCUAACUAUUACAUUCGGGGGGAAAAGCCUACUACAAUCUAAGAGAGAAGGAAUUAAAUGAAAUGAUAUAAUAGCCUAACUAUUACAAUUGUGGCAUUCAAGUGCCUCCCAAAUAAUCAAAAUGAACUAAAAUAAAUAUACGAAAUUAAGACAAGUAAAGCGAAUAAAUAAAUAAAUAAAAUGAAAACAUUCACAAAAGACAUGCAAUUAACACAUAAAUCACAUAAGUACACAUAGGGUCGAAUAAAGUAAAAAUAAGGGAUAGAGUGUACCUCCCUUGAGUUGGCCCUAAUGGAGUGAAAUUACUUUUACCCUCCAAAAUAAAAGAAAGGGUCAAGGCAUCGCUUUAAUUAACAAAACAAUCAUAAAGAUAAAAUGAAUCAUGAAAUUGAAUCAAUUAAAUCAUAUAAACAACCUACAUUUAAGAAGUCAAAAGAAGAAAGGACUUGAUUGCAAAAAUUAACAAAAGCUUUGGGGUCAAAAUUAAAGAAAAAUAAAGUUUAGGGACCUAUUUGCAAUUAAAUCAUGACUUAAUUGAACAAAAUCGAGAAGUUACGCAGACUUUAAUGUGAUUUCACCAAAGGUCAGGGGUCAAUUUGAAAUUAAUUCAGGACCUACUUGCAAGGAAAAACAAAUCAUUCGGGCCGUGAUGAAAUACUUAAAAAGUCAGGGGACUGGAACUACAAGAUCAGACGAAUAAUCAUCUUCUCCAAAACAAUCUAAAUGUUGGCUUCCAUUUCAGCUUCCUUUCACGGACAAAAGCAACAAAAAACUCAACUCUGAUCAUUUCAAAAAGAAAAAUGCAACUAGCACAAAACCAUACAAAGAAACUUGACCAUUCCCAAAUCCAAAUGGAACUCAACUCCUACGAAGGAAAGGAUAACAGGUAGAACAGAAAUGAAAGCAGCAGAGAAACAUCCGAACAUAAACAUCUCUCAAAACUCUUCUUUCUUGCUGCAAAAUCAACAAUCUUCGGUCAGCUUUGGAUUGACCAGAGCCGCAUCUCACACACAGACCCACACAAAAUUCAUCAAUUUUUGCAGCUUUGAUUCAACGUUUUCUAUCAGGCAUUUCUUCAAAUACCAAAUGGGUAUCAAAGACAUCAUCGAUUCUUAGCUCAAUUGGGGUUAUAAUCAACCCCAAAAUUGCCAGAAAUCCAAGGGAAAUCAGCCCCAUCAACAUAUAAGCAUAUGUAUUAAGAAAUUUUAAGCUAAUUAACAGGAAAAUUGCACUAAAUAAUCCCACGGAAAAACCAUUUCAAAACUGGACAAGAACUGAAAUUUAAAAAGGAAAAACCGAUAGCUUACCGUGCUCCUGCUUGGUGAAAUUUCGUAGGGGGUGAUGGUGAAAGCGAGAGACACGACGAUCUCUUCGACGGCAGAUUUGGCAAGGAAAAUGUCACAGCCAGCAGCGGAUUGCUGGAGAGCUUGGAGGAGAGCUCCGUUGGCGGAGAGCAUCGUUGGAGCAGAGGUCCGCUUGGGAUCUCCGUGAAUAAUCUGUCCAUUGUAUCAUUGAUUAGGAAAACUGAAGCUAGACAGCAACCUUAUUAUCAAAAUACUGCCCUUCCGCCUUGCUUUUUCCUCAAUUUUCCCGCAACCUUGUUCUUUUUUGCUUUGUUUUCUUUGCUCUGUUUUCCUUGCCAAAGCUGCCCCCCUUCCUUCUUUCCCCUGUUUUUCCUUUUCCUUUGUUUUUCAGACCAAGCUCUCUCGUUUCUUUCUUUCCCUUACUCUCCCUCUAAGCCCAGCCGCCCUUGUUUUCUUCCUAAACCCUAGCCGUUUUCUUUUUCUGUUUUUCCUUGCCUUUUCCUCUUUUUUUUUUUUAAAUCCUCAACCUACAAGUGUCUCAAUCUCUCCCCCUCCUAAGUGAUGUGUUGUCCAAAUACAAAAGGGACACUUGUCCUAAUGCAUGUUCUCCAUUUGUCUAGCAUGCAAACUUUCACUAAUUUCACACAUUAUUUUGUAUUUUUGUAUUUUUCAUUUUUCCCUUUUUUUGAAAUUUAGUAUGAAGACAAAAAUAAUAUAAUAAAAUGAAUUAGAACAAAAUAAAAUAAAAUAAAAACACUAGAAUUGAAACAAAUAAAGCAAAGUUAAAAAAAUCAAAAAUUUGGUGUCUACACUGCCAUUGUUCUUGUAAGUCGCACCAAUGGACCUUGAGUAUAUUUUGGACAAUGCAAUUGGUUUUGGCAAUUGCCAAACCACCGAGGUGAUGCAAUCUCCAUUUUAGUAGUUUUGGUUCAAAUUCCAAAGCAACUAUGGUUAAAAUACUAAGAAGUUUGUGCAUGUGACCGUUUGUGGCAAUUGCAAUGCUAAGCUUCCUACUGAUGCUCCAUUCAAGAUUUGGCAACUUAAAUACUGGAUUUGGUGUCAAUGGGAAUCCGAGUUGCUGAAUAAUAAAAAAAAAAGAAGAAAUCAAGGUUAACUUCAAGCCUCGUUUUGGCAAUUGUCAAGCAAUGCCACACCAAGUCUUGAAGUAGGGGCAUUUGUAGACAAAGAAAUUUUAUUUAAUUUAUUUAGUCAAGAUUUAUUUAAAUUAAAUUGAUCUUGAUUAAAUUAAGUUAAAUGAUAAAAGUUCAUUAUGUUUUGAACUUGCAAAUUGGGCCAGUAUUAUAUGGGCUAUUAAAUCAAAUUAAAUUUGUAAUGCCCAUUUAAGUUGAAGUGAAUUAAUUGAUUUAUUAAUUCACAAUGGACUAUUUGGGUUGACCCAUUAUUUAAGCCCAGGUUAAAUGGAUUUCUUGAGUAACAAGUGAUCCAAAAUGCAGGAAGAUUCUAAGAGUUUUCUUCAAGACCUAGCCUACAUAUUUUGGCUAUAAAUAGAGGUCUUCCCUCAAGGCAAAUACAUGAAAAAAAUCCCGAACAUUCGGAGAAACUCUGUCAAAUUCUCUCAAGAGCUUUCUUCCUCAAAUCCAAGUCCAAGUCAAGUCAAACAAAUCCUCCUGCUAUCGGUGUUGAAGACUUGAAGUUCCAAGUGUUUGACGCCGUCAUCAAAUCAAUCGUUUUCUACGCCGAAAUUGUAGGAAACACCCGUUCGAUUGAAGAACAAGUCUUUUCGACCCUUCAAUUGAAGCUAUUCGAAGAAAAGAAUCAGGGGAUUAAAUUCUUUGAUUUAAGAAUUUUCAGAGAUUGAAACCCGCUUGUUAUUUGAUUUAAUAAAUUUGAUAUUUGUGCAAGUUUUCUUGUCUUUUAUUUCAGGCAACAAAAUUUGUGCUUACAGUGGUUUUAUCUUGAUUGAAUAAAUAACAAGAUGGCUUGCUUUAAGAGCAGAACUUCAGAAAUCUAUUCAUGCUUCUGCCUAUUGUUCGAGCUAUGGGUACGGAGAUCCUCCUCCCAUUGCUUGGUUGGAGACUCAGGGUAUGUUUGGUAAGACCUAAGAAUGACAAUUCUAAUUCCAUAAUUUCACCUCCUAUUCGGGUUUGUAUGCGGAUCCUAAGUGGAUUAAAUCAGUAAAACGGGUCUCUAUAUAAUCCACAAAAAAAAAAAUGAAAAUGAAAGUCCUCUCUCUCUCUCUCUUGUCACAAACCAACCAUCGCUUCUUUUGCAGCUCUUUCUCCUCCACAUCUUCCUUCUCCGCCUCCUCCCAUAUAUCCUCCUCUGCCUCCACCUAUACUUCCGUCGCUGACACUUCGUCUCUCCUCUUACUCAUCUUCCUCCUCUGCCUCUUCCCAGCAUUGAACAUCUACUCUCAUUUACGCAUUUUAAGAGUGAAAUUAUAGGGUUUCUUUCUGUAAAUUGGCUAAAAUCCAGUGAAUCCAAUAGCUGUAGCUAAAGAUGACCGCCAGAGAUAGCCUUCUCAGCACGACAUGUGUUGUAAAAUAUAUAGUAUUUCAAAAAUAUUAUUUAUCCCACAUCGAAAAAUGAGAAGUAUUGCUUUCUCUGUCCCACAUUGGGAAGUGAGAAAAGUUGCAGUCUUUGUCCCACAUCGGAAGUGAGAAGGGUUGCACCUCAUUCUGAAAUCUGUAAAUAGGAUCCAUUCCCUUCUCAGAAAAUCACCUCAGCAGCUUCAGUUGAUAUCUUUCUGAUAGCUGCUCUAUCUCUCUCUUUCUUUCUCUCUCUCUCUCUCUCUCUCUCUCUCUCUCUUUUAUUUCUGUCAGUUGAUACCUUUCUGACAAUUCUGUUCUCAAUUUCUCUCUCUAUAUCUGCUGAUUUUAAUUUGCUAGUUCUGGUCCUUCUAAUUUGCAACAAGAAGAAAGCUUGUCUUUCUUGUUUGCAACAAAUAGAAGAAGGCUUGUUUAAUCCUGGGGAGACAUUUCAAUUUCAUGAAAUAGUUUCUUAGGACAGUGCUACGCACGACUCAAGCAAUAGUGUUAAUAUUGUUGUGGCCGUUUCGACAACAAUCUAAGAAACUAUGGCCUCCGACAGUGUUAAUACCACACAACCUUCAUCCACAGUAGCAGUAGUCGCAAUACCAUUUGCUAAGCCUUUUCCGGAUGUCUCCAAAAUUGAAGUUUUUGCCAAUGAAAACUUCAGAAGGUGGCAAGAACGUGUACACUCCCUACUGGACAUUCAUGGAGUGGCUUAUGCACUGACAGAAUCCCAACCUGCUACGACCGUGGAUACUAAGAUACAAGAAUCAUGGCAAUAUGCCAAUACGGUAUGUCAUCAUACUAUUUUACAAACACUCUCAAAUGAAUUAUUUGACGUGUAUUGUAGUUGCAAGCAAGCCAAGACAAUUUGGGAAGCUUUGGUAACAAAGUUUACCGCCGAAGAUGCAACCAAACAAAAGUUCAUCGUAGGAAAGUACAAUCAGUGGUAGAUAACUGACGACAAAGAAAUGAAAAUCCAAAUCACAGAAUACCAAAUGCUACUCGAGAACUUGAAAAAUGAAGACAUCAAGCUGCCUGAGAAAUUUGCUGUAGGCAUGCUAAUUGAAAAACUGCCUGAGUCAUGGGGCGACUACAAAAAUAACUUGAAGCACAAGGAGGAAAAUUACACCAUUGAUGAGCUCGUAAAACACAUCAUGAUUGAAGAUUCAAAUAGGAAGGAGUUAAGAGCUGCCAAAGCAAAAGAAAUGAGCUUCAAAGCUAAUCUGGUCCAAAACAACAACAAAAGGUACGCCAAUAAGUCCCAGUAUGAUAGACCAAAAAAUCUCAACUACAAGUCCAAUAUCCCCAACUUUAAGAAAAAGAAAGGCAAUUGCUAUUAUUGUGGAAAACCAGGACAUUAUGCUACCCAGUGUAGAUACAACAAGGGUGACAAAGCAAAUGCCAAUCCUCCUAAGGUUAAUUUAACCGAAGGAGAUGAAAUAAUUGCUGCAGUCAUCGCUCAAGUGAACAUUGCAGCCAAUGUGAAAGAAUGGGUGGUAGACUAUGGGGCUACUCAGCACAUAUGUGCAAAUCGAGAAGCUUUUUCCUCCUAUACUCCAAUAGACGAUGAUGAAGAAGUAGUCUACCUUGGAGACUCACGAACUGCUAAAGUUCUGGGUAAGGGCAAAGUGCUCUUGAAACUUACUUCAGGAAAAACUUUGGCUCUUAUUGAUGUGCUGCAUGUGCCAAACAUUCGGGCAAAUCUGAUUUCUGUAGCAUUGCUAGGAAAAGUUGGGGUGAAAGUGUCAUUCGAAUCUGAUAAGAUCGUAAUGAAAAAAAAUAAUAUAUUUGUGGGGAAAGGCUAUUGUAACCAGGGACUCUUUGUACUUAACAUUUCAAAUGUACUUAAUAAGAAUGCUUCUUCUUCUACUUAUAUUGCUGAUUCAAUUUCUUUAUGGCAUGCUAGAUUAGGACAUGUUAAUGCAAGUUAUAUAAAGAAAAUGCAAUCUAGUGGCCUAAUUUCUGGUAUUAAUGAUAAAAUGGACAAAUGUGAAAUAUGUGCAGAAACCAAAAUAACAAAGAAAAGUUGUGUAAGUGUUCAAAGAGAAACUGAAUUAUUAAGUUUAAUUCACACAGACUUAGGUGAUUUGAAACAAACUAUGACUAGAGGAGGUAAAAGAUAUUAUGUUACUUUUAUAGAUGAUUACUCUAAAUACACUAAACUUUAUUUACUUAGAAAUAAAGAUAAUGUUUUUUAUCCUAUAAGUUUGAAGUAGAAAAUCAACUUAAUAAAAGGAUAAAAAGAAUUAGAUCAGAUAGAUGAGGUGAAUAUUUAGUUUUGGAUAGCUUCUGUGAACAUGAAGGUAUAACACAUGAAGUAACACCACCUUAUUCACCAGAAUCUAAUGAUGUAGCUGAAAGAAAAAAUAGAACAUUAAAAGAAAUGAUGAACUCCAAGUUAAUUAGUUCUCAUGCUCCUGAUAAUUUGUGGGGGGAAGCUAUUUUAUCUGCUUGUCAUUUACAAAAUAGAAUUCCACAUAAAAGAACUGGCAACACACCUUAUGAGUUAUGAAAAAAUUAUAAACCUAAUUUGAAAUACCUAAAAGUGUGGGGGUGUUUAGCUAAAGUAUUAUUGCCUGAACCUAAGAAAAGAAGAUUAGGUUCUAAAACUUCUGAUUGUAUGUUUAUUGGAUAUGCGGAACAUAGUGCUGCAUAUAGAUUUCUUGUUUUAAGAAGUGAUGUACUUGAUUGUAAUACAAUCAUUGAGACAAAAAAUGUUGAAUUUUUUGAACAUAUUUUUUCACUAUUUAAUAAAAUUUCUCAUGCACCUGUUGAAAUAAAUAAAGAAACAACCUCUAAUGAGGAGUUGAGAAGGAGUAAAAGGCCAAGAAAAGAAUUUUCUUAUGGAAAUGAUUUUCAAACAUUUCUUGUUGAUAAUGAUCCUUUAACUUAUUUUAAUGCUAUUUCUUCUUCUGAUAGCAAAUUUUGGAAAGAAGCAAUAAAAACUGAAAUUGACUUUAUUAUGAAAAAUAAAACUUGAAUUUUGGUAGAUUUAUCGCCUAGUACAAAACCUAUUGGUUCCAAAUGGAUUUUCAAAAGAAAAUAUAAUCCUGAUGGCUCUAUUGAUAAAUACAAAGCUCAUUUAGUAGCUAAGGGAUUUUCUCAAAAGCGAAAUAUUGAUUAUUUUGACACAUUUGCACCAGUAACAAGAAUUGCCUCUAUUCGGAUUUUAUUUGCUCUGGCUUCUAUUCAUAAACUUUUUAUUCAUCAAAUGGAUGUCAAAACAGUCUUUUUAAAUGGUGAUUUAGACGAAAAAAUUUAUAUGAUCCAAACUGAGGGAUGUAUCAUUUCUGGACAAGAAAAUAAGGUUUGUAAAUUAACUAAAUCUCUUUAUGGCCUAAAACAAGCUCCUAAACAGUGGCAUGAGAAAUUUGAUCAAGUAUUGAUUAAAGACGGAUUUUCGUCUGUAGAAGUGGACAAAUGUGUAUACGUUAAAAUUGUCAAUGAUCAAUAUGUGAUAAUCAGUUUGUAUGUGGAUGACAUGCUUAUAUUUGGUACUAGUCUAAAUAUUGUUAAUAGUACUAAAGAAUUUUUGUUUUCCAAUUUUGAUAUGAAAUAUAUGGGUGAAGUUAAAAUGAUAUUGAGUGUUAAAAUCAUAAGGAGAGAUGAUAGUAUAAUGUUGUCACAAGAACAUUAUACAGAGAGACUUCUUAAGAAGUUUGAAAUUAUGAUGUGACACCUAUAAGCACUUUCUAUGAUGCUAACACUCAAUUAAAGAAAAAUAAUGGUAACCCAAUUGCUCAGUCGAAAUAUGCUCAGAUUAUUGGGAGUCUGAUGCAUUUAAUGAAUUUUACAAGACCAGAUAUAGCCUAUGCUGUAUGUAGACUGAGUAGAUAUACUCAUAAUCCCAAUCGUGAGCAUUGGUUUGCAUUGAUCAGACUAAUGAAAUAUUUGAGAGGUACCAUAAAUUAUGGUAUUUUAUAUUGUGGAUUUCCCACUGUACUAAAGGAUACAGUGAUGCUAAUUGGGUCUCUGAUUCAAAUGAUACAAAAUUCACUAGUGGUUAUGUGUUCACCCUUGGUGGUGGUGCAGUAGCAUGGAAGUCAGCCAAGCAGACAGUCAUUGCUAGGUCAACUAUGGAGUCCGAAUUUAUAGCUCUGGAGUUGACUGGUUCUGAGGCUGAUUGGUUAAGGAAUUUCUUAGCCAAUAUUCCUUUAAAUAAGGAUCUGUUGCCUCCCGUGUCGAUACAUAGUGAUUGUCAAGCGGCUAUUGCUAUUACUAAAAAUAAAUCGUAUAAUUGUAAAAGUCAACACAUGAAAUUGAGACAUGAUGUCGUAAAGCAGUUGCUUAGAGAUGGAAUUAUUUUCAUUGAUUAUGUGAAGUCAGAGUUGAAUUUGGCCGAUCCUCUGACUAAACCCGUAGGAAGAAAAUUGAUUCUUCAAACUUCAAAAGAUAUGGGACUUCGACCAACAAAUUGUCAAUAGAGAUGGUAACCCAACCUAUGUGAUUGGUGAUCCUAUGAAGUAGGUUCAUAUGGGUAAUAACAAGUCAAUAUUGACCGUAACACACUUCAAAUUUAAGUCCCUCCGGAAAUAAGUGCUUUGAGUAAUUGAGGAUGAGUUAAAACUCUUAAUAAAUUCAUAACUUAUUAGGGAGCUAUAUUUAAAGGAGUAUACACUUGAUGAAUUCACCUAUAUGAGAGUGGAGUGGGACCGUUCCUAUAAGAUUCAUUGAUCAAAUUUUUAGAGCUCUCAUGAAAUAACCAGGCAGACGCACGGCCUAAAAGUGCAAAACCGCAUUAACAGCAAAUUAUGGGUUGCAAUGUGAUUGAUAAAAUCUCUGUCAUACAUCAAGAGUUUUUGGUUCAUAGAAAUUUAUAUUUCACCAAUAAUUCUGUAGAUCAUGUUUUAUCAAUCUAUGUUUGGUUCAUAGUCCAAAAGACACCAAUCUAAUAACAUUUCAACCAAAUCAAGCAGAGUACUUUUAAAAUUCUUCCUUUAUCCAAAGAAUUUUUUUGAAAUAGGAAGGAGAUUGUUGUAAAAUAUAUAGUAUUUCAAAAAUAUUCUUUGUCCCACAUCGAAAAAUGAGAAGUAUUGCUUUCUCUGUCCCAUAUUGGGAAGUGAGAAGAGUUGCAGUCUUUGUCCUACAUUGGAAGUGAGAAGGGUUGCACCUCAUUCUGAAAUCUAUAAAUAGGAUCCAUCAUCUUAUCAGAAAAUCACCCCAGCAGCUUCAGUUGAUAUCUUUCUGAUAGCUGCUCUCUCUCUCUUUUAUUUCUAUCAGUUGAUACCUUUCUGACAAUUCUAUUCUCAUCUUCUCUCUAUAUCUGCUGGUUUUAAUUUGCUAGUUCUGGUCCUUCUAGUUUGCAACAAGAAGAAAGCUUGUCUUUCUUGUUCGCAACAAAUAGAAGAAAGCUUGUUUAAUCCUGGGGAGACAUUUCAAUUUCAUGAAAUAGUUUCUUAGGACAGUACUACGCACGACUCAAGCAAUAGUGUUAACAUUGUUGUGGCCGUUUCGACAACAACAUGUUGUGGGCAUCCCUUGUACAUGGAUUCUCCAUUAUUGGCCUUAUCGAUUUGAGGGUAAUUUCUUGUUAUUGACGCACUAUACCUUGUGCUCAAAUAUUUGUAUUUUUUUGCUUUCUUUUGAAAAUGGAAUGGUAUAUUUGUGGCAUUAAUUUAAAUAUUAAUCAAUUCCCUAGUUGAUUUCCAUCGUUAGUCCAAUCCUAGUCCAUCUGACUUGUAUUCCUUUGUAGUUUUUGCAGUGUUAGCUUGUGUUGUUUAGAGUUUGACGAACCUUUGUCAUAUAAUUGGAGAAUCUGUUUUCUAACUGUAAUUGGGGCUUUAAAACUUUACUUUUGUCUAUCAGACUCUAUUUAAGUUUGCCCUAAUUAAGUUCUUUCUGUUCGUCCAGUUAGUAGUUUGGUUAAUUGUUUAACUCCCAUUAAUUCCUUUUUGUUAGUCUAAUUAUUAGUUUGGUUAAUUUCAUAUAAUAUCCAAUAGGAUUUACUUGUCUAAUUAUGUAAUAGUAGCUGAUUCUAGUUUCAUUAGCUUGGGUAAAAAGGGAUGCAGUGUUUCAUAGUUCCUAAUCGUUGGUUCAACUUGUGAGGUAAGGUAAGUACACUGUUCAAAAAGAGAUAUUAGCCAACUGUAUGGCAUUUUUUGAAGGAAGGUGCAAUAAACUGAUAUGGGCGGCAGCGCUUACUAAUUAAGUGCUGGGUAAUUGUUUGCUUGUCUUCAAUUUAUAGAGCACUUUAUCUUGUUGCCUUGUUGUUUCUUUUCUUAAAGGAAAACUUGCUGUCAGGUCAGGGCCUGAAAAAUCUUUUAUGUAUGGUGUCAGGGCUGCUAACUUCUUGUCAAUGGACAUGGAUUGUGAUGAAUGUGUGUUUUGGACUAUUUAAUGCCGCCAUAAAUUCUCACACACACUCUCUCUUAACGUACAUUUAAAUGUGUUUGAUUUUUCCUAAUAUGUUACAGGAAGGCUGGUUUAACCUUGUCCUGCGUUUAAGUGAAGUCAGUGCAUUCUUCUUGAUAGCAAAUUUGCGGGCUGACAUGAAGUUGGGCAUGCUUAAAGGCUGAAGAUCGUCACUCCAGUCUUCCUUGUAUCUGUGGUAGAGGGUCUCAAGGUGAAGGUGGUGAAUAGCUGGUGCUAAAGCUGCAUUUAUGCUUUAGAUACAGAGCAUUCGAGGAACUCAGAACUGUCUCUGGUAAAACUGGUUGAAAAGAGACUACUUAGUUGAAUCAGGCAUGUUGGCGGAUCAGAGGGAAAGGGGGUCCAUAACAUCUCUUCUUCCCUUGAUUUCUGUUAUCCUUUGACAUGUUUCUCUAAUUAUUUUUAGGGUUAGGGGGGUAUAUGCGUUUUAGCUAGUUUGGCAUGAUUUGGUCUUUUGACUUACCUUUUCUUAUUGUUGCCAUGAUUUUGAAUUGCAGAAUUUGGAUAUUGACAUGGCUAAGGAAGGAGACGAGCAAAAAGCAAAAAAGAGAAAAGUGGUAGUUGCAAAUUAUAUGGUAUUAGCAACAUUAGUAGUUUGGUGGCAUGAGAAACAUAUAGUAAAGGAGGCUUAUUUUGACUUUAAAGUAGCACGUGAAAUAUAUCUAAGGCGUCUUUACUAUAGAAACAAUAGAGUUUGUGUAGAGCAACUUCGACUCAAUAAACAUUGUUUUACUGUUUUAUGUACAAAUUUAAGAGAGCAUUGUGGGUUGAGGGGUACUAGAAAUAUUACUGUUGAAGAAGUAGUUGCAAUGUACAAGGGAUUGGACAUAGUAAAUAAAUUAUUAAAGGCACUAAUUGGCUUUUUCCUUAAAGCUUUAGUAACAAUUAGCUAAAUGUUAAAAAAUUAUUAUAUACUAAAAAAAAGAAAUUUUUUAUGUAAGGAAAUGUUAGUUGGAAACAAUUCUAAUUUUUAAUGAAUUCUUGUCUCAUCCAAACAAAGAAUUUGAAAUUCCAAAUGAAUUCUGUAUCAAUUCUAUGUAUUAUCCAAACAAAAGAAUUCCAAUGUUUUGGAAUUCCAAUUCAUAGAAUUCUAAUUCUAUAGAAUUCCAAUUCCAAUUCAAUUCCAAUUCUGUAGAACCAAACGCACCCUCAAAUUAAUUACAGGGAUAUUGGUGCUAAGGUUUGAAUAUCAGUACUUUUCCUUCCGUUCAAGGCAAUCUGCUGAUUGUUUGCUAAGCAAAUUAUUCCCUCCAAAGAUGAAUUGAAGAGAAAAAGAUAUCUUGUAUCAAUUGAAAAUAAAAUUGGGUUCCACAAUUUUCAAAAAGUUUGGACGUCAUUUUAGCAAAUUUUGAAAAUGCCAAUUUUGAUCAGCCAACAAAGUUCAAAGUUUUGCUAGCAUUUUUAAUUCCCUUUUUCAAGCCCAAAACGUCGUUGUUUUGCUGACACAAUUUAGUUGCUUGUGUGGCUUCAUCUUGACCGUUGAUAGGUUAACUUUUAAUCUUGGCUAUGAAAUUAUUGCAAAUGGAAAUUGUGAGGUCCCGCUCACUCCGUUACUCAAAGUUUUUCUCUUCUGGGUAGAUGAGCUCUUCCUUUACUGUAGAGGGAUGAUGACUCCAAUUUAUACCAAAUCGAUUUUCAGCGGUGUUGUAUACGGAGAGCUUCCAACAAAAAACUUACCUAUACAAGCGAAGAUUAAACUCAAGCUGCUAUUGUCCCUAACAUUGCCUAGAAUAUUGCACAAAAUUGCUAAGAUUACAAACAACUCUUUUAACAACUUUUGCAAGAAACAAGAGUUUUGUACACCAUCACAUUUCACUCAAGACUAGGGUGACAAAUGAAUUAAGCCACUUAUGAGCGCUUGCAAGUUGGUUAAGUCAAAAUUCAAUUCGAACUUGAUCAAGUUGAUCUCAAGUCAAUCAAGUCGAGCUAUCAAACUCGAGUCAAACGUAGAAAAACUUAAUUCAUUAGCUCACGAGUCAACUCAAAAAAUAUGCAUGUACGUAGAUACGUACGUAUGUAUGUAUGUAUGUAUACAUAUAUAUACACAUAUAUAUAUUAUUUUUUAUUUUAAUAGUGAAAUUACAUAUAUGUCACUAAUAUUUUUAUUAUUUAUUAAGAAUAAAUGUCUAUUUUAUUCAUUUUUUAGAAAAAUAAAAUAAUUAUUUUUCAUUUUUUAAAACUCGAGUAGGUUCGAAAUCGAGCUCAACUAGGCUCAAAUUUGAGGCUAAACUCAAACUCGAGUUUUACAUUGAAAACUCAUUGAGUUUAAACUUGAGUUUAAAUUUGGUAAAAUUGAAUCCAACUCGGCUCGAUUAAGCAAAAUCUGGACUCAACUCGACUUGUUUGCAGUCCUAUCAAGACUAUACAAAAUCAGAUCACUAGAAAUAUAAAGGACUUAAGUUUUUAUAAGAACAAUAGUCAUUUGAAUUAACUUUCUGUUGGAUUUUGAGAAGGAAAGAAAUCCUUUUUGCUUAAAAGAAUGUUUUGAAAGAAUGAACACGGACAUCAAACUUGACGCGUAAGGAAAACAUGGAAAGAAAUAUUCUUUAGUAGUAAGAGUAUGUUGAUUUCAAUUGAAAGAAUGAAUAUGGACAUCAAAAUGGAUUAGUGAAAAAUUUUGAAUUCAGAAUCAACAAAUUCUAUUAUGGAUUUGAUGAUGGAAUUAGACUUUAUAUUCGACUACUAAAGAAGUUUAAGAGAAGUGUUAACCUUCACCUAUGGUAAAAGUACUUCUCUCUAGAACCUUUUUCUCCUUCUUUUCUUUAGAACUCUUCCGGUUAAAAUUUCUUUCAUCUCUCCUAUGGGAGAGAAACCAAAUUUGAUCUUUUCCAUGGGAGGGAGCACUCUCUAAUUUUUAGUUUCUCUUGUUGAAUAGAUUAUCUCCUAAGGGCUUUUAGUUGGAGAUUCUUCUCUUCUAAAAUCUCCUAGUGAGAGUUUUUUUCUCUCUUAGUAAGAGUUUUAUUCUCUCCUGGAUUUUCCCUUGUGAGAUUUUUUUUUGUUUUUAUCUUCUCUAUAAAAUUUGAAAUUUUGUAAAUCUAGAAUCCAGUUUCUCAGAUCUAUAAUUUCUCCAUUAUUGUCAAAUCUAAUUUCUCUUUGAAUUUGAACUAGUUUUAAUCAUAUUUGAUUGUCAGAAGACAUGCACAAAUAUAUUGGGUUACAAUAAUUUAUCCGAUUGGAAGAUACGCAGGAACAACAAUGUUAUCUAUAUUUGUAUUGAUUUCUUAGAUCUCUUGUAUCUAUUGAUUUUUGAUCUGUAUGUAUCCGUGUCCUAUUUAUUUGAUGUAUUUUUUGCCAUUAGUGUUGAUUUAUUUAAUAAAAUGAUUUUUUAUAUCAGAAAAAAAUGAAGUUCGAGAGAAAUAUGGAUUUUGUGGUUGAUUAAUUGAAAACAGAUAUUAUAUUAAGUUAAAGAAUGAAUCCAGGCACAAUGAAUGUUUUUAGGCAUCAAUUUGAAUUUAAAAUCAAUUAAUAAAAAUCCUAGAAAAGGAUUCCAUGUCAAAUAUGGAUUUAACUCCAAAAAGUGAGGAAUUAAUUUUGAAAGAAAUCAAUCAAAUUCUUUUCAAAAAAAAAUAAUACCUAUUUUUAAUUGUUUAGAAAAUGAUUGACUGACUUGGAAAAAUUAGAAAAUAUCUUCCACACAUCAUGAAACAUGUAGAAAGUUAAUUUUGACAGCAAGGCAUAAUUUUUUUCAAAAACUUUCAAAAAUAAAUUGAAGAGUGAUCUUGUUAUUGCCUGAUAGGCUAACCUAAAGAUCAGACGAUGACUGAGAGAUCAAUGUUAUCUCAACAAUUAAAUAUAGAUUUAAAGCUAGACUGUUAUAUGCUCUUUGGUAUAAAUUAAUCUUGUAUAUCAAAUCAAUUAUGCUAAGAACUUCUACUGAGAUCUUAUUGCCCAAUGAUACCACUCUUACUCAUGAGAGACGGCAAGACGUUCUUUUUUUACUGUGCAUAGUUUUUUUAUUUAUAUGCUCAAUGAUACAAUACUCUUACACAUAUACCUGACCUGUGCAAUUUUUUACUUCUCCUGCCGGUGACCAAGAAUGAAGCUAACCACCAAGGUCAUAGAGUAAAUUCUCAUGGUCUCUCAUGGUCAUCAUAAGCAAUUAGUAUUCCUUUUUUCCUUGUACAUUAUCUUUUCUACAAAAAGAAAAGAAAAGAAAAGAAAAGUUUUUCUUGUUUCAUUUCUAUAGCCAAGUCAAAGGAAAAAUAUUUAACUCCUAGCCAAGAUCUUCAAUUCUGAUGAUUAAAUUAGUUAGAUGAACUUAUCUCUAGCUUUCUUUUUUUUUUUCAGUUCGAUGUUCAAUUAGUUAGAUUAAAAUAUUUUUUGUUAGAUUAAAUUAGUUAGAUGUUUAAUUCUGACGAUUACUGAUUUUUACAUAACAUUGAGUAACCGGAAAAAUGCCAUCAAGCUUGUCAAGACAUAACUAAUAAAAGAAUGCAUCGUCCCCGUGGGUAAUUGUAAUCAAAGAAUGCCAACAUUAAUGAUAUUUUGCUUCCAAAAAUUCUAAACAGCAUAAUCUUCCCUUCUUUUCUCUUCUUGUUGUUUCUCUACUUACAUUUUCUCAUUUUUUGUUUUCUAUACUAAACUCCCAACUAGCCGCAAGUCUUCCUUAUUUCACCAAUAAGCCGUUACCCAUUGCCCACCUAACCACCUGGGCUCUUCUUCUUCUUUUUUUUUACCAGAAUGAAAAUGGGGUUAAAUCCACACCCUCAUAACCUAAAUCGACAUCCUUUGUAAUCGAGUUGAUCAAAAUUGUUGGAUCUUUAAUCCAACAUUGGACUUAUAUGUGAAUGAUUAUGUGUUGCAAAUUGUCAAUUAAGGUUAAUCCCAAUUAAAGUGAUCAAAUAUAGUUUGGGCUUAAUGUGUCUAAUAGGGUGUGGGCCUUUAAUGUGUAGAGACUUAAGGGCUCCUAUUUCUAUGAUGGGCUGAAAUAGGGUUCCAAAGGGUAACAGGAAUGUUACCUAUAAAUAGGGUUAUGGUCCCCAGGUCACAGGUAUCGUUUUAGUUAUCGUAUUUCCUAAAUACCACAAUAUAGCUCUUCUCUGAUAUCCCAUCGUCAGGAAAGAUAUCAGAGAGAAACUAAAGGUCUCUCUCAAAGGAUCGGUGAAUACCUGUUGACCUGGAAGGCCACCCCAAAAUCUCUAGGGAUUCAAGUAUCAAGUUUAUCAAUAUGGAUUCAGGUACGCUUCCUCUAUUUUACAGUUAAUGUAUUUCUUAAUAAUCGCCAUAUAGAUCUUGGGUUUAAAGGUGAUGGUUUUCACUAGUGGUUAAAUUUAGAUAACCACCCUAACAAGUGGUAUCAGAGCCCAUGUGGUUGAUUAUUAGGAAAUAAUUUGGAUUUAGUAAUUUAUAGUAAAUUUGCACGGCUGAUUUAGUAACUUGCAAGCCUUGGUUGCUGAUGGCUUUAUAAUUGCAUGCCUUUUGUUUUCGGCCUCUGCCUCACAAAAAGAAAAAAAAAAGGGAUUCAUGGUGCUUUUGGUCUUCGGCCAAUUGAUUUCGUGUGACUAUACAUGCUUAUGUUUGGUGGGUCAAUUGGUCUUCGGUCAGAACUAUGAAUCCAGGUUUCGUGUGACUAUACAUGCUAUUGGUUCAUUGUUUUGGUUUCAUGAAAUUCAAGUGGGAUCCGCAUGCUUUGAUGAUGUAAGCUAACUUGUCUCCGGCUUCGGGAUGUCAUUCGUCCUUUUCCUCACUUUGAAGAUUAAAUUUAAACUUGUUUCUUCGUUUAAGAGCCAAUAUGUAUAUUUAUUUAUGUAAAAGAAAUUAGGGUUUAUUUAAUUUAAGUAAACCCUAAUAAAGUUAAAUAGGACAUUUAAGCCCUAUAAAAUCCAUAUGUGUGGCCCAUUAAAUAUGUAGUUUUUAUAAAGUACUUAUGGAUUUCAAGAAAAUUUUUGAGUUUGAAUGUUAAUUUUGGGUCAAAUUAUGGAUAUGGACCUUUGGUCCAAUAAGUCAUGAUUUAAUUUGAUUGAUUUGACCAUGUUUGACCACGUUUUGACCAAAGUUGACUUUGAUCAAAAUUUUUAUUUAAUUUGGAUAAUUUUAAAUUUGAAUGUUGGUAUGAUUAUAUAUAUUUUGGAAUAAAUUAAUUGAAAUAAUAUGCCACCAAAGUGACCUCUAUUAUGGAAAUUAAUUUAUUUUAAAAUAUAACUAGUUGGGUACUAGUAAUUUUAUGAAUAUUGAUCGGUCCAAAGGAAGGUCAAUAUUUAAUGAAGUUACAUGUGCACUUGUGGUAAUAAAUACGUGAUAAUUAUUUGGAUUUUACAUGUAAUUUAUAAAUUGGCCAAAAGGAAAAUUUAUUUUUGACAUGUUAUUAUUAUCAGUAUUUAUUACUGCACCAAGAUAUCACUUAGAAGUUAAUAUUUUUAUCCAAAGAUAAAAUAUUAAUGAAAUAUCGGUAUCUUGAGAUGGGACUACCAUUAUUUAAAUUUAUUAUUAUUUUGAUUUAUGUGAGCUUAUUUUAAUUAUAUUAUGUUUUCUGUUCAAUUGCGAAUGAUCUUAUAGAUAUUACUUCUAACAUCAAUAAUAUUCCUAUGCUGAAUGGCACAAACUUCAAGUCCUGAAAAGAAAAUCUCUUGAUAGUACUUGGAGUAAUGGGUCUCGACCUUGCGUUAAGGAAUGAUUCCUCCCCACCUCUUACAGAUCAAAGUACCUCUGAUGAAAAGAGAAAUAAUGAGAGGUGGGAGAGAUCAAAUCGCUUGUGUCUGAUGAUCAUUAAAAAGACCGUUCCAAAAGCAUUCAGGGAUACAAUAUCAGAAGCGACUGUAACCGCUAAAGAGUUCCUUCAAGAUAUUGAAAAAAGAUUUGUCAAGAACGAAAACGCAGAAAUUAGUACGCUCUUGACAAACCUAGUUUCAAUGAAAUAUAGUGGUAAAGACAAUAUUAGAGAGUACAUCAUGGAGAUGUCUCACCUUGCUUCAAAAUUGAAUGCAUUAAAAUUGAAACUCUCUGAAGAGUUACUAGUGCAUUUGAUUUUAAUAUCUCUUCCUACACAGUUUAGUCAAUUUAAGGUGAGUUACAACUAUCAAAAGAAAACUUGGUCUCUAAAUGAACUCAUCUCACACUGUGUAGAGGAAUAGGAAAGGUUGAAGCAAGAACAGACAGAAAGUGCCCAUCUGGUGUCAACUACUAAUAAUAAAAGUAAGGAAUUUAAGAGGAAAAAGGAAAAAGGAGCUGCAGGUACAGCGCCACAAAAGAAACAACAAAAGAAAUCAAAUGAUCAAGGAAAGAAUAGUUGUUUCUUCUGUGGAGCUGAAGGGCAUCAAAAGAAGCAUUGCACCAACUAUCACGCUUGGCGUGCUAAGAAAGGUAUGCUUCUUAAUUUGGUUUGUUCUGAGUUUAAUUUAACUUCGAUACCUAGACACACAUGGUGGUUAGAUUCUGGUGCAACAACUCACAUCAGUGUGUCUAUGCAGGGUUGUCUGAAUUGUCGAAAGCCUAAUGAUAAUAAAAGACAUAUCUACGUGGGUGAUGGCAAAACAAUUCAAGUUGAGGCAAUCGGAGUUUUUAGAUUAUUGUUAAAGACCGGAUUUUAUUUGGAUCUCUAUGAGACAUUUGUUGUACCGUCUUUUAGACGGAAUUUAAUUUUUAUUUCUGUUUUGGACAAAUUUGGUUAUUUUUGUUCAUUUGAAAAUGAAAAAUUUGAAUUGUUUCAUGAUUCAAAAUUGGUCGGUUCUGAUUCUUUAAUGCAUUACGAUAAUCUAUAUUUAAUUGAUACGAUUGCCUCAUUUAAUGAAUCUCUACAUUUGAGUACUAGAGGAGUAAAGAGAAAAUUAACCAAUGAGAAUUCAGCCGCAUUAUGGCACAAGAGAUUGAGACAUAUCUCCAAGCAGAGAAUGAAAAGACUUGUGUCAAAUGAAAUUCUCGACCCCUUAAACUUUACAGAUUUUAAUGAUUGCAUUAACUGUAUAAAGGGGAAACAAACCAAUCAAAGGAGAUUUGAAGCCAAUAGGUCUUCAGACGUCUUAGAACUUAUACAUACGGAUAUUUGUGGACCAUUUCCUACAUCUGCUUGGAAUGGUCAACAAUAUUUUAUAACGUUCAUAGACGAUUUUUCAAGAUAUGGCUACAUAUAUGUCAUUUCUGAAAAGUUACAGUCACUGGACGUGUUCAAAACUUUUAAGGCUGAAGUUGAAAAUCAACUCAACAAAAGAAUUAAAAGCGUCAGAUCUGACCGUGGUGGUGAAUACUAUGGUAGAUAUGACAGUUCAGGUGAACAACGUCCAGGACCAUUUGCCAAAUACCUAGAGGAAUGCGGUAUCGUCCCACAGUACACUAUGCCCGGUUCACCUACUAUGAAUGGUGUAGCUGAAAGACGAAAUAGAACGCUUAAAGACAUGGUAAGGAGUAUGAUAUGUCAUUCUACUUUACCAGAGUCACUCUGGGGUGAAGCACUUAAGACUGCAGCAUAUAUUCUUAAUAGAGUUCCAACUAAAGCAACUAUCAAAAUCCCUUAUGAGCUUUGGACAGGGAAAAAGCCCAGUUUAAAGCAUCUGCAUGUUUGGGGGUUUCCAACUGAGGCAAGGCCUUACAGGCCAAAUGAAAAGAAACUGGACUCAAGAACGAUUAGUUGUUAUUUUAUUGAAUAUUCUGAAAAAUCCAGAGGUUACAAGUUUUAUGAUCCCACAACAAAAUCAAUUUUUGAGACAGAAAAUGCCCGGUUCUUUAAGGAUGUCGAGUUUGGGGGAGAAAAUACAGUAAGGGACAAUGUCUUUAAAGAGGAAUAUAUUAAUAUUCCCACAGGUGUCAUUGCUCUUGCUCAGGACCCUAUUCCUGAACUUGAUCAUGAUAUGACAAAUCAAGACAAUGUCGAAAAAUAAACUGUUAUAGAAGAACAAACUCUUCCUCUCCAAGAACCAGUGCCAUUAAGAAGAUUCACUUGAGAAAGGAGAAGUGCAGUGCCAGAUGAUUACAUUAUUUUUCUCCAAGAACAUGAGGAUGACAUUGAAUUGAUGGAAGAUGAUUCAAUAACUUCCGUCAAGUCAUGGAAAGUUCAAAUUCUCAAAAGUGGAUCGAUACCAUGAAUGAGGAGAUUAAAUCCAUAAAGGACAAUGAUGUUUGGGAUCUUGUCCCAUUGCCAGAAGGUGCGAAACCCAUUGGUUGUAAAUGGAUAUUUAAAAUCAAGAGGGAUUCGAAAGGCAAUGUGGAAAGAUACAAAGCUCGUCUUGUCGUUAAGGGAUUUACACAAAAAAAAGGUAUUGACUAUAAAGAAAUUUUCUCUCCGAUCUCUUUAAAGGACUCUUUUAGAAUUAUCAUGGCACUAGUGGCACAUUUCGAUCUUGAGUUACAUCAGAUGGAUGUAAAGACAGCGUUCCUCAAUGGUAACAUUGAUGAGACUAUUUAUAUGGUGCAACCAGAAAACUUUGUGUCAGGAGAUCUAAAGAAUAUGGUUUGCAAACUUAAAAAAUCCAUCUAUGGGUUCAAACAAGCGUCUCGACAAUGGUAUUUCAAAUUUCAUCAAAUGAUCAUCUCAUUUGAUUUUGAGAUGAAUUUAGUAGAUGAUUGCAUAUACCAUAAGUUCUGUGGGAGCAAGUAUAUUUUUCUGGUAUUGUAUGUUGAUGACAUUUUGCUUGCCAGCAAUGAUAUGGGUCUAUUGCAUGAAACCAAGAAAUUUCUGACUAAGAAUUUUGAGAUGAAAGAUCUUGGUGAUGCAUCUUUUGUGCUAGGUAUACAAAUACACCGAAAUCGAUCUCAGGGUAUUUUAGGACUAUCACAAAAGAGCUAUAUCGAAAAGGUUCUCAAAAGGUAUGGCAUGCAAAAUUGUAAACCAGGUGACACUCCCGUGACUAAAGGAGACAAAUUUAGUCUUGAACAGUGUCCCAAGAAUGCUUUUGAGAAAAAAGAGAUGCAAAAGAUUCCUUAUGCAUCAGCAGUAGGGAGUCUAAUGCAUGCUCAAGUAUGUACGCGUCCGGAUAUUGCGUACAUUACUGGAAUGUUGGGUAGAUAUUUGAGUAAUCUUGGAUUAGAUCAUUGGAAAGCAACGAAACGGGUCUUACGAUAUCUACAAAAAACAAAGGACUACAUGCUCACGUAUCGGAAGUCAGAUGAGUUAGAGAUCAUUGGGUAUACUGAUUCCGAUUAUGCUGGAUGCAAAGAUACUAUGAAGUCAACGUCAGGCUAUGUCUACUUGUUGGCUGGAGGUGGCAUAUCCUGGAAGAGUGCUAAACAGUCCCCCAUAGCAUCUUCCACUAUGGCUGCAGAAUUUAUAGCUUGUUAUGAGGUAUCCAACCAAGGAAUUUGGCUGCAAAAUUUCGUCAUAGGAUUACGUGUAGUGGAUGGUAUUGAAAGACCACUCAAAUUAUUCUGUGAUAAUAAGUCGGCAGUCUUAUAUUCCAAUAACAACAGGAGUUCGACCAAAUCUAAACAUAUAGAUAUCAAAUUCCUGGCUGUUAAAGAAAGAGUGCAUAAUGGACAGUUAUCGAUAGAGCACAUCGGGACAAACUCCAUGGUUGUGGAUCCGCUUACUAAGGGAUUGCCACCCAAAAUGUUUCAUGAGCAUACUACUCGUAUGGGUGUCGUGUUAUCAAAUGAUGUACAGUUUUAGUGAGAAUUUGUUAUUUUGAAUAUUCUUAUGAUAUUUUUCAAUUAUUAAGGAUUUAAGAAUAUUUUAUGCAUAAAUAAAGUUUGGAUUUAUCUACAUUCUGACUUUGGUAUGGUUUGAUCUCAUGAAAGUUUAAGAUGGACCAGUUGGAAAUAGGCAUGUUUUGAUCACAUUACAUAAAAUUUUCAUGCUACACAUCCACAUCAUGAUUCAUGUCAUUCAAUUGUAUCGAUAUAUGUGACCAUUGAUGGGUCGAGUUAUGAAAGUGUAACAAAGGCCGCUUUGAUCCUAUAUUGGUAUGAUUGAUGGACCGAAUUGGUUGCAGAUACAUUAUGCUAAUGACAAUAAAGUUGAGCUCAUACGGUUAAUUGCGAAACAUAAUUAUAAGGUUACACAUAUAGUCCAAGUGGGAGAUUGUUGGAUCCUUAAUCCAACAUUGGACUUAUAUGUGAAUGAUUAUGUGUUGCAAACUGUCAAUUAAGGUUAAGCCCAAUUAAAGUGAUCAAAUAUAGUUUGGGCUUAAUGUAUCUAAUAGGGUGUGGGCCUUUAAUGUGUAGAGAUUUAAGGGCUCCUAUUUCUAUGAUGGGCUGAAAUAGGGUUCCAAAAGGUAACAGGAAUGUUACCUAUAAAUAGAGUUAUGGUCCCCAGGUCACAGGUAUCGUUUUAGUUGUCGUAUUUCCUAAAUACCACAAUAUAGCUCUUCUCUGAUAUCCCAUCGUCAGGAAAGAUACCAGAGAGAAACUAAAGGUUUCUCUCAAAGGAUCGGUGAAUACCUGUUGACCUGGAAGGCCACCCCAAAAUCUCUAGGGAUUUAAGUAUCAAGUUUAUCAAUAUGGAUUCAGGUACGCUUCCACUAUUUUACAGUUAAUAUAUUUCUUAAUAAUCGCCAUACAGAUCUUGAGUUUAAAGGUGAUGGUUUUCACCAGUGGUUAAAUUUAGAUAACCACCAUAACAAAAACCCAUAGCAUUUAUGGCUUGAUAGAAACUUUUUCAAUAAAAAAUUAGCCUUUUGUUUGGUGAAAAUAGAUGAUGCUAAUUUAGAUUUAAAAUUUAUAUCAUUAUGAAUGGUUUUAAAAAUUUUGACUUUUUUUCAUUCACUUUAAUGGCAUUUAUUUUUUUUCCUCUUAUUGGUGGAGAGAAUGUUUUAAUCUCUUUUUAGGGAUAAUUUCAAAAGCCUCCCAUAAGGUUUUUGACUAUUUCACUUAGUUCGCCAAAGAUUUCAAAAAUUACCCUCCCUUGGGUUUACCAUCUUGGUAACAAAAAUUAUGAAGUUCGUUUUACUUUCUUAUAAAAUUCUUUAAAAAAAUGGAAUAUGCACAAAUUCCUAGAUCCACUUUCAACCCUCAUUUCUACUAUUUUAAACCUUUCAUAUUCUUACAUCUCAAAUUAGUACCAUUAUCACCAUGAUCACCACCACCAUCAAUCCCUAAAUUCUAAAACCUCAAUCUAAGUUACAAAAGAAAAAAAAAAUUAGCACUAUUAUUAAUAUAAUAUCCUAUCCCUCAAGUGUUCAAGUACCAACACAUGCCUCGUCCUUUUUAAAUCUUCAACUUAUAUCUUCUUCUAUUCAUCUUUAGAUCUUUCAAGCAAAACUAAAAUUAAUUUGUAGUAAUAUGUAAGAAUUGUGUUUAGGACAUAAUUAUUUAUUCUAUGAAUGAAUCUUUUUUUUGUUUCCAUUAAAUGUUUAAUUGUGUGGUGCAUUCCUAUGCACAAGAUUAGGAGAGUAUUAUUUAAUUGCAUGAAAAAUAUUAAUAUAUUAAAGUUAUCAUUGUCAUUUUAUAGGACCAAGGAAGGUAAAUGUAAUAUUGAAAACCUCAAGGGUAGUUCGUGAAAUUGUCAGAAAUUUUGAGAGAGGUUUCUAAAAUUAUUCCCUCUUUUAUAAUGUAAGAGGAGAUGAGAUUUUUUUUUUAAAAAAAAUUGUGUUAAGAAAAUACUUUUACCUUUUGGUACGUUACAUUUCCAAGUUGAUUGAAGUAUAAUUUUAGAAAACACUAGAGGAUUAAUAAUUAGAAUGAUGGAAUCAAACAAUUUCAAUUAAUUAAAAUUUGUAAUUGAUUUUUUAAGCAUUUCUUGUUGUGUGAAAGGCAAGUUUUGGUAUUGGGAAAAAGUUUCUAUCAAUUUUCUAUGUGUUUUAUCAUCAUCUUAAUUCUAGGGGCGUAGAUUUAGACUAAGGGCGUGUGAAUUUAGCCCCACUCUUUUUAUAUUUGAAUAUUAGUUUUGGUUAGUAAUUCUUUUGGAUCAUGGUUUUCCAUGGCUCUAGAAAUAUAAAAUUCAUUAGCUUUUUUUUUAAAUUUGACUGAAAAAUAUUGUAUAUAUGCAGUUUUUGGUUUUAGGUUUUCUAAUUUCUUGGAACUUAAGGCUUGGAAAUCUGGAGGCUCAAGUGAGCUUCAGUGCUCCGAGCUCGAGUUAACAAAUUGCAUACUCAAAGCAGGCCCCUACUGGCAGUGAUAUCCUGAUCUCAUGGAUGAAGGCUAACGUUUUCUAUUGGAAUAGAGGGAUGUGCAGAUAAGGUAGCUAGAUAACGUAGCUGGAUUUGGAAUAUAUGCUCAGUAAGGAAACAUUACCAGCCCAAGGAACUGUAAUUGCCCGUUUUCCAUAAGAAUUGCCUAGGCCUUAAUCCUUGUUGGUCCACAAUAAGUUGGACCUGGAUUUACCAUGUGAGCCGAGUAAAGAGAAAAAAGCGAGAGAGUUUGUGUGUAUGUAUCAUAACAGACUGCCCAGUUUUUUGUCUAGCAAACGGAAGAAAACACAAUAUUACGCGAAUGGCUUAUUCUCUUGCUUUGAAUUACAGCUCGCCCAUGAAUUGUAACAGUUUUGUGACAUAAAAUUUGUUUAUUGGAAAAAUAACAUUAAACUCACUACACUAACUUAUAUAUACUAGCUAUCGAAGCACACUCGAUGCGUCUACAACUUGUUAAAAAAUAUUUUUAAUUGAAAAAAUCACAAAAAUAGUGCAAGUGAAUAUAACUAUUUUAUGUAAUAUGUAAUAAAAAGUGUAUUAUACAUAAAUAUGUAAAAAAAACCUUUGGUAAGAGAGAACGUGAGAAUUGGAGGGCGGUAGUUUUGAUUGAGUAGGAUUUAUGUAUACGUUGAUAAUAAAGAUAAGGGUAAUUUUGGUAGAGUAAAAUUAGUGUAUUAGUAGAUAAUAGAGAUGGAUAACGAAAAUAAAGGUUAAUAAAUAAUAAAGAUAAGGAUAAAUAUGAAAAUAAAUAAAGUUAACAUCAAAUUAACUAAAUGCACAGACUUUAGUAUUGUAAAGAUAUGUAUGUGUGUGUAUAUAUAUGUAUGAAUGUGCGUGUACAUAUAUAUAUGUAUGUAUGUGUAUAUUUAUAUAUGUAAGAGUACAUGAAUACAUUAUUCUAUUCUUCAAAAUUAGAACUUACCCAUGAAUUGUAACAUUUCUGAAACAAAAUAUACUUACAGAAAAAGUAACACUAAACUUACUUCCUAUCUUGCUCCUUAAGAGUCAUAGUAGAAGAACCCAUGUGAAUAGCUUUUCUUUUACUUCUUUGCCAUCCACACUUCGGCCUCACAAGCCAGUCGAUUGUCACUUAUUAAGGACUUCAGUUAGCCUCUUAGUACAGGUCAAGGGAUUCCCUUGACUUGUAUUCAUCUCCAGAAUUUUUUGAAAGUUUCAUCAGUGGGUGUAAAUGUGCCCCAUUUGAUCCGGUAGUGAUUUAAUCCCAUCAUUGUACUUUCUUAGGUCAUUUGGGCCCAUGCCCUCUCCCUUAUUAUAGAGUAGGAGUAGAAUAAAAAAGUUAUUGUAUGUCGACAAAAAAAAAAGUUAGCCUCUUAGUAGGAUAGCUGCCACUUCUUCUUUCCCUCCUCUCGCUUUUUCCCCCUCAGCACUAAAUUUUUAGGAAUAUGUCAAUUUUGAUCACGAAAUUUUGGACUAUUUCGUACUCAAACUUUUUGACAUAACACAUUUAAUAUCUAAACUAUCAAUUUUUGAUCGAUUUCAUUCUCAAAUGGAACAUUAAUCAAUUUGGAUUGAAAAAUGCCAGUUUUUUGGCCAAAUUUUCGGCUAUGGACAUAUUUUGUUCUCAAACUAUGCAUUGCCUAUGCUGUUGAUUCUCUCUUUUAUUGCCAGCUAUUGAUUUGGAUGCAAUUGUUUGAGAACGAAAUGUGUCCAUAACCCAAAGUUUGAAAAUGAAAACUAGUGUUUUCCAUUAAUUUUCCCUUUAACAAUGAAAUUGGUCAAAAAUUAAUAAUUCAUAGACUUAAUGUGUUAUAAAGUUUGAGUUGUCCGUGGUCAAAAAUUUGUCCGGCUUUUUCCCAUCAAUUUCCUAAUGCAAUGAUUAGAGUAUAACUUCAAUUUGACUACAAUCUUUUACCAUUUUUGUUUUUUUUUUGUCUCUACUAAGUGGACUGGGGCUAGAAAGUUUUCAAGCUUAAUACAAAACAAAAAGAUGGCACCUGAUACACGUAAAAUGGCUUGUGCAUGGGGUUGCAUAUGCGUGCAUGGAGUUAGUACAGCUGGAGUUAGUUACAAUAGGUUAGUCAGUGAUUUGUACAAAUCUUAUGACGUCAGUCGACGUCAUAAGUUUGUUAGCCGACUUACAAUCACCGCCUUAGUCACUUAUAAAAGGUGAAGCUGGAAGUCUAUGGCGGUAUUGGAUUCCAUUUGUAAAGUUGCAUUUUCACAUUUCUCUAUAAUCUCUCUCUUCCCAUCAUCAUUCAAGUCAAUAAACUUUCUCUGGUUUUCAGAUCACUUCUCCAUCAUUUCUGUGGUCCCUAGAUCAGAGAUUACAGACCUCAACUACUCUUUGCAUCAGUGGUAUCAGAGCUGGGUCACGCCAGCUUGAUUCUUCAAUGGCAGAGGGCACUAGGUCGCAGGACGUCCGAAAAAUCGAGGAGCACGUCAGAUCCAUGCUGAAGGAGCAACAGGAGCAAUUUGAGAGAGAAAUGGCGGCUCUGUGGAAUCUGGUAAUCGAAUUGCACACACAGAAGGCUCAGGGGAAAGGACAUGCCUCCCCUCGCAAUUCGGACACUCCAACCAGCAGCAGGGGAGGAUAUCAGGUUCCUUCUCGUCUAUCACGAAUUGAUUUCCCAAAAUUUAAUGGAAAAGACUUUAGAGGAUGGUUAUACAAGAGUGAGUAGUUUUUUGAGGUGGACGAGACUCCAAUUCGGUGAAGUGCAAUGAGUUUGGAAGGUAAGGCUCUUCAGUGGCACCAAAUUUUUAUGAAAUCUAGACUUACACGUGAGUUUCCUACAUAGGAAGAAUACGUGAGAGAGCUAUCUUCAAGGUUUGGAGAUUCCCUGUAUGAUGAUCCAAUGGGGGAGCUUAAGAGCUUGAAGCAAUCUGGGUCAGUACAGGAAUACCACGAUGUGUUUGAGGAACUCCUCAAUAGGGUGGAUCUUCCAGAAGAUUACGCUACAAGUUGCUUCUUGAGAGGAUUGAAGCCAGAAAUUUUGUUGACAGUGUGAAUGUUUAUGCCUAAGAGUGUGCAGCAUGCCCGAACCUUAGCCAAAAUCGAAGAAGCAAAAAUGUCAGUACAGUCAAAAGGAAGAGUAGUGUCCAAACCAUUCCUGAACUACUCCGACCGCAUGGUGCCAUACCAUUCCAUGCGAAUGUCCCUAGUCCGAAGUGGAAGAUAGAUUCUAAGGCAAUACUGCCCCUACCAAUGUUGCCAGCUCUUCUCAGCAAUGAAAGGCAGCAGGAGUUGGUUGCUAAAAGGCCUUUCAGGAGGUUGAGUAGGACGGAAAUGGAUGAGAAAAGGGCAAGAGGAUUAUGUUUUUGGUGCGAUGAGAGGUUUACAGCGGGGCAUAGGUGCGGGAGUAAGCAAUUCAACAGAUUGGAGGUUUGGGACGAUACGCCAGAUAAGGAGGAAACGGAUACUGAGGAUGAGGAGAAUGCAAUAGACGAGGGACAAUUAGCUCAUAUUUCCCUCCAUGCCAUGACCAACAUGGCUGUCCCUAAUUUUAGAACAAUGAGGGUCACUGGGCAUGUAGAAAGACAGUCUGUGAGUAUUUUCAUAGACUGUGGCAGUUCACAUAACUUCAUUCACCCCACGGUAGUGCAAAAACUGGGGCUAAUCGCACGAAGGGUUGAGCCACUAAUGGUAGAGGUAGUAGAUAGGAACAAGUUGACUACUCAUGAUCUUUGCCCAGGCUUUUGCUGGAAAAUGCAAGGGCAAGAAUUCAAGGCUGAUCUGUUGGUAUUACCUGUAGGGGGUGCGAAAUAGUUCUGGGAAUGCAAUGGUUAACCACCAUUGGUGAUGUGAAGUGGAAUUUUGGUGAUCUCAGGAUGGAAUUCAUGCAGAGUGGUCACAAGGUGGUUUUGAGAGGAAUGAAACAACACGGGUUACAGUUGGUGAGGCAAAAGAAAAUGCAGAAAAUAUUGCGAAAACCUGAACAAAUUGCCAGAGCACAACUCUGCCUGAUCAGAAUGGUCCAGGAGUCGGAACCAGAGCCAUUAUCUCUUUUUACUAUUACGGCUGGAGCUACCGGGGAGCAGGAUGGUAACUCUGGACCUAGAAUAUUUGUUGGGUGAAUAUGAUGAUCUGUUUCAAGAACCUAAGGGUUUACCUCCUGAAAGAUUGCACGACCAUAGGAUUGUUCUAAAAGAAGGCACUGAACCUGUCAAUGUAAGACCCUAUAUGUAUCCUACUUUUCAGAAAGGUGAAAUUGAAAAAUUGGUAGCGGAAAUGCUUGCUUGUGGGAUCAUCAGGGCUAGCUCUAGCCCUUUCUCCUCCCCAGUAGCUUUGGUGAAAAAGAAGGAUGGAUUCUGGAGAAUGUGUGUUGACUACCGGCAGCUAAACAAUGCCACUAUAAAGAAUAAAUUUCCUAUUCUGCUAAUAGAAGAGUUGCUGUAUGAACUUUUUGGAGUCAAGUUCUUUACCAAGUUAGACUUGAGGUCUGGUUAUCACCAGAUUAGAAUGAAUGCUGAAGAUGUGGAGAAAACAGCCUUUAGAACUCAUGAUGGCCACUAUGAGUUUCUCGUUAUGCCCUUUGAGCUAACUAAUGCCCCAUCCACAUUUCAAGGUCUGAUGAAUGACAUCUUUAGGCCCUUUCUAAGGAAAUUUAUUUUGGUUUUCUUUGAUGACAUUUUGGUAUACAGUGGUGGUUGGAAAGAGCACCUGCAACAUCUAAAGCUUGUGUUUGAACUGUUGAGAAUGCAUGAAUUGAACGUAAAAAGGAGUAAAUGUGCAUUUGCUCAACAGCAAAUUGACUACUUGGGGCAUAUUAUCAAUGCAGAAGGUGUCUAGGCUGAUCCUCAGAAAACUACUGCCAUUAGGAGUUGGCCAAUGCCACAGACAGUCAAGGAGCUGCGAGGAUUUCUGGGCCUUACGGGAUACUAUAGGAGGUUCAUACGAGACUAUGGUAAGAUUACUAAACCAUUGACAGACUUGAUUAAAAAGAAUUAGUUCCAGUGGCAUGAUGGGGCUACUCAAGCUUUUAAAAGAUUACAAGAAGUCAUGAGCAGUCCCCUUGUUCUAGCUUUACCAGAUUUUACUCAAGAAUUCAUUGUGGAAACUGAUGCUUCUGGAAAUGGGAUUGGGGCGGUGUUGAUGCAGAAAAGGAGACCACUAGCUUUUUUCAGUAAGGCACUGGGAACUAAGCACCAAGCUAUGUCAGUAUAUGAAAAGGAAAUGUUGGCCAGAGUCACUACGAUUUUGAAGUGGAGAGCUUAUUUGGUGGGAAGGCAUUUCAUUAUCGAAACUGAUCAUCAAAGUUUGAAGUAUAUAAUGGAGCAAAGGGUACAUACACCAUUGCAGCAGAAAUGGAUAGGCAAGUUGAUGGGGUACGAUUAUGAAGUACAGUACAAGAAGGGGAGUGAUAACAUUGUAGCGGAUGCAUUAUCUAGACAACCACAGGAAGGCAAUUCGCUGUACACUUUGGUUACUGUCACCACUUCUCUCAUCAAGGAUAUACAACAGAGUUGGCAACAAGAUGUGGUAGUCCAGGAGUUGAUCCAAAAGCUAAAUAGCAAUGGUCUGCAUUCUAGCAAUUAUUCUUGGCAACAAGGGUUGUUAAAGAGGAAAGGCAAGUUGGUGGUUGGCAAUGAUCAGUCUUUAAGAAACAGGUUGAUUGCCUUGUGGCACUCAAGUUCACAAGGGGGGCAUUCUGGAAUAGAGGUUACUUACAGGAGACUUAAGCAGGUUUUGUAUUGGCCGUGCAUGUUCAAGGAUGUAGCCCAUUUUGUAGCAGCAUGUGACGUUUGUCAACGAAAUAAGCCAGAUAGUGCAGCUUAUCCUGGCCUAUUACAACCUUUUCCCAUACUUGAGAAGAUUUGGUCUGACAUCUCUAUGGAUUUUAUUGAAGGCUUACCCCUUUCACAUAGCAGAAAGGUGAUCUUGGUGGUAGUGGAUAGACUCAGCAAAUAUGCUCACUUCAUUGCUGUGGCUCAUCCCUAUACAGCCAUCUCAAUUGCCCAGCUAUUCAUGGACCAGGUUUACAGGCUACAUGGUCUUCCCCAAACCAUUGUCAGUGAUCGAGACCCCAUUUUCUUGAGCUCUUUCUGGCAGGAAAUUUUCAGGUUGCAACGUGUCCAGUUGAACAUGUCCACUUCCUACCAUCCUUAGAGUGAUGGCCAGACAGAGGUAGUUAAUAGAUGUUUAGAGAACUAUUUCAGGUGCAUGACUGGAGAUCAUCCCAAGGAUUGGAGUUUAUGGCUGCCAAUGGCCGAGUAUUGAUAUAAUACAAAUUUCCAUUCUUCUGCCAAGUUCACUCCUUAUGAGAUUGUCUAUGGCCAGGUCCCCCCACUUCACAGUCCUUACCUACCUGAGGCCACGACAGUUGAAUCUGUGGACAGGAGCUUACAGGCAAGGGAGAAGGUCCUUCACUCCCUGCGGCAUAAUCUGUCCAAGGCUCAACACAGGAUGAAGCAGUUGGCUGAUAAACACAGGUCGGAGAGGGUGUUUGAUGUGGGUGAUUGGGUUUAUGUGAAACUUCAACCUUACAGGCAGCACACUCUACGCUCUCAUCACUGUCAGAAGUUGUCUCAUCGUUAUUUUGGUCCAUUUCAAGUGACGGCAAGGGUAAGAGCAGUGGCAUACAAAUUGGCCUUACCAUCACAUGUUCGUAUUCAUGACGCUUUCUAUGUUUCCCUGCUCAAGAAGAAGGUCGGCACAGGGUAGGGGUGGGCGCGGGUCGGGUACCCGCCCCAUUCACUAUUUGGCUGACCUGACCCUCACCUUGCGGGUCAGCCAGUUUCUGACCCUUACUUGCCCCGCAUAUCAGUGGGUACCCGAUUAUAGGGUACCCACUGAGAUAGGGUCGGGUCAGCGGGUACCCGUCCCGUCCUAUUUAUCAUUUAAUUUUUUUAAAAAAUGAUUUAUACCAAUUUAAUUUUAUACUUUACACAUUCAUCUAAGAUUUAAUAAUUUUUUUUUUCUAAAAAAGGUUUCCCACCAAGAAACAAGCAUGUGAAGAGAAUAUAAGAUAAAGGCAAAAAAUUAAAAGAAUUCAAAAUCAAUAAAAAUUUGAAAUAAGUAGCACAAUUUUUAAUAUAUAUAUGUUCCACAUUAAUUAAAAUUUUUUUCUAUAAAAUAUAAGAUCAUGACCUCUACAAAUGAAUCUUGUAAAUAAACUAUAGUCUCUCAUAUUUGUAAUGCAAUUUGUUCAAUAAAAUUACUUAUUUAGUUCUAAAUUAUUAUUUUAUAGUGUGUGUAUAAAAAUAAAAAUAAAAAAUAUAUAAAUGUGGGGCGGAUCAGGUACCCGCGAGUUUUUAAUUAUGUGACCCCAACCCACCCCGCAUCUUAGCGGGUACCCAAUCCUCUUUUGACUCGAUCAAAUAAUAAAAAUCGGAUAUUCUAAUUUUCGGAUCGAAUCGGAUCGGAUAUGACGGAUUUUUGGAUUAGCGGGUAAUUUUGCCCACCCCUAGCACAGGGUCUAUUCCAGUGCAGAUCCCUGCUGGAAUUACACACCAGGGACAGCUACUGUUGGAACCUACUGCAGUUCUGGACCGACGUUUGGUCAAGCGUGGAAGAGUUGCGGCUAUCCAGGUGCCGGUUCAAUGGAGUAAUAGCUUUCCCGAGGAUGCCACCUGUGAGUAUUUGCAGCUACAGUUCCCUCAUUUCAAUUCUUGAGGCCAAGGAUUGUUUGAGGGGAGGGUAUUGAUGUGAGAACCCUGAAAAAAAAAAUAUAUAUAUACAUAUAUUCAUGCAUAUUUCACUUGCACUUUGACUCUUUAAUAAAUUCUAUCAUUAUUUCUACUUGUCUUUAAAUAAGUGCGUAAAAAUAAUUUUUAUGUGAUAAAUAAUAUAAUUUGUGCUAAACUAUUAAGUUCCUUGGCUUUAUUAUAUUAAAUUAAUAUUUCGAAGGUAAAUUAUUUCGUUUAUUUAAUAAUUAAUUUCUCCGAAUUCCGUUAGCUAAACUUUAAUCGUUAAUAAUGUUCAAGGUUAAUAGGAACCUUAGUACUAAGAUGCAAUCGAUAAACUUUAGAUAAAAUCGAUAUAAGUAUACCAAGUAUACUUAGGACGUUAAAAUCUCGAUAGUUUAAUUUUUGCGAGACGAGUAUACUAGUAGGCAUUCAAAUUGCAUUCGGGGUAAAAUUUUGGAGUUAAGUUAGAAUUAAGGACUUAAGUGGGUAUCAGGAAGAGAAGUGCAAAGACUAAACUACCCUCACAACCUCACAAAAACUACCAUGCAAAACAAGAACCAAUUUCCGGACAACAUCAUUCCUCACCACUCUUUCGGCCAAUGCACAACUUCACCAUUUAAACACUCAACCCUCACAAACACUUAACCUCCCUCUCAAAACCGCGACAUCCAUCCUUCUUCCUCUUCAUUUCUGUAUCACAAACCACCACCGCAUUCCACCUUCACCCGUGAGUAUCGACAGAGAGAGAGAGAGAGUGAGCGGGAGGGUGAGCAGCAGCUUCAUCCGAGAGCUGCAAUCCGUGAGCUGCAGCGACUCUGCUGCUGUCCGUAAGUCUGAGGAGGGAAAGGAAAAGCUGUGCGUAAGUCCCACCCAUUCUGCACUUCCAUUUCUACCAGCUGCAAUCAAUUUUCCAGCCGCAACAACCACCAGCUACACCGUUUGCCACAGCCAAGCGAACCAACACCCUAGUCGCGCGCGAGCCGAGGGCGAAAAUUUCAGUUCCCUUGUGCGUAAGCUAAGCCUGCUGUUGAGGUAAAUUUCGGAUCUAGAACACCUGAUUAGAGGUUGAUUGAGCUAAUUAGGAGCAUGCAUGUUGAAUUUAUGCGUUGGAUGAUGAUCUAGAAAAGAAAAGAAACCUGAUGUGCGCUGAAUGUGGGUUUGCCGAGACUGUUUUGGAUUAAUGCCGAGCUAAUCUGUGUAACUCUGGAUAAUCUGAGUUUGCAUUGUUGAUUAAGUAACUAAUCACUAACUAAUUAAUCUGUUUAAAGCUUUGCAUGUUGACCUUAGACCAUCGAAUGCUGAAUUUAGAGAAGAAGAAAAAAAUUUUCUGAUGUGCGCAUAUUUGGACUGCCAAGACCGAUUAAGAAAUGUUGUGCUUAAUUUGUUUAAUUUCGACAAUCUGAGCUUAUAGUUAUGAUUAAUCACCUAAAAACUAAGUGAUUAAGUCCUGCAUAGGGAUAGCUAGAUCGGUUAGGCAAGAAAAAUAAAAAUUGAAAUGACAUCAGUUGCAUGCAAGAUCACCCGAGGCCAAUUGGAAAUCUGUAGCUUCAAUCUGCUAAUUCGAUGCAAUCUGAGCUUAGAGGUAUGAUUAGCUAAUUAUAGAUGGGAUGUUUAUGCCUUGCAUGAGGCUGCAUAGCUCUGAUGAAGCUCUUGGCCAUUUGAGUAAUUUUUGCAAGGGAUAAAUUCUUGGUGGAAUUGUUUAAGUGGUUUGGGCAAAAUGCAUUUGGAAGGUCCACGAUUUGUGAUUUGGAAUUGUUUUAAUACUUUGGACUUCCUUUGGUUGAUUUUGAUUAGAAUUGAAUCUGUUGAGACCUAGGGCUAAUGAUUGAUGAAGCCCUAGUGAAAUUGAUGUUUGAAUUGUGUUUUUGCUAUAUUGGCGACUUGGAAUAUAAUGUGCAAAUGAAUUGGAAUCGUGAAGUCCGUUUGGGUCCCUUGAAUUCGAAUACUUUUAAAUCAAGUUUCGUGGGAAUAUUUUGCCUUAAUAUCAAGUUAUAUACAUUGAGUAUAGUACGUUAAUAUUAAAAUCUAGAUAUCGGGACUUUUAAAACCUUGCCGAUGUGUUAAUUCUUUUCUUUAUUUAAACUAGUGUUUCACCUUUAAUAAAUAAUUGCAUUAACUUCCAAACUUUAAGUUUUCACAAAAUUAUCCUUGACCAAUUGUUUUAAAGGAAAUUUGUUAAAAACAUUAGAUUUGAAUAAUUUCAAAUAAAAGACAAAGGGAACUUGUUCGGCAAGAAAACUUGUUUGAAUUAAUUUGGUUCUAGUUUGCCCUCUAGAAGGGAAAUACCUUUAAAGAAACCAUACGAAAUAUUUUAUUUCUUUACUAGCCUUAAUUCCAAGGGAACUAUUGAUUUGUUUCGAGAAAUUAAAUUAGUUUUAUACAAGAUAACCUUCUAUAUAUAAAACAAGGGUUUGUUUAGUAAAACUUAUAGUUUUAAAACUUGGAUUUCUAGGGUGUAGCGAGGACGUGGACUUCGAUUCCCAGCUUGACUGGUGACUUCACUCUUGGUGAGUGUCCCUGCUUGUUCUACGCCUAUUUGGUUAAAGUGCUUUCUUGACUCGAUAUGUGGUAAUUGUCAAAAAUGAUUUCUGAUCCAUCGAAGUGAGCAGUGUGUACUUUAUCACACUAGCUGUUCGAGUGGUGACUUGUGUGCAGUGUUUUCGUAAAUAUCUUGCUUGCGCUUGCUAAGUGUUAAAGUUACUAGGCAGGGGAAUGUACCACAUCUUAAGGGUGGGAGGGCCUCUUAUCCUGACCUGGUAAUCAAGUGUUGGACGUAAAGUCGUUGGGUGGACCCCUUGACCAGUCUAUAAAAAUCAAGUGUUGGAUGCAAAGUCGUUGGGUGGACCCCUUGACCAGUCUAUAAAAAUCAAGUGUUGGAUGCAAAGUCGUUGGGUGGACCCCUCGACCAGUCUAUAAAAAUCAAGUGUCGGACAUAAAGUCGUUGGGUGAAUCACUCGACCAGUCUAUAAGUGUUGGACGUGACGUCGUUGGGUGAAUUUCUCGACUAGUUUAUCCAGGGAGUAUACUCGAGUACUACCGCUCUCAUCUAUCUUGUCGUGCGGGCCCGGAGCUGGGGUAUGUUCGGUGGCCGGAGUUAAGUAAAAUAAGGAGUUCUACAUGGACCGUAAGUAGUGAGAGUUGACGGAGGGUCAACUACGGUAAAUUUUGAUCAAGCGCGAAAAAUGGCUCCUGAGAGCCCCCGUAUCCUACUUUGUACUGUUAUGCGCUUUCCUAGUUGUUUACUUCAGAUUGAAAUCAAUACGUGUUAGUUGUUUUAUUUAAUUGCAUGUUUUGGGGCACCACUGAGCUUUAGCUCACCCCACGUUUAUUUGUUUUCCUUGACAGGUCCUGGCUCUUGAACAAGACUUGAAAUCUAAUUUCACUUUUAUGCUUGUAGUUUGAGUUAAACAUUGUAUCUUUUAUUUUGGAUUGCCUCUUGAAGCUGGAAAAGUGUAAACCCUGGAAUUGUUAUUUGGCUUGUAUUAAUGUAUUUGGAUUGUAUGUUUUUGUUGCCUGAUGUGUAACGCGGGAGGUAUUUAAGAGUCGACGUUUGGCUAUCUUAAAAAUGCUGUUAUCGUUGAAGUUAAUGAGGAUUUAGUUAUCAGUCUAUUUGGAAGGAAACGGUGUUGUAAUAGCUUAGGUUAUUCUCCGGGAGGAUUGGGCUAGAUUGCUUGCGUGAGUCCUGGCGAGAGCUAGGCAGACGGCCCGCCAACCCUCUGGUUCGCCUUAAGGGGAAGUGGGGUCUCCACAAUUGAUACACGUGAAAUGGCUUGUGCAUGGGGUUGGCGUGAGUGCAUGGGGUUGCAUGGAGUUAGUACAACUGGAGUUAGUUACAAUAGGUUAGUCAGUGAUUUGUACGAAUCUUAUGACGUCAGUCGACGUCAUAAGUUUGUUAGCCGACUUACAAUCACCGCCUUAGUCACUUAUAAAAAGUGAAGCUGGAAGUCUAUGGCGGCAUUGGAUUUCGUUUGUAAAGUUGCAUUUUCACAUUUCUCUGUAAUCUCUCUCUGCCCAUCAUCAUUCAAGUCAAUAAACUUUCUCUAGUUUUCGGAUCACUUCUCCAUCAUUUCUGUGGUCCCUAGAUCAGAGAUUACAGGCCUCAACUGCUCUUUGCAUCAGCACCUAACUCAUUUUCCACCAACCCAUUGCGCCCCUAACUUUCAAAGGGGUUAAGUGGCAUGUCCAAACGUGGGAAUGGAAUUUGGAUGAAUAACGACAGCAUGUUGCACGUUUGGUUCAACGUGAAAUCCAUCUUUAAUUUCCAACCUCACGUUUUGUAAGCGGGGUUUGGCGGCUAGUUGUGGACCAAUGGUGCACGGGCGGGAUAAUUUCGGAAACCCCUCUUGAGGUUCUUAAUAACCUCUGGAUGCUCCCCUCAACAUUUUAAAAUUAUACAUAUCUCCCCUAUUAGUGCAAAAGUACUCUACUAUCCCUAAUAGGACUCAAAAGACUUUUUUUUUUGGAAAAAAGAAGCUCAGAAAUCCAAGAAAAAAAAUCAACUAAUUUUAUUUUUUAGGCUUUUACGUUUCUGCCUUCUACCUUUGCUCGCUUUCCCUGUGCCCAUCUUCCUACAACCACUUUCCCAAUCCCCUUUCCCCAACAUUUCUCCUCUACUUCAAGACCAAUUUUUGUCCAUCAACCCUAGCUUGUGCUUUGUUCCAUUCCCUUCCCUUCUCCUUUUUUUGAUUUCCCUUGCAUCUCCCUUUCUCUUUUGCAAAUGUGACUAGGCUCAUCUCUCUUUUUUUUCUCCUAUUCUAGGUGUAGUGGGUUUGAUUAUUUUGCAUCUAUUUUAUUCGAUUUUGGUUGAUUAUGGAUGAUAAAACUUGGUGAUAUCAAAUAUCAAAAGUUUGAGAGAUGGAUAUUGGGCUUUAGACAAUGAUUUGCUGAAAAAAAUGGCUGCAAUGAGAGAAAGAGGGAAGGGGAUUUGAGAGUGGGCUUAAUUGUUGAUGAAUUGUUGUUUUGGGUAAAAUUUGAGGUUGAGUUUUAUCAAAUUUGGCAACAAGUGGCGAGAUUUGUUUAGGUUGCGGGAUAUAAAUUGGAUUGUGGUUUUUUGGGUACCCACAGUUGUUGGAAUUGGUUUUGAUUCAAAUUGGGGUGGUUGCUUGAUUUUCCUAAUAGUGUUACUUAAAAGAUCACAAUCAUCAAAUUCCUUAUUUUUGUCUUUUAUUUUUUGGUAGAAAAGAUUUCAUGACUUUCGUAACAGUCUAAUUUGGAAGAAGGCAAUCAACAGAUGCAACCAACAUUCAGCAAAGCUCUUUUUUUUUUUUUUAAUUUUUUGGGUAAAAAGGGUAGUUUAGGGUAUUUGAAGGAAAUGAUAGGCUAUUGGGCCUAUUUGAAGCAUAAACAGUGAAAGUAAGGGAGGUUGGUGUAAUUUCUAAAACCUAAGGGGAGCUAUCUGAAAUUAUCCAAGAGCUCAGGGGAGGUUUCCAAAAUUAUCCCUAAAGAAAAGGGAUAAUUGCAGAAACCUCCCCUGAGGUUCUAACAUUUGCACUAACCUCCCCUGUGGUUUGAAAAAUUACACUGACCUCCCCUGAGGUUACUAAUCCUUUGCAAAUUUAGUCCAAACGAUUAAAAUAUUAUUUUAGGGAGUGAAAUUAAAAUUUUGUACCAGAUUUGCCCUUUGUACUACGUAUCCAAUGAAUGACAAAGAACUAUAAAUCAAUUAACAAUUAAUAAAUUUUAAUGAGUAUAAUUUAUAGGCAAACACGCAUUUCUCAUUUAAAGUACUAGCUUUUUACGAGUAUUUUACUUUCAAAUAUUUGAUUUAUGAUAAAUAUAUCAAUAUUUGUAAGUAAAAUUCAAAAAUUGUUAUAGUAAUAUUCUUGCAAAAAGGAAAUCGAUAGGUUAUUUAUUUAAUAUAAAUUAAAUAUUUUUUUAAAAAAAAUAAAUGGCCCAUAAAGUAUUAAAUUUUUAUGACUUUCAUCCAUUACACGAGUAAAGUAUUCGCUCUUUAUGUGCAUUUUAUUCUGAAUCAUUUAAUUUAUGUUAAAUACAUAAAUGUUUGUAAUUAAAAUUGAAAAAGUGUUAUAUUAAUAUUUUUACGGAAGAGAGAUUGGUAGGUUUUGUAUUUGACAAAAAUUAAAUAUUUGAAAAUAAAUACAAAUCUGUAUUUGAGCAUAAAUAGUUGUAUUAAAUUAAAUGUUUGAAAGUAAAAUACCCUUAAAGAACCGGUACUUUAAAUAGUUACCGGCUCUUUAUAGGCAAAUAUGCAUUACUCAUUUAAAGUACCGGCUUUUUACGGAUAUUUUACUUUCAAACAUUUAAUUUAUGAUAAAUAUAUCAAUGUUUGUUAAUAAAAUUCAAAAAGUGUUACAAUAAUAUUCUUGCAAAAAGGAAAUCGGUAGAUUAUUUAUUUAAUAUAAAUUAAAUAUUUUUUUUUAAAAAAAAUGACCCAUAAAGUAUUAAUUUUUUAUGACUUUCAUCCAUUACAUGAGUAAAGUAUUGGCUCUUUAUGGGUAUUUUAUUCUGAAUCAUUUAACUUAUCUUAAAUACAUAAAUGUUUGCAACUAAAAUUGAAAAAGCGUUAUAUUAAUAUUUUUACGGAAGAGAGAUUGGUAGUUUUUGUAUUUAACAAAAAUUAAAUAUUUGAAAGUAAAUACAAAUAUGUAUUUGAGCGUAAAUAUUUGUAUUAAAUUAAAUGUUUGAAAGUAAAAUACCCAUAAAGAGCCGUUACUUUAAAUAGGUAAUGCAUAUUUGCCUAUAAACUAUACUCCUUAAAGUUUAUUAAUUGUUAAUUGAUUUGUAGUAUUUUGUCAUUCAUUGGACAUGUAGUACAAAGGACAAAUUUGGUAAAAAUUUCUAAUUUCACUCCCUAAAACAAUAUUUUAAUCAUUUGGACUGAAUUUGCAAAGGAUUAGUAACCUCAGGGGAGGUCAGUGUAAUUUUUCAAAUCACAGGGGAGGUCAGUGCAAAUGUCAGAAACCUCAGGGGAGGUUUCUGCAAUUAUCCCUAAAGAAAAAGGACAAAAGUUUAAAUAUGCUCUUCUUUUGUUCAAUAUGUAUUUAAAUUACCUAUUGCUCCUUUAACCUUUGAAUCUUAUCAAUUUGCUCAAUGAAUUACACAUUACUAAUUAGUUUGAUUUUCUUGAUGUUUUUCCCAUCUAAAGAAGUUUCCUAAGUUGAUUUACACAUAAACACCUACUCAAACGCACAAUACAUACACAAAAAUUAAUACACCUUCAAUAUUGGUAUACAGAUUACUAUUAAUCAGAAGUAAGAUUGAAAAAACUUUUAUCAAACGCUACCUAAAUAAGAGUACAAUGAAAGAUUCUAAAACUUAAUAUUAGACCUUUGUAUUGGGUUGGGCUGGCCCGAAAUUAAUCCGAUUGACCCUAAAUGGAGCGGAUUGAAUCUUAUGCAAUGUGGCUUAAAGUGAGUUUGGGCUAAAAUAUUUUGCACGAUUUAAAUAUGAGCUAAAUUUGGAUUGUACUGAAUUUAGUCCACUUAAUUCUCGACCCAAACAACAUUUAUAUACUAAGGAUCAUAUGUGGGAUUUAAGAAGAUUUAUUUAUCUAAAUCCAGUCAAAUAAUUGAAAUUUAGAUGGCUAAUUUGUGGUAAAUUGUUCCUUUUCAAUCUCUAGUUGAUACAUUUAUGGGUGUUAUGGUAAACUAUAUUUUUUUGUGAUGAAAUUCAAACUUCUUCUAGAUAUUAAGAACAUCUAUGGAUUAGCUGGCUAUUUGGUUUAAGUAGAUUUUCUAAACAUGAAAAAUACAUGACAUAAGUUUAGGUUUAUCCGAAUUAAGUUGAAUACUCGACAUUUUUUGUGAGCGAGCAUAAGUUGAAUUUGGGCUCAAAAGAAUGAUGUUUUUAUAUGAGUUGAGUUUAAGCAUGUCAAAAUCCAAUUCACAUGAUCUAAUUGACAAGCUUAAUUAAUACUUCCAAUUCGAGUAAAAAGAGGAAUACACUUUAUAGAUUUGGGAUGGGCAAAAAUACGUGAUGAUCCGAAUAUCCAUGGGACCCGAUCCGAUUCACUCCAAAAAAUAAGGUAUUCGAUCUGUAUUAUUUGAUCAAGUCAGAAAAUGGUUGCCUACCUGCUUAUAUAUAGCAUGGGUUAGGUACAAAGGAUUAAAAAUCUGUGAGUACUUGUGUGAGAGCCCGAAAAUUUUAAUGUCUGAUUUAAAAAUUAGAGCAUGUUACAUUCUUCCUUUUGUUAUUGAUUGAUUUACAUGUUCAUUGAUCCUUUUAAUAAACAAAUGAAUUGAUACACCUUAGGAGAAAUUGUGUCCUUUACACCAUAAAACAUUAGUAUUAGUUAGAAGCUAUUGUGGUAUUAGAAAAAACAAAAAGAAAAAAAAAGUGAAAGACACUUGUCUUAGUGCAUGUAAAUGUCUAACGUACAAGAAGCAAAAUGUUGCACCUUCCAUUCUAUUAGAAACCGAAAAAAAGUACCAGUACUUGUUAUUGUCUUCCAUUAGAAAACCGAAACUACUAGCACUUGCCUUUGUCUACCAUUCGAACCAAGAGUUAUACAAACUACUAGUACGUGGCAUUAGCCUUCCAUUAGAAUUGAGAGGAAGAGUAAAAGAAACACAACCUUUGUUUCUUCCUUAACCUGUUAAAACUGAAAAGAAACAACAAGAGAAUUAGGCACUUUCUUCGUCCCUGCAACCGUAAACAUCAGCCAAGAAAACAAGGAAACUCUAGCUCAGUUAGCUACGGAUUCAAGAGGGAGAGACAGCUGAACUUUCCAGUCCACAAACGUGAAGAAACCGGAGGUAAUUAACUACUUUUCUUCUUCAAUUUUCUGCUACUUCUAGUUAGUAAUGUUUUAGGUUGAGUUAAAACCAAGAAAAGAAUCAUCAAAGCUGGAAAGUUUGUUUAAAGUUUCGGCAUGCUGUCCGAUAGAAAAGCUGCAAUUUUGGUUUUUUUUUUUUAAAGAAUUUUGCUAGAGUAUGAAAGGAAUCCAUGCUUUUAUGCUCUGUAUAUUCUUUAUUUGGUGAUGCCUGUAAGUUUUACGGUGAAAAGCUUAACUCUUGUGGCUGGAAUUCUUGUCUAGAGGACUGCAUGGCCGCUGGAAAAUUUCCAGCUUGCCCCGAUGAUGAAUCUUCUGGUUUAAAACUAAAAUUUGACAAGAAGUUUUUGCUGGAUUUCGAAGCUACAUAAUCUUAUUGCAAUGUUUAUGUGAAUGCAUGUCGAAUUUGGUUGAUGUUUGAUGCAUUAAAUGAAAUGUUGGAGAAGGUAUAUGGCUGGAAACUUCAGCUUUGAACUCGAGAAUGCUGUUAUGUUUUCUUAAGCUUAAAUUUCAUCUUAUUUCAUCUUGUAAUCUGAAAUUUAUGCAUAAAUUGAUAAAAAAAACAUACCUACUCCUCUGUUUUACUCUGUAUAUUGCGAUUGUCCUGAUUUGGGAGGAAAUAACUAAAUCUAAGAAAAGAAAUGGGAGCUGGUCGAGCAUGCAAAACUGUUUGGCAGAUUUGGGUUUAUUGGAUGAAUUCGAUUGUAUUGCUGAGUUUUUCUGGAAAUUUUAGCUAAGUCUUAACCAAAACGAUCUAUAACAAAAUGAUAGUAAAAUGUACCUUGAAUUUGAGGAAGUUUAAGCAAGAAAAUAGCAAACUAAAGGAAGAAACUUGACUACCCAUUGCUGGAAAACUGUUUCGAAUUAUUCUAAAACAAGUGCUUAGAUUUUGAGUCUAAUUUUGAAUUCUAAAAUGGAACUUGAACCAAAACUGACCAAAAUCUCUUCAAACCAUCUUAUAACAGUUUUACUUGUGAAAAUUCAUCCAAAAUAUAGGAUAAAAUCAAGGAAGCUCAUAGUAGUACUAAGCUGCCAAUCUCUAGGAAAUUUAUCAACUUUGAACUUUGAUUUCUAAAAUGACCCUUAGGACCUAGAUUCCAACUUUUAUAAGAAAAGGUAAGUUGUAGCUACCACUUAAUCACCUUAACUUACUAUAUUUCAACAAAAUAUAGAAUUUUAAGACUUAAGGGGGUUAAGUUACCUAAACUUUGGAACUAGGAGUAACUAGAAUAAAAUAAGUACUAAGAUUACCUCAAAACAAAAGAAAUAAAAUGUAUACAUUUAAACAUCUUGGAUCAUACAUACAGGUAUAUAUAUAUAUAUAUAUACACUUUUAGCUAAUUGUAUAAUAUUAAGUUGAAUUUAGUUAAAAGAAUCGAGUAAGCCUAAACAGCUAGAAUAAUCACUUAAAACCUAUUAUUUUUGCCAAGUAUUACACUUAAACAUCACUUUAGGAAAUUUAACAAAUAAUCUAAUAAAUUUACAAAUAUCCCAGGGGCCAAGGAUGAACCGAAGAAGGGGCCGAGCAUCAAGGAGUGAAUUCCAACUACUUUAGGUGAGUGUUUCCACAUUUGUGUGUUUAAAUUGCCUAUGUGCUACUUAAACGAUGGCUACAUGAUUAUGCUAGUGCUUUAUUGUGAAGUGUUUUCAAUUGUCCCUCGUCUUCUAACUCGUUAAAGAUUGAUAAUUGACCAAGUGUUUUUGUAAGUAUGCAUGAUUGUAAGCCGUGUACGUAUUUCAUCGUACUUGCUGAACUGAGCCCCAAAACCCUUUGUUCAAUAAACUAUUUGAGCCAGCAAAAGGGCUUGGUCGGAUAGAACGGUAGCUUUGGGUAAGUGUUUCAAUAUGUUCGAGUAUUACCAUACAGUAAUAGAUUACUGAACUGAUAUGGCUAUCUAAGUGAGGGAAGUGUUUACUGUUUUGGAGGUUAUAAGGGGGAGUUCAGUGGAGUGUGUAGUAUAUUGAAAUGGCUAUAAUGGAAACAUUGUAUCCUUUUGAAAGUGAUUGUUCAGUGAAGUGUUCUUUAUUUUAUUCAAUGAAGUGUUCUUUUCUUGUUUAAUUUUGAUUAUGUGUUAAGUUUUUGAUGAUUAAUGCUUGUUUAGAAAAUCUCACUGGGUUUCGCUCAACCCAUUUAGUUUGUUUUUCUUACAGGAAGGGAGAACGGGAGUAGGGAGUAGUUAGGAGUUAAGCCGAGACCCGAAAUUGUACUUGGAAAAUUCCUUUAGUAGUUAAAUGUUAUAGUUAUUCUAACUUUUAUUUUCAAAGGUUAUAAGUAUAUAUAUAUAUAUUAAAUGCUUUAGAAUAAGACAUCUUUACUUUUGUUUGGGAUGUACUUAAGUAUGAUGGACUGUUAAUGGCUUUAGUUACUGAAAUGUUAUCUCUCAAUUUAAUGUGAGUGAGGGAGUCCUGAUAAGAGUCAAGCAGGUGGUCCACUUAACCCUUUGGUUCACCUUAGGAUCCAGCUGGAUCGUCAUAGGUGGUAUCAGAGCAAUCUCGCGUGGUUUCUACGCGAGGUGAGUUUGGGCCAAGUGGUGUUAUGGUCUCGAUUACGUGAAUGAGUGCAAGGGACAAAGUGCUCUUAUUGAGCAUAAGGUAGGACAUGAUUAUUGAACUAUGAAUUUUAGUAUAUUAGGCGUAAAAACUUUAUCAUGAUACUCGGGAAAAUUAGAAUUGUAUGUCGGGUAGGAAUUCCAAAUAUGGUUGAUUUACUCUUGGGAUCGGCUGGCUUGAGUUGUGAAUUAUCUUAUUUUCAGAUUCUUGUACCCGAAUACCAAAUAUUUCAUUCAAUGGUGUAUUUGCAAAUUGGGAAGGAUUUAGUAUAUUGCAUUAUGAUGUAAUUAGAAAUCAUGAUUGAAUUUAGGGAAGUAGAACCGAAGAUAUCAAGGCUAACUUUUGAGAGUUAAAGGUGAAGAGGUAGUAGUGAGAUCUUGAAAAUUAGUUCAAAUUCUCCAUUUUAAGAUGAAUAAUUUUACUAGUCCUUCAAUGGUAAAUGGAUUAUAUGCCACCUCUUGCCUAAAAAUAUGAUUUUCAGACUUGGAAUUUGAGUGAAAUAGUAGUUUAAGUAAGGACCAUGUGGCUGUGAAUAGCUUUAAAUUGUAAGGAGACAACUUGAGCUGAGAUAAGUUUGAUAAAUCUGCCAUGUGAUUAGUAUGCUACCAUUUGCAAGUAAUUAUAUGUGAGUUCUCAAUGAAAUUGUGACUCCUUAAAAUUUAUUGGAAGAUUAUUUGGGGCUAAUGUCCAAUAUGAUAAAAUACCUAGUUGUUGAGUUAUUAGAAAACCCAAUGUAUGAAAUGUUUGAGUUCAUUUAGAAUACUUAAGAGCCAUUGAUGUAUUUAGAUAAUGAUCAUACUAUUUGAUUUGGUAUCAAAUGUAGUAGAUCUACAAUUUACUAAGGAAUCUUUGAUUAGUUUUACUGAUGAGGUAAUUGGACUUGUAAAUGCAUUUGAAGAUAUUAUCACUUCGACUAUUUUGAGAGUCCAUGAUACAUUAUUGACUUUGAAAUGGGAUAUUUGUACCCGACAGUUAGUGUGAAACGGGCUAUGAUCAAUUUGAAGAAAACUAGUAGGGUAAUAGUGAAAUGAGAGGAAAGUGUAAGGCUAAAUUUUUAUUGGUAUAUGUUUUAGACAUUUGUCAUGAACCAUGACACUUGUCAUCAUUUUCCUUUUGCCAUCUGUUCAAAACAAUCUAAUGCUUUUAGCAAGACAAAAACUUAUUCUUGCAUGUUCCUUUUCCUUGGCAACCGAGACAAGUUUUUGCUUGUUUCUUUUCCCUAUCAAAUCGAGAGACAAGUAGAAUUUAAGAUUGAAUUGAUGCCUAAAAGAAAUCCUAUUUCUAAGAUACCUUAUUGUAUGACAUCACUUGAACUUAAGGAGUUAGAGAUACAGUUACAGGAUCUAUUGGAACCAGGCUUUAUACGACCCAGUGUAUUCUCGUGGGAAGUGCCAGUAUUGUUUGUCAAAAAGAAAGAUGGACGGUUGACACUGUGUAUAAAGUAUUGGGGUUUAAAUAAUGUUGUAGUUAAGAAUAAAUACCUUUCGCUAUAUAUUGACAAGUUAUUUGAUCAACUUUAAGGAAUAGUGGUACUGUUUAAGAUAGAUCUUAGGAAGGGAUAUUAUCAACUAUAAAUUAAGAUGGAAGAUAUAGCUAAGACGGUCUUUAAUAUACAAUAUGGACAUUAUUAGUUUAUAGUGAUGCCCUUUGGAUUAGCUAAUGCUCCAACGACAUUCAUGAAUUUAAUGCAUUGGGUUCUUUAGGCCAUAUUUGAAUCAAUUCGUGCUGAUAUUCAUCAACGAUAUUUUGAUGCAUUCGAAAACUUGGGAGGAACAUGAGCAGCACUUGAGGAUGGUAUUGUAAACUUUAAGGAAGCAUUAGUUAUAUGCUAAGCUCAGUAAGUGUGAGAUUUCGUUGGAAAAAGUGUCGUUUCUAGGGUAUACAUUUCCAACGAAGGAACCACUAUGGAUCUGGUUAAGGUAAAGGCUAUUAUCAAUUGGAAAUAACCAAAAAAAACCCUACUGAAAUUCAUAGUUUCUUGGUUUAGCGGGAUCCUAUCAUCAAUUUAUUCAAAACUUUUACAAGCACAGGAGAAAAUUUCGAGAACGAAAUUCUUUUAAUGGGGAGAGAGCGUGAGAAUCUGAAAAUUUUCAUGUCUUAUUUAAAAAUUAGAGCAUGUUACAUUUUUCCUUUUGUUAUUGAUUGAUUUACGUGUUCAUUGCUCCUUUUAAUAAACAAAUGAAUUGAUACACCUUAGGAGAAAUUGUAUCCUUUACACCAUAAAACAUUAGUAUUAGUUAGAAUCUGUGGUAGUAUUAGAAAAAAAAAAGGAAAAAAAUGUGGAAGACACUUGUCCUAAUGCAUGUAAAUGUCUAACAUACAAGAAGCAAAAUGUUGCAUCUUCUAUUCUAUUAGAAACCGAAAGAAACUACCAGUACUUGGUAUUGUCUUCCGUUAGAAAAUCGAAACUACUAACACUUGCCUUUGUCUGCCAUUAGAACCGAGAGUUAUACAAACUACUAGUACGUGUCAUUAGCCUUCCAUUAGAACCGAAAGGAAGAGUAAAAGAAACACAACCUUUAUUUCUUCCUUAACCUGUUAAAUCCGAAAAGAAACAACAAGAGAAUUAGGCGCUUUCUUCAUCCCUUCAACUGUAAACAUCAGCCAAGAAAACAAGGAAACUCUAGCUCAGUUAGCUACGGAUUCGAGAGGGACAGAGAACUGAACUUUCUAGUCCACAAACGUGAAGAAACUAGAGGCAGUUAAUUACUUUUCUUCUUCAAUUUCCUGCUACUUCUAGUUAGUAAUGUUUUUGGUUGAGUUAGAACCAAGAAAAGAAUCAUCAAAGCUGGAAAAAUUCUUUAUUUAAAGUUUCAGCAUGUUGUCUGAUAGAAAAGCUGCAAUUUUGGUUUUUUUUAAAGAAUUUUGCUAGAUUAUGACUGGAAUCCAUGCUUUAUGCUCUGUAUAUUCUUUAUUUGGUGAUGCCUAUAAGUUUUACGAUGAAAAGCUUACCUCUUGUGGCUGGAAUUCUUGUUUGGAGGAUUGCAUGGCUGCUGGAAAAUUUCUAGCUUGACCAAUGAUGAAUCUUCUGGUUUAAAACUGGAAUGUGACGAGAAGUUUUUGCUAGAUGUCAAAGCUACUUAAUCUUAUUGCAAUGUUUAUGUAAAUGCAUGUCAAAUUUCAUUGAUGUUUGAUGCAUUAAAUGAAAUGUUGGUGAAGAUAUAUGGCUGGAAACUUCAACUUUGAACCCGAGAAUGUUGUUAUAUUUUCUUAAGCUUAGAUUUCAUCUUGUAAAUUGAAAUUUACACAUAUAUUGAUCAACAAACAUCCCUACUCCUCUGUUUUACUCUGUAUAUUGCGAUUGUCCUGAUUUGGGAGGAAAUAACUAAAUCUUAGAAAAGAAAUGAGAGCUGGUCGAGCAUGCUAAACUGUUUGGCAGAUUUGGAUUGAUUGGAUGAAUUCGAUUUGUAUUGCUGAGUUUUUCUGGAAAUUUUAGCUAAGUUUUAACCAAAACGAUCUAUAAUAGAAUGAUAGUAAAAUGUACCUUGAAUUUGAGGAAGUUUAAGCAAGAAAAUAGCAAACUAAAGGAAGAAACUUGACUACCCAUUGCUGGAAAACUGUUUCGAAUUAUUCUAAAACAAGUGCUUAGAUUUUGAGUCUAAUUUUGAAUUCUAAAAUGGAACUUGAACCAAAACUGACCAAAAUCUCUUCAAACCAUCUUAUAACAGUUUUACUUGUGAAAAUUCAUCCAAAAUAUAGGAUAAAAUCAAGGAAGCUCAUAGUAGUACUAAGCUGCCAAUCUCUAGGAAAUUUAUCAACUUUGAACUUUGAUUUCUAAAAUGACCCUUAGGACCUAGAUUCCAACUUUUAUAAGAAAAGGUAAGUUGUAACUACCACUUAAUCACCUUAACUUACUAUAUUUUGAUAAAAUAUAGAACUCUAAGACUUAAGGGGGUUAAGUUACCUAAACUUUGAAACUAGGAUUUACUGUAAUAAGAUAAGUACUAAGAUUACCUCGAAACAAAAGAAAUAAAAUGUAUACAUUUAAACAUCUUGGAUCAUACAUAUAGGUAUAUAUAUAUAUAUACACACUUUUAGCCAAUUGUAUCAUAUUAAGUUGAGUUUAGUUAAAAGAAUCAAGUAAGCCUAAAUAGCUAGAAUAAUCACUUAAACUCUUAAUUUCACAAAGUAUUACACUUAAACAUCACUUUAGGAAAUUUAACAAAUAAUCUAAUAAAUUUACAAAUAUCUCAAGGGCCGAGGGUGAACUGAAGGAGGGACCGAGCACCGAGAAAUGAAUUCUAGCUACUUUAGGUGAGUGUUUCCACAUUUGUGUGUUUAAAUAGGCUAUGUGCUACUUAAACGAUGGCUAUAUGAUCAUACUAGUGCUUUAAUGUGAAGUGCUUUCAAUUGUCUCUCGCCUUCUAAGUCGGGAGUGUAUUUGAUUGCACUCGACUUAAUUUGAGAUUAAAGGUUGAUAAUUGAUCAAGUGUUAUUAUAAUAUGCAUGACUGUAAGCCGUGUACGUACUUCAUCGUAUCAGCUGAAUUGGGCUCCAAAACCCUUUGUUCAAUGGAUUAUUCGAGCCAACAAAAGGCUUUGGUCGGAUAGCACGGUGGUUUUGCAUAAGUUUUUCAGUAUGCUCGAGUAUUACCAUGUAGUAGCAAAUUACUGAACUGGUAUAGCCAUCUAAGUGAGGGAAGUGUUUACUAUUUUGGAGGUUAUAAGGAGGAGUUCUGUGGAGUGUGCAAUGUAUUAAAAUGGCUCUAAUGCGAGCGCCGUAUCCUUUUGAAAGUAAUUGUUCAAUGAAGUGUUCUUUACUUUAUUCAAUAAAGUGUUUUUUUCUUGCUUAAUUUUGAUUACGUGUUAAGUGUUUGAUGAUUAUUGCUUGCUUGGGAAACCUCAUAGGGUUUUGCUCAACCCAUUUAGUUUGUUUUUCUUACAAAAAGGGAGGACAGGAAUAGGGAGUAGCCAAGAGUUAAGUUGGGACCCGAAAUUGUACUUGGAAGAUUCCUUUAGUACUUAAAUGUUAUAGUUAUUCUAACUUUUAUUUUCAAAGGUUAUAUAUAUAUAUUAAACGGUUUAGACUAACAUAUCUUUACUUUUUUGGGAUGUACUUAAGUAUGAUGGACUGUUAAUGGCUUUAGUUACUGAAAUGUUAUCUCUCAAGUUAAUAUGAGUUCUAACGAGAGUCAGGUAGGCAGUCCGCUUAACCCUUUAGUGUGACGCCCCCACUUCUCCCAAGGGCGAACCCAAGGGUAUCCGCGGGACGCCUGCCCAACUCUCGCCAGGACUCGGUACAAUUUCCCUUCAAAUUUAAGAAUAACCGAUCAAUACUAAAAGUCGAAGGUAUAAAGGAAAGUCAAUUCCUUAAUAAUCGUUCAAGUCUUACAUCAUAAGUUACCAAAAUAUCUUACAUUACUAAAAUAUACAACUUCCAAAAGUUGUCUAAACGAAUACAUUCAAAAUUCUAAUCAAAAGGGCCAUCAAAUCGACCUCUCCACAAUUCCUUCCAUUUCAGCUCCUGUUAAAGAAAACAAAUCUAACGGGGUGAGCGAAUGCUCGUGAGGCCAAGAAAACAUGCAACACGCAUAGUACAAAUAACAAUAGCACUUACGCAAGAAUGAGAGCUAUAAUAUUCAGGUGAUUCACAAUUUAUACUAAGAUACCCUUGAGUAGGAUACAGGAGCUCUUAUGAGCUAAUUUCUAUUUGUUUUGUCAAAAUUCAAUCCAAUACUUCCUUGUGAUGACAUUCCAUCACCCAAUUAGGUAAUCAAAUCCGUAGAAUUUCACUUUUUCAAGUAUGGUUCUGAGUCGACAUGAGAGGUACCUCCCACCCGAAUCGGUGUGGUACAUGCUAUCGCUCAGGGAAUCGAUUACACGUUUAUGGUUCUGAGUCGACAUGAGAGGUACCUCCCACCCGAAUCGGUGUGGUACAUGCUAUCGCUCAGUGGUCGAUUAGACAUCGCUCCAAUCGACUUAUACUUUAUUUAUAGUUUUGAGUCGACAUGAGAGGUACCUCCCACCUGAAUCGGUGUGGUACAUGCUAUCGCUCCGAGAACCAAUUAUAGCACUGAGACAGUAUGAGAGGUACCUCCCACCCAGAUUGGUGUGGUACAUGCUAUCCGCUCAGAGCUCAUGAGUUAAACAUAUUCAUGUACAAUUACCAAUUAUUGUUUAUAGUUCUGAGUCGACAUGAGAGGUACCUCCCACCCGAAUCGGUGUGGUACAUACUAUCGCUCAGGGAACCGAGUAUAGCACUGAGUCGGGAUGAGAGGUACCUCCCACCCGAAUCGGUGUGGUACAUGCUUCCCCUCAGAGCUUACGAGUUAAACAUGUCUAUAAACAGUUACCGAUCAUGUGUAUCCAUGUAACAAGUAUUUGCAUAAUUAAAGGAAGGAGAGAACGAGGGUGUCCUCACGUAUAUACACAUAAGUCGAGGAGGCUCACUCCACUCGACAUCACAACACAAAUAUGGUUGGCAAUAACAAUACUUCACUUAAUUCCUAUAACAAUUCAUUUCACACAAUUCAAAUAUCAAUCCACAUAGCACAUUUUAACUGUAGCAUUCCCCAAAGGAGAACGAGCGCGAUAAAAUACACACUCGUCUCAACAAGUUUACGUAUCAUGUAUAACACUUGUACAAUUCACAUUUCAAUUACAUAAGUAUUUAACAUGCACUUGACACUCACCAAGUAAACAAGAAGAAACGGCACUCGAAGUUCAAGCGUCCACCGUGGGAUCCUCUUGAAGUUCCUCUCGUGUGCCUGAGCAAUUAAUAAGGAUUUAUCACUCAAAAUCCCCAAUUAUUACAAAGAUUGUACUUAAUGCACAAUCUAAGAAAAUCCCAAAGAAAACGGAUCCCAACCACUCGUAAAUCGGGGUUCAAAGAUGGGAUUUUAAAGCACCAAAGCAAUUGAGGUUUCAUCUUGGAAAUCAAGUUUAAUACUUUCAAGUAACAUCAAAGGAAUAAGGAGAAUUCAAAAAUCUCUAUUUCCUUAAGAUUUGGAAAUUUCAGUUUUGGUACGAGAUCUUUGAAAAACCGUAUCUCAUUCUUUACAAGUCCAAAAUUGGAAAACUUGGUACCGUUGGAAACCUCUUCCAAAGUACUAAAAGUUCCUAGAAUACACUUCUCUAAUAUUCCAAAUGAAAAACAUUCAAAAAUGAGCUCAAAGUCGCUGUUUUGGUUCAUAAGGCAGAUUUAAGUUGGUUUUUGGCCAACUUUGAAAAUUCGGAAAAAUUCACUUGAUUGGAACUAGCCUUUGAAAUUUGCAAAUCUAGUAGUGUUGUAACCCAAGUUUACAACAAAAUAAGCGGAACGAGAAAUGGAGUUUUGAGUACCAAGAUAUGGUAGCUCAAAGUUACCCAAAUUUCCUUGUUAAACAAGGGUUUUCCAAAAUCAAGUCUUGAACUUUGGAAAUUUAUUUGAGCCAUGAAACGGUCUCGGAAUAACACCAAAAUUAGUAGUAUAAUACCACCAUAUAAGGGUUGUCCCUCUACCAAAUUUCAUGGAAAAAUACCUUCGGGAAGGUAGUCAACCAAACAUCCAAAGUUUCGAAAAUCCUAAGGCAGAACUGCCUUGAGCUUUUUGGUUUUCCAUUCCAAACAUUUGGUCAAGGAAAAUCCUCCAAACAUAGUUCAUUAGUGUAGGCAAAGCCUAAGGAACAUUCAUGGUACAUUUGGUAAGUGUUUAACACCCAAAAAAUUCAAUUAGCAAGUCUACACCAAGCCUUGCAUCAAAUCUGUCCAAAAGUUAGGGUUUUCAAGAGUAGGGCAGGUUCCGUAUUUUGAUCAAAAAUCACUCAAAUUAACUCGGAAUUGAGCAUGGUUUAUGGCGUUGGAAAAUACAUUUAUAGAGCUAUAAUUUUACAGAAGAAAUCAUUUUGAAAUUCGGCAUACAACUAGCUCGAAUUCGAGCCACAAGUUGCAGCCUCAGCAUUUCUUUCCAGGAAAACAGAGAAACAGAACAGCCGACUUUAAAUGGUUGGUUCGGCUCACAUACAUGGAAUCAGAACAUGAAUUUUAUACCGUUGGAAAGGUGAGAAUGUCUAGUUUCAAAUGCCACUGACGGCACUCAAUUUCAACAUCGAAGCACAGAGUUAUAGAUGAAACAAGAAAGCUGGUCUGAGCAUUACGGGAACAGUUUCCAGGUCUGCUACCUUCACGAAAAUAAUUCAUUUGACCAACCAAACCUCAAUAUUUUUCAAUGAAAUUUUGUACACCAUCUAUACAACAUAUAAACAUCAUAUAAAAGCCAUUAAACCCUCAAAAUUUCGCAGAAAUAGGUACGUUCAAAGUAGGGGCAGAAUCGGAACUUUUUACUCCAUGCACCCCUUGAAGUUUCUACUAAUAAUACACCAUUAAUCUACCAUUUUGAGUACUAAACCAACAUUAAAUCCAUCAUCAAUGAUCACAUCAGCCAUCAUCCAAGAGUGGGAGUUCAUAGAGCCCACAUUCACAAUUUUCCAACAAUAACAAGCCACUCACAUGAAUAACUAAGCUCAUAAGUGUAAAACAACUUCCAAACUUCAAGUUUUCAAGAGUGGAUCAUCACUUACUUUGGUUUGAUGUUCAAGCAGAAUUUCAGCCCCCUUUACUCCAGCAAAACCGUGAUUUUCAGCUCCCCUUUGCAGCUCAAAAUGAUCCUUAAGUGUUAAGCCAAGUGUGGUUUAAGUUUGGUGUGAAUUGGAUGAAGAUUUGUGCAAGAUUUGGAGAUGGAGAAAUUGAGAAGUCUUGGGUUGUUUUUGCAGCUUGAUGGCCGGCUGAAAUGGAGCAUGAGAGAGGGAAAGUGUGUUCAAAUUUGGCUUCCUAAGGAAGCUUCACUUGUGUGGCUAGAAAUGGUGCAAAAGUCAACUCUUCUACGCGCGCACUUGCGCGCAUUUCGCGCUCGAUUCCUCUCGCAUUUGUUUCACCAGUGCACUAAACCUCUAGUACACUUAUAUUCAUACAAAUAUUAUGCACUCUUAAUUGUCCCAAAAUAAUAGUCUAAAGUUCCUCAAUUAAUCGCGCGCGUGAAAACGCAUAUUUCCAAUUUAUGCGCGAUAGAGUGAAACUUUCGAGAAAUUCUUAUAACGAUCGUACCACUAACUAUCACUUGAGUACUUAAACCUAAAAUUACCUAUUUUAGGACCAUUGUACAUGUCUCCAAUUUUCCAAGCUUAUUGUACUCCCAAUUGGCUAAAAUUUUCAAACAUGUUUUCACUAUUUUCAUUAAUCGAGCUUCCAAAAAUUAAUUUUUGAAACGAGUCACUUUAAAACUAUAAUGAAGUCAUAAUUCCAUGUAUUUAAGUCUAAUAAGGUUAGAAAAUAUUAUUCAGGGCAAAUCCAAAUAAAUAAUUAAAUGAGCCAAAAAUAGGGGUUUAAAAAUCGGAAAAUAUGCGGGUCCUCACAUUUAGUUUGCCUUAGGGUCCGGCCGAGUCGUCACAACCUGACCCACAUAGCAUAUAUUUUUUAUUUUUAUAUACAUAUAUAAAAUAUUAUUUUAAGAGCUAAGUAAGUAAUUUCAUUAAAAAAAUUACGCCCAAAUAUGAGUGCUUAUAAUUUGUUUACAAGAUUCAUUUAUAGAGGUCAUAAUCUUAUUUUAAAAAAGAAAAAGUUUAAUUGAUGUAGAAUAUAUAUAUAUAUGUGUGUGUGUGUAUAAGGGAAAUGCUUAUAACAAUUUUCAUUAGUUUUGGAUUCAUUUUUUUUCUUGUAUUCUCUUUGUGUGUCUGUUUCUCAACAUAAGACUUUUUUGGGUAAAAUCUACUUCUACGGGUAGAAUGUGCGUGCCCAUUGGAAUGUACUCAUUGGUAGUAAACAAUCUGGAAAUCCGAGGUGCAGAGUAAUGAGCUAGAAGGCACAAAAAUAAAGCAUUAAACAUUCACGCAAAGAAGCAUAUUACAAGCCAAAUAACUGAUAACUAACUAAACAUAAGAGCAAUGCAAACAAGAGUUACCGAGCAAUAGGAAAAGGAGAAGCUGCAGAACUUGUGUUCUCUAUUUUACGGAAAUUACCGAGAAGGAAGCUGAGACCAAACAAAAUGGAAAAAAAAAUUUCUAAGCUUUAAUCUGUUUCAUCAAAGUUCAAACGUAGCCUUCUUGUUUACUAUUGUCAAAAAUUUCAUCUAAAAAAGUAGUUAAUGGUAAGUAAAUCAUCCAUUGAUUCAUGGUCCGAUCUAAUGGUGAAUGUAUGAUAAAAGUACAAAGAACAAUUGAUCAAGUGGUUGAAAUUUAUACAAAGGACAACCUAACUCUUAGCAAAUAGUAAACAUCCAAUCAUGACAUGUGAUUGAAGGAAGUAAAACAAUGGCCUAUGACUUGUAAAGAUUGUUUAAAUUUUACCAUUGAAUGAUCUCACGGUUACAAUUGGAAAACAAUUAACCACUGCAAAUCCAACGGCCCAAAGUUAAGCAAGAUAUCAAAAAUAUUUUUAAAAAAUUGAAAAAACUCAAAUAAAUAAAAACGUUAAAAGUUGCUUUGUAAUUAACUAUGGCUUAGCUAAAAAUGAUAAUUCUUAGACUGACUGUUUCAUUUUAAUUAUGUAAAAUAGAUUAUAUAUAUAUUCCCUAGCACAACACUUGUAGUCCUACUACAAAAAAUAAUUUUUCCAUAUUUCUUUUUAAAUAUUUAUCAGAGAUAUGAUUUAUACAUCUUAAUAUUUUUCCCCAUACUGUAAAAAUAUAAGUUUUAACAUAUCUUUUCCAAUAAAUUCUAGACAAAUAAAACCUAAAAAAUUACUUUCUAAAUAGAUAAAGCUCAUAACUGGCGUAUUUGUUUUCAUUUCUAUGCCAUUAGUUAAAUUAUCUCUUAUCCAAUCUCUCGGUAUCAUGAAAAAUUUAUUAAUUUUUUGUAUCUCUUCCUGUCCAUAAUCCCAAAGAAUAAGGAGAGUGUUUAUAAAAAUUACAAAUUGAAGUAGGCGAUGCACUUAUAUAUGCUUUGUCAAUAAUUAACCUAGCAUUUAAACCCCUUCUCAUGAUGUUUCUACUCUCAUUAGAAAAAAUAACGAUUUUGGUGUUUCAUUUUCCCUUAAAGUAUAAAUAAUUCUAAAAAAAUAUACAAAAUAAAUAGGUUGCAUUUUGAAUAUUAACCUUGCAUUUAUACUAAAAUCUAUUAUGCUUAUACAUUUAUCUGAAGUAAUAAAUCAUAAAUUUUAUUUUCAAAAAAAUUAAUAUCAAAUACUUCUCAAUUAAUUAUUUAUUAAUGACUAAAGAAGUAAUAAGCAUUCAGCUGUUGUUCAACCAAAUGCUCAUUCAACCAGGCGAUGUAGUUAUAUUUGAUUUCCAAAUAAUUAACAUACCAUUUAAAUCUCUUCCAUGAUGUUUCUACUUUUAUUGCAAAAAAUUAAUUUUUGUAUUUUUUUUCCCUUAAAUCCAAAUCAUUUUUAAAAACUACAAAAAAAAUAAAUGAGGUUGCACUCUGAAUAAUUAACAUUGCACUUGCACUUAAAUCUAUUACGCUUAUACAUUUAUCCAAAGUAAUAAUUCGUAAAUUUAUUUUUUGGAUAAAAUUUAUUAGUAUCAAAUAUUUCUCAAUAAAUUGUUUAUUCUUGACUAAAGAAGUAAUAAACAAUCAGCCAUUAUGGACUUAAAUGUUCCUUGACUAGGCUGGUUAAUUCGCUCUGCAUAAUAAUUAGAGGGGAGGAAAAAAUUUUAUAUAUUUGCAUUGAAAGCAAAAGAAGGAAACAAAGAAGGCUCCUCACACCUCUCAUUGCACCACGUGGUAGCUCUUGAAGCUACCAUAGCAAAAAGCAACCCGAUCUUAUAUAAUAAUUAGAGGAACCAGGCUGGCCCUCCCAAAAAUACUGAUCAUUGAAAAAGCAUAUGUAACAAUUCUAGUUGCAAAAUAGGUACAUAAUACCAUAAUUACCAUUCAUAGAUAGUUGUCAACAAUUUCAGUAGCAGUUACACACCUUCCAGUACAAUUAAGUUCCAAGUAGAGAUACAUUGGCAUGCUAAUAGUCUUUUUCAAAGUUCAUUUUAGUUACAUAAUAUCAUCUAUUAGGAUCCAUUAACUUCUAGUCAUCGUGAGAAUGUUAAUGGAUUCUAAUAUGAUGGCAAACGAUAGCAUGCUAAAAGUUCAGUAGCAUCCAUGAUGAGCAAAAGGAUGAACAACAAAAGGAUGAACAAAAGAGGACAUGAAGCUGUGUGGCUGCUUCAUUUUGCAGAUUCACGUGGCUUCUUGAGAGGGCUCAUAUGAGCAGAUUUUGAAGAUGCAGGCUUGUUGUCUUCAGGACCAUUUUUUGCAGCAAUUGAGGGAACAACUUCAAUGGUUGUCUUCUCUGCAGAAGUUACAUUAGUUCUGGGAAUUGGAGUUUCAAAAAUUAAGCUUCUUUUUGCAGCAAUGUUUGAAGAGAUUGGCUUAUCUGCAUUAUCAGACUUGUGCCCAAUUGAAUCUAGGAUCAUUUUUGUUGUUGGGCUAAAGAAUUGCCCUUCAGUGGCAGGUUGGUCAGUGAAAGUGGAGCGAGCAGUUAAGUCAACCUGUUCAAUGCUGUUGGUCAGCUUCUCAGUUAUGGUUGGAGCAGUUGGAACAGGCUCUUCCACAGGAUUAGAGGCAGCUGUGCGCGUGAUUGCUGGGUUGAUUUCAGCCAAUUCUUCAGCAGUGUAUAUUUUGACGAUGCUAUACUUAUCAUCUUUCUGUCUUUGAUAAUCUGAAUCGAAAUGGCAGACAAAGCAUAGGACUUGACGGUUAUCAAUUGCAGAUGCAAUUUCAGAAAAAACCUCAACACCCUAUAUUUUGCAAAUGAACAAAAAAAAAAGUUCAAUACCCUGUAUUUUAAAAAAUUUUAUAGACUACCAGAAAAUGUAAACAUGAUGCAAUUUCAGAAGAAAGCUUAAUAGUAACAUAGAUUGAAGGUGACAUGGGCUAUCUUAUUGCUGGAUAAAAGAAACUUUUAGCUAGUUCCAGUUAGGAAUUUUGUUUUUUGACUACGAUUGAGUCUUGUCCUUGGAAAGAAUAGCAAAAUAACCAGAGGGAUAUUACCAGAUUUGUAGGCCAAUCACAAAAGAAAAUAGAGAUAUUGCAUGUUAAUGGUAUGAGUUUUUCAGCAUCUUACGUGUUCAUCAACUUCACUUAGUUGUACUGCUGUGAAUGGUAUGAGUUUUUCAGCAUCUGUACCAAACACUACUGCAUACAUUGAACUUGUUCCAUCAUCAAUGAUAAUUCCAAUACGGCAUCUAGUAUAUGAUAGCAGUGAAUAAUAGCUAAUCAAUGAAAUAAAACAGAAUUAUUGUUAAGAGCACUAUUGUAAAAUUGCAUGCCUUGUUUACCUGGUUUCAACGGCAUUUUCUUCUCUACAAGAUGGACAUCUGAUGAUCCAUUCCAAAUUAGCAUCUAUAGCCUUUUUGACAGUUACUACAUGCAGCAUACCAGAAAGAUCGCUGCUCAGCUGCCAAAGAAGUAUUUCCUCGUAUCCAGGCAGUCUUGACCUAUAGUUUAUAUUGUAUUAGAUGCAAAGUUAAGUAAUUCAUUUUUCACUAAUGUAAAAGGUAAGAAAAUAGUAUAAGUCAGUUGCUGAAAUGACUGUAUUUACAUUUUUCAGCAUGCUCACAGCGUUCUCAACACUAAUGAUAUCAUCAUUUUUUGGGCGGAGGCAGCAAUUUGGUUGAGUCUUUGUAACUGGCCUCCUCAAUUAGUUGUAAAAUUUCCUGCCGAUUCUGAUCAUACCUGUGAACAUAAAUAUGACAUGUUAUAUUUUUCAGUUUUUAUGUAUAAUUAUAAAACAUGAUAUGCUUACCAUUGCCUUAAUACAGUGGCUUGAGGAGUUGGUGGAUUCACCAGCAGACAACAUGCAAGCCUUGUUGUUAGAGAUAGAUCUAAGAAAAUAGUAUAUAAUUAAUUCAUUAAAGUUGAAGUAUGGCAGGCAAAGUAGUAAUAAUUUCUUGAGCAAUGGGAGCUGUAACUUAUAGUUAAAAGUAAUUACUUUGACUCUCAUAGCUAUGAUGAUGUUGUUGUUUGUGAUAGUGUUUGCCAGCUGUGCUCCUUUAUUUGCUUCAAAUUCGAUCCACAGAAUAAGGAGCAUUGGCCUUUUUCUAAAAAGGCAAUAAAUAUGAUAAAAAUUAAAGAAUGUAAUAAGUUUAUUUAGUAAAUUGAAAGUCUAUUCUUUUGUUCCUGUUGGCUUACUCUUGAUUAAUAACAACCAAGUCUCUAGUCGUUGAAUCAAGACCCUGUUCCCUUGAAGGAAAAGCAUGCACGACAAUACCCUGGAUAUCUAUUAUUCAAAAGAAUAUUUCAAUCUAAGGAUAAGCUGAAAAUAACAUAAGGAAUACAUUGGGAUUAUCUAAGAUAAAGCAUGAACUUACUUUGCAAAUUUUCUGUGUCAGCAAAUCUGAAUAAGUUUUCAAAUGCUGUGAGCUCAAAAUGACACGGAAUAACCGGCGGAACCUGCUCAACAUACUCCUCAACCAACGUUCUGUUAUGGAUUACCCAAGAAUAUGGGUCGUCACUGACCUUAUACCUUGAUUCUACUUUUCGAAGAGCUACACUGGAGAUAUAGUAUCUCCUGAAUGGCAUCAACAUGGCAGCAAAAAAACGGAUAUCAUUGCCAUAGAUGACUGUUGAAACCUUUGUUCCCUGUUGCAUCAUAAAGAAGAAAAGCUGUAAAUUUGUAAAAGAGUCAAAGAUAUAUGCAAAAAUUGAAGGAAUAUCUUUAUUUUUUUGGUUACCUCAGAAUCUGUCAGAAGGAAAUGGUGGUAGUUCACAGGCCUUGCUCAUCGACUCAACUGAACAUAUCCUCUCUGAACAACCUGAGCCAAUACUGUCCAUCCUUUUACUCCCUCAACGACCUCAUUCACUGGAAGGUAGCGUCUUGCCAUGCUUAUCUAUAAAUGGUACAAAAAGAUGAAAUUGAUUCUAAAUAUAUAGUACAAUUAUGAUAGGAUUAAUUAAAAAUUGAAGAAAUAGCAGAAGAAUGUUCAUUUACUUGACAGCUAAUUGAGAAGCUUCAAGAGAACAGCUAAUUGAGAAGCUUCAAGAACUUCUCUAUAUACAAUAUUUUUUGUCUGAUUUAUUCUGGAUUUAUCAAAAAAUGGAGGCUUAAUGAGUAACUUGACUUGUGAAGCUGUUCUUGCACGUGAUAACGCCACAUAAAUAGGUUCUCUUAAAUAAAUACUUACAAAAUCUAAUGUUUGUCCUUGAGCUUUGUUAACUGUCAUUGCAAAGCACAAAUGGAUUGGAAACUGAGUUCUCUUAUAUGGGACAGGGUAUUGCUCCUCAGUGGGAGGUUCUAACGGAAUUCUAUGGAUGAAAACAUCUUUUCCAGCAAAAUCACCUACAACUAUUUGAGCAUGAAUAACAUUCGGCUCAAAUUCCUGCAUAUUAAUCUUGUCCCAUUACAAAGGUCUUCAGUGGGAUCUAAAUUUCUUAGCAAGAUUAUUGGUGCAUUAACCUUCAAGAUCAGCCUAUGUGGUAGAAGUCCACUUGGGGAAAGAGAAUUCAAAAAGUCCUCAUACACUCCCUGAUGAUUUGGAUUUAAGGUUUCAUCAAAACUAAGAUAUUCUACUGCUUCACCUGGAAAUUUGCUAAUGAGAAUGUCAUUCACCUCAUCAACAAAAUUAUUUUUUGUGGACAGAAUUGCUUGGUUGACUGGAGUGUUAGCAUCUAAUGAUCCAGUUAUGAUAUUGGGGUAUACUAAAUUUAUCAAAUUAUCUAGUGCAGAAUCAGCCUCACUAUUUUCAAGCAAAAUUGAAGAGCGAAUCUUUAUGUAGCUAUCAUCUUGGGAUUUUUCAGUUCCAUUGCCAACUCUCAAUAAAUAAUUAGUAAAUGAGGGGUCUAAUCGAGUCCUCAUAUUCUCUGUUAACUGCAAUUUUUCAAGAGAAGGCCAUAGAGGAGAAUUUAUUAUGCAAGCAUUAAUAGUCUCAGAUUGAUUUCCUCUACGAACAAUUGGCAAUGUUUGUCUAAAGUCGCCACCAAAGACGACAACUUUUCCACCAAAUAUUUCUGAUGAGUUCAUAAGAUCUUGCAAUAGAUCAUUUAAUGCUUCAAUUGCAGAUCUUUUUGACAUAGGAGCCUCAUCCCAGAUAAUGAGUUUGGAUUCUCUAAUCAUUGCUGCCGGGCUGCUUUGUUUGCUAACUCUACAUGCUCUGCCUUCUAAAAGAUCAAUUGGGAUUUUAAAUCGUGAAUGGGCAGUCCUACCUCCUGGUAGUAUAGAAGCAGCAAUUCCUGUAGUGGCUGUUGCUAGUGCUAAAUACCCUUUAGACCUUACAUCAGCUAGCAACGCUCUAUAGAGAAAUGAUUUUCCAGUGCCUCCAGGGCCAUCUACAAAAAAGGCCCCACUUUUGUUCUCAUAUACGCGGUGAGAUAUGAUCUCAAAUGCAUGCCUUUGUUUUUCAUUAAGCAAAGAAAUUGCAUUCAGAUCUUCUUCACGAACUGUUAUUCUUCUUUCAGGUAACAAUUCCCUUGUUUGGUUCUCAACAUCAAAAGGAUGAUAGAUCAUUCGGAACCAAUCCAAAUGAAGCUAUACUUUUCCCAUUGAUUCAAGAAAACCACUUAUUUAUUGCAGUACCUUUUUCCUGACCUCUCUAGGAGUCAAAUCUGAACACCUUAGAAAAUCCUUCAACAUUACAGCCUCAAAUUUAACCAUAAUUGUUUGGGAAUGUUAGGACAGGAAUAUACCAAAAGGGUUGCAAAAAGUCUUCUCAAUUCAUAAGACAUAUGAAAGAGAGAAGCCUCUUCAAGACAAUGUUCUUGGCUGUUAUCAUCUUGAAGCAACCCUCUUAAAAGUGCUGCUUCACGAAAGGUUCUAACCUAUACUCCGUUAUAAGUCUUCAAGUCUUUGAAGGACUUCAGAGCACGGACUUUUGUUAAAAGAAGCCUAAGGUAGUACCUCUCUCCUUCAGUCGGAUGGACUGCAUUUAUUCUUCCUCGACCUCUCAUUUUCCAACGUUUCUUAUCAGGAAGCCAAACAAAAUGGUCUAGAAAUUCAGAAUAUGUACAAUUCAAAGUCGAAGCUUCUGAAUCUGUUCUAUUCAUGUAGAAGACUUCAGUGAGCAUUGUCUUUUUGUUUCUUGGAUUGCUCACAACAUUGGUCAAAUUUUGAUGCUUUUUGAAACUUAUAGGCUGAUAGUUUUCUAGGUGAAGUUGCAAAUGAAUUAUUGCAGGUUUUAUUUCGCCCAUAGCAAAACAAAAAAGUCUCCAUCCAGCCUCAGGUGGUGAGACCCAAUGAGCUGCCCGAUACUGCUGGAUUUCAUCAAUAUGGCUGUUUGGAUUAUCGGAAUUAACAUGAAAACUGAUUCUAUCAUGUCCUUUGAAAAUGUAUUUAUAGAUGUAUUUAACAGCCUAAAUUGUUGAACAAAUUUCAACAUUAAUGUGACAAUCAAAUUUAGCCAGUAAAUAGGUAUUAUAGGGAACAACCCAUCUAUUAUCCAAGUAAUGCUGUCUAACUUUGACUCUAACACCAUUAUUACUUCGUCUAUAUACUAGAUAAGAAUUAAUAGUCUGGGUUGUUUCCUCACAAAAAUCCUUUGGAUAGGAAUGCCCACGCUUGCCAUUCUUUGUCAUACACAUACUUGAUGGAUUUAAAACACCACAUGAACCAUACAUCAUGUGUUUUUUAACCAUUCUAUAUAAGUGUGGGUAUUUCACUUUGUCUGGAAUCUCAGCGCUCACAAUUUUAUCAUACUCUUCAAGUCUGAACAUUUUAUGUUGAGAUUUCAAAAUUAAGAGGAAGUGUGCAUGUGGCAAGCCUCUUUUUUGAACCUCUACAACAUAUGUAUAGACUGCCACUUCACCAAAAAUACUUUUCUUUAGGAUUUCAUUUUUUAAUUCUUCAAGUUUAGCACGAAAGACUCUUACAAUCAAAUCAGGUCGAUUCUGUGCUUCUUCCUUUUCAAUUAGGUGUUUUUUUUAUUUCUGGCCAAUUAGGAUUGCAAGUCAUGGUCAAGAAGAUAUCUGGUUUGCCAAAUUUUUGGACCAAGGUCAUUGCAUCUAUGUAUUUCCUUCUCAUAUUUCUUGGCCCUCCAAUAAAGCUUGUUGGUAAAAAAAUUCUCUGGCCAAUAUUUGCUGCCUGUGUUUCACCAGCAGCCACAAAGUUUUGUAUUCCUUGCAAAAACUCUCUCCUUAUUUCCUCUUGUUGUGAUCUAUAAAAAUCUAGUCUUUGAGAUUCAAGCUUAACAUACAUAUCCACUAUAAAUUGCUGAAUUAAUCUAGCAAAAUGAAACAAAAAAGACUCAUCAUUAUCCCUUAUCUAGAACUUAUAAGCAUAAUACUCUCUCACAGAAACAAAAUUUGGAUCAUUAUCAAUCUUCGCCAUUGCUGGUAGACAAAUUACAGAAUAAUUAGUUAAUUUACUAUGCUGAACUGAACUACAAAUAGAUGAAUAAGAUUGGCUGCACCUACCAUCUUGUUCCAUCUGUAAUAGUUCUUCAGCAGUAGCAGCAAGCAUUGGGGAAAUUGAACUUUCAGAAUUCUUAUUUCGAGUCUUUUUCUUGUAGACCUUUUUUCCUUUUUUUUGGAUUUCUUGAUGCCAACCAAGUUCACCAAAAGGAAAAAGAAGAGGGUACUGCAAGGGGUCAUAACAGCCAUAGUAAUAUUCUAUACUGUGACAAUGACCACCAUGAGUAUGGACUCGAAUAUCUCUCAGGCUUGUUUCCCCAUUUUCUUCUCCUUCAACCCACAAUGCAGCAAUUUGGGAGACCGUAGGUUUGUUAAAUACCCUUUGGUCUACAACAGGCAGCGUUCUCAAGACAAUACGAUAAGUAUCAAGAUUAUGAACUUCUCUUAAACCACGAAAAAAUCGAGCAUAUGGAUUGUGUUCAAGGAUAUUCAUAACCUUCUGGAUAAUACUUUCUGUUAGCCUUGGACAUGCAUUUAAACGAUUUGUCAGCUCAUUUUCAGUAUCAUGAAAAUACAACUGCAAAUUUUUUGAGGCCUCUAGGUCACUAAUGAAGUGAUAAAUUUGCCCCUAAAUCCUAAAUGUAUAGACACCUUUAUUUCUCUUUGCUAGAUUCUUCUCGCACUUAACUCCAAAAGAAGUGAAAGCAAAAAUGUUGUUAAUUGUUCUUAUACAUAUUCUAAAUAAUUUUGCCUUUUCUGAAGAUGAAGUUAAUAGCUCUUUUAAAGGAGCUGGAAUUGGGUUGCUAGCUAACACUGUGUCUCCAUUUGAAUAGCAAAAGUUGGCUGUUUCAUGGAAAAAAAAAUUUGCACCACAAUGUGGGCAAUCUGGUUGUUUUGGAAGAAUGCUUGCCGCACCUGGAAUGCAAUCUAACAGGUCUCGCCCUUUUUUUGAACUCUUCCUAUGAUCAAUAAAAGAUCGAUUUUAAAUGACUUAACUUGUUUAAUAAACAAUAAUAGAAUAUAAAAUACCCAAGUCAUUUAAUAAUGUAAAUGUUAAAAGACUUGUACGUUUUCUCUUAGUUUUCCCUUGAUUUUGUUCAAGUAUACCUGUAAAGUAGAGUCCAAUAUCAGCCACUUGAAUUAGAUAAAUUAAAUAAUUGGAAAAAAAUGGUUUUCAAUAUUCAAUUUAAAGUUAAAAAUGUUUGUUAUCAUGUGAAUGUGAAAGGCCUAUGCAUUUUAAAAAAUGGAAAAAUUUACAUGAUACAUGAAAAAGGGUUUAAAUUCAUGCAUUUAGAACAAAUAAUUUAUAGUAGAAAAAGUAAAUUUUAAAUUUUAAAAAAUGGAAAAAAAAUCACUGAUUUCAAGUAAAGGAAAAAACUGGUUAUACUGUUCUAAGAAGAUAGAAAGAGUUUUGAAGAUAUAUAAAAUCAGUUACUUGAUGGGAAGAACUAUAUUAAUAAGCAGUGCUAUAUUAAGUACCUGAAAGCUGAGACGCAUUCGAUUGUAAUUGGUGAACAACUUGAUUAGACUGAUUUAAAAUCUCAACACCCUCAGGAUUAUGCUAUUCAAUUGUACUUAUGAGAGGUUGCAAACUCUCAAAUCCUAUAUUCUGUGCUUGAUCCAGCUGAUUUUGCUUAGUUUUUUUGGCUGUCAUCUUAAGCACUCUCUGUUUUCGUCGAUUUCUAUAGGUGGAAGAUUCAGCUACUGAAAAUUCCGACGGGAUAGACAUACAUGAUUGCAAACUAUUCAAGUUUGCAUUUGGUAGCUAAAAUGUGUUAACAAAAUCCGGUAUUAGAGGCUGAACAGAUUUAGAGACAUUUGGAAGAGGCCCUAUAAUCUGUGAUCUCAUACAUUCUUGUUGACUUGAAUGUUUUUUCUGAGAUCUCUGAACUUUCAAUGCAAGAGCUUUCUCUUUCCGAUGAUGUCUCAAAGUUACGCUUUAGCUAUUUGCAAAUUCAAAUAACACAUCCAUACCAGUUUGCGUACUAUUUGAAUUUAUAUCGAAUAAAGACAACCUGGGAAGAGACUGAACAAUAGAAGGCUCAGUCACAAUCUUAGCAAGGUCUACAAUAUGAUUUUCUACAGAGGCUACCUCAAAAAGUUGGUUUGUUUGAGAUGUUUUGGCCUGUGAUCUCACACUCAUUUGUGUAGGAUACUCUGUCAGGUUGGAAGUGUGCCUCCUUGUAAACUGGAAUAGUGCAGGCAUACACAUUUGCAUAUUACUCAAAUUUACAGGUGGCGAGGAAGACGUAAUAGCAGAAGGCAAAGUUCCUACACUAUAACGUUUUAUUGCUCUAUCUAAUCGUUUCUUUUUCCAUCUAAGAAUUGCAUCUUUUCUGCAAUCUUUUUCCUUAUCAUUUGACCCACAUCAAACUAAGAAAUCACAGUAGGAACAUUAUCACAAUUUUCUUUGAUCACAGAGUCCAUGACAAAAAAAGAAGAUUACUAUCCAAGGCAUUCUAUAUGGAACAGACAUUCAUUCUCAUCAUGUGAAGACUUUUACUCUCAUAACAGAAAGAAAACCAUUAACUACAUCAUGUAUCUCACAAUCAUGUAAAAAUGAAAUAGAUAGCAAUUAAUAUGCCUGAAGCUUAAAACUUUUUAACAUGAGACACACAACCUAUAAUAUAAUCAACAGCCAAUAAAAUCCAAAUCCCUUGGACAAAAAAAAACAGCACAAAAUUUAGUUUCUUAGACAAACCUGAGAACUGAAUAUGCCAACUUGUUAGAGCAAAAGAUGCACACCAAAUAGAAUAGCCAGCUUCAGUUGAAGAAACAGGUCGACAUUUUGUAAGCAUAGGCCAAAAAAAAAAAGCAAAAUCAGUAUAAGAAAAGGAAGAAUAAAGAUUCACAAUGAAAAAAAAAAACUGAAGAAUUACAAUAGCAGUGCUAGACAUCGUUUUCAUAGCUCCAUAAAACUUAUUGUUUAGUUAUAAUCUAUAAGUAUAAAAAUAUGUUUUCAAGUAAAGUAAGCACAUUGUGAGAAGAAAAUCAACCAAAUUAAUAAAUGAUGGUCUUAUAACUCUCAUUAUUGAUCCAUUUACUAUUCUGUUAAGUUUUACUACUAGUAAAAACAUAGUCAAAUGAUCUAAAUUGACCGAAAAUGAAAAUUCAGAAAGCUAAUUGAGCAGCUAACCCAAGCACAAUUGCAAAAGGAGCAAAAAAGAAUGCAAGCAAUACAAAUUAAAUAGGAAAAAGAAAAGAAGAAUAAACCUGAUUAAGUGAAGUAUUAGAAUGAAUUGUUCCGAGUCCAAAUUCUUCACAGUGGAGUAUGACAAAGUUUUUCACAACAUGAUUUAAUAAAAAUGUUUUUUUGGUGAAAGUUUUUAUGAAUUUACAUAAAAUGUUCCAAUUUCUUUCGGAUGGUCACAACAUGAUUUAACAAAAAGUUUAUAGAUCACAACAUGAUUUAAUAAACCGAUUAAUGUCUUAUUCUAAUAUGUAAUAUUUGCCGAAAUUUUUACAUGAAUAAACCAAGAGAAACAUUUAGCCAAAAAUCUACUAAUUUUAAUAUCUUUACCACAUAUGACUACACAUAUUUAGGGGAAAAAAUAGAAUCUAAUUUACAAAUGAAAAGGACCCUUACCAAAGCUAGAGGCAGAAGAAGCUCCCUUCCAAGCGCAAGGUCUUCAGAGAAAGAAAUACACCCUUUAUAUGGGCACUUCUCUUUCUUUUCCUUUUUAAAACCUAAAAACCUAAAUUACUACUCACUUAAUGUCUAUCACAUCAAAUCCCUGAAAAUAUGAUUUAGAAUUAUGGUGUUCAUGGGAAAAUUGGAUGGCUGCAAAACCAAUUCCAAUACAAAUGAAUGAAAUCAAACGGUUGGCCACUUUUCUGGGGAAAAAUCCCUGAAUUUUGGGGAAAAACAAGACACCUAAUCUCUGAGGGAUUUCAGGCCUUCCAUGCUUCCAAGUACAAUAAGCAUGUGAAGGAACCAUCUCUGCUAUAGGAAGGGAAGAGUAUUUGCUGGUACUUUCACCCGAAGAAGAAGAAAAGAAGAGAUACGACUGGUUUCUUGUUUGUCUUAAGUGUUUACAAUGAAAUGGGCCAUAUAACAGAGGUUCUAUUGCAAUGUAAUGGGUCCCGUUGGUUCUAUUACAAUGUAAUGGGCAAUGUAAUGUCUUACUUGCUAGUUCCAUUGAUUUCUUGUAUGCCUCCGUUCCAUUGUUUCCCUUAUUAAAAAAUCCAGCCAAGUGUCAAAUAAGUAGCAAGCCACUUGUCAAAAAGAGAGCCUGCUACAGUGAACAACACUCUUUUUAUUAUACUUGAAGGAUUAGAUUUUGAAUUUUAGAUGAAUAUGUAAAGUAUUAAACUAAAUUAAUAUAAAUUAUCUUUAAGAUAUAUUAAAUGAUGAGAGGGCUGGUGCAGGUACUGUAGACACCAAAAUUUUGCCAAACUUUUAUGUUUUCUUGAAUAUUUUCUAUUUGAUGAGUCAUUUAUUUUCUUGCAUUUUAAUGUAUAUUCUCAUUUUUGUAUGUUUAUUUUAAGAAAAGAAAAUUAUGAAAAAAAUCAAAAUCAAAUCAUGACUAAACUUACACAUUUUAAUCAUCUCCCCUACCAAAACCACUAUUAAUCCAUUUUUACACUCAAUUCCCAUUGGACCUGUCUAUUCAUUUUGGUAAAAAAUUCAUCAUGUUAUUUCCAUGCACCUUGCUUGUCAUUUGGAAGUUCAUUAUUUUUGACCAACCUAACACUCCACUCUCAAUACAUCUCUCGGCCUUGCUUCUUCUUUUUGCUUGGAAGUCAAACAUAACAAGAAGGACACCACCUAAUUCUUUGUCUCAGCCCUUUCUUUUUCCCUCAAGAAGGGAAGACGCAAACAUACAUAGAAGAAAAAAAACACUCUUCCUCCCCCCAAACUCACACUCGGCUCCCUCUCUUCUCUCUCAACACACUCGCACGCAACAAAAAAGGGAGGGGCAGCUAUCGGUUAAGGCUUGGAAAUUUCAUCAAAAACUUCAACCGAAAGAUUUUCAUAUUUAUUGAGGUAUAUUUUUAGUUUUUUUAUCAUGUUAAAUCCAUGCUUCAUUGUUUAAUUUUCUUUUGUUUUUGCUGGCUUCCUUUGUUGUUUUUGCUGAAUUUGGGGAAAUGGCAUGAACUAGAUUGAGGAAAAGGAAAUGAUUCUUGUGUAUGCAUGCCAAUGUUUGAGAAAAUGCUUAAAUAGAAAAUCGAAUUAAAAUGUUAAUUUUGUACGUAUAUUGUUGUUAAAAUGAAUAAUCAUGACUAGUUAAUGGUUUGGGGAGGUUGUUUAAUUAAGUUUUGUGUCGAUUUUGUAGUCUAAAAGGCAACAGGAAAAAUGAAUUUUUAGGGGUUCUUUUGCUUUAAUUUAGCCCUUUUAUGUUGUUUUCUUGUCAAAUUAAAAUCAUAGUUGUAUUGUAGACGUUGUAAGGAGUGUUGUAGUAUAAUUUUUAGGGCAAAAAAUAUCAGCGGCCAUUAAACUAUUGACGGGAUCACGUUUUGGCCAUCGAACUAUUUUUGUCAAUAAUUGGCUACUAAACAAUUUAAUCCAUAAACUCGUGACCAUUUCGUCGUUAAUUGCUCUUAAGUUCUGAAAUUAGCAUUACACGUGGCAAUGUUCUGGGGCAAUUUUGUCCAGCAAUUUAAUUCAUAACAUAACCAGAAUUUUACAUAAUCCCAUGAAAAAUACAAUGUCCAGAAACAACCCAGAUUUAUCAAAUAUGCUUACAUACGAUUCGAGAUUCCUGAAAGCAGCCAAAGCUUCCUCAUGUGAUGCCAUUCUAACAAAUGCCAAACCCCUGUUUCUGGUCUUGUUAUACAUUGACAACUUAAACAAACAAAAAAAUAAUAAACAAAAAAAAUCAUUUAGAAUAUUAACAUUUUGCACAAAUCAGACAUUCAUUGCAUUGAAUAUCAAGAAAAUCAAGAUAUAACUGGACCGUUAUGUUCCAUUAUGUUCAAAGCAAACAAAACAAGCUAAAAAGAAAAAAAAAACACAAUCCAAAUUGAGCAAAAGUAGUAUUUUUUUUUUUUUUGGAAAUGAACAAAAAUCAAUGUAAACCAACCUCAAUGUCCACAACAGUACCAUAUUUCUCAAAGAGAGGACGAAGAUCAUCUACAGUGGAGGUCCAUGGAACAUUCUGAGCUAAAUUUCUGGUUUUAGAGAAUUCUUCUUCUUCUCCUUUAUCGUCAUCUUCUUCUUCUUCUUGGUUAUCUUUUUCUGCAUUUUCUGAAUUUUGAGUAAUGGGUUGGACUCGGGUUGAAAAAGGGGCUUGGAACUCAAAAAGAUUGAAUCUUUGAGACUUAAAUGGGAGUUUGAAUGAAAGAGAGGGAAAAGAGAGAGCGGCGUUGAGUGUGGGAGGUUUGUGAGUGGAGGGUUGUGAUGAAGCUGAGGAAAGGUUCUGGUGGAAGCGGAAGAAGUUUGUGGGACAUGAUGGCAAAUGGAGAAGACGAAAAAGUGCCAUUUAUGGGUUGAGAAAUCAAAGUUGAAAAGAAAAAUCUAAUGACUAUUCAUGGUUUGUGGGAUUGGGUACCCUGUUUCAGAAGGGGAGGAAACAGAGGAGUUGAGUUGUAGGGUCAGAAAAUUGCUGGACAAAAUUGCCCUCGAACCUUGUAACGUGUAAUGCUAAUUUCAAAACUUAAGAGCAGUUAAUGACAAAAUGGUCACGGGUUUAUGGAUUAAAUUGUUUAGUGGCCAAUUAUUGACAAAAAAUAGUUCGAUGGCCAAAACAUGAUCCCGCCAAUAAUUUAAUAGCCGCUGAGGUUUAUUGCCCUAAUUUUUAUGAUUUUUGGUGAAGGAUAUGGUGUUUUGAAAAAAUAAAAAUUGGGCUGUCUUUUGCUAUUUUCGCCACUUUCGGUUCAUUUUUUGUAAAAACUAAACCCAAAAAUGAAUUCUACGCAAAAAAUCGAGUGGGGAUGUGCAUUUUGAUCAAAUUUGAUGAUUGGAGAGGUCGCCGUCGCCAGCCGCAGACUGAAGAAGCUUCAGCUGGCCGGAGAAGGAGAAGAAGAAAAAUGAAGAAGAAGAAGAAGAAAAAAAAAGAAGGAAAAAAAAGAAAAAAGUGUUGGGCUAAUUUUUAUUUUUUCUGGUGGGCUUGUUUUUUGAUUUUUGGUUGGGCCAAGAGUUAUUUUUGUGUUGGGUUUUGAUUGGAGUAGUGACUGGGUUUGGGGUUCAGGCCCAACCCGUUUUCAUCAGGCUAAGCUUAGUAAAUUUAGUGGGUUUGUUCACUCCUUUUCCAUUUUUUUUACUUUGGGCUGAUCGGAUUUUUGGCCCGGAAAUAAACAAAAGGUAGCCCAAUGACCUUAUUUUCCUAAGACAUCAGAAAUGAAUUUGUACUUUAGCCUCUAAUCUUUGGAGUAAUUUUAUUAUGGCUCAUAAUAUUUUAAAUUUCUUUCAUCUAGGCCCUUAAGUUAAUUGUAUUUUGGUCAUUGAAUUUUAUCCUUUAUUUAAUUUUGGCACCUAAACUUUGUAAAAAUAUACUUUUAUCCCAAAAUUUUUUUAUUUUUGCAAUUUAGUCCCUAAUGAAUUUUUGACUAUCUCUAUUAUAACUGUUUCUUCUUUUUAAUAGCUAAUUAUAUUACUGUUGAAUACAUUUAACUUGUAAUUUUUAGAUGUUUGACAUAUUAAUAUGAAUUUAGUAUUUUUAAUCAUUAUUAUUAUUUUUAAUUAAAUUGGUGUCAUGAUUCUUUUGUUCAUUUUGAGUAUAAAUAGGGCAGUUUGACUCCAUUUAGUCACCACUUCAAAAGGGAGGUACCCCUAUCAUUAUUUAAAUAUUAAUUACGUGCUCUUAUGUGCUCCUACGUGUUCCUAUCUGUUUAUAUAUUUUUAUAUGCUUUGUUAUUUAUUUGAUUCAAAUGUUCAUUCAAAUUUUCUUAUGUUUGUUUAGUUAAUUUUAUAAUUAUUUGAGAGGUGUUUAAAUACCUCAAAAUGUAAGUAUUGUAUUUGAUAGGUAAUAUUUUUGCAAGUAUUGUAAUUAGAUAGACCAAUGUAAUAGAUAGGAUAAAUGUGUUUAUUUUAUCAUAUUUUCCCUAUUUUAGAUUGUAAUUAGGUACCCUGUUGCAAUAGAUAGAAUAGAUAGGUUUAUUUUUUAUAUUUUCCCAUUUUAGAUUGCAGUUCGAUUCUCCGUUGUAAUAAGCAGGUUUUGUGUAUUUAUGUAGCUUAUGUGUUAUAUGCUUUAUCCGCUUUCCUUAGAAUUUUGGCAUCUAGAUAUUGUGAGGACUCGUAAAAACUAUUAUUUUUUAGCCUAAUUAGUGGCUUAAUAAAUUAUUUAAUUGGAUAUUUGCCUCGAGGAAUAUUUUCUAGUUUUAUUAGACCUAAAUGCAUGGUAAUAUAACUUCGUUAUAUUUUUAAAGUAACUGAUUUCACGAAUUAAUUUCCUGGAGCGCGUUUAGUAAAAAUAGUGAAUAGUGCUUGGAGAUUUUAUCCGCUUGAGAGUACAAUAAGUUUGGAAUAUUGGAGACAUGUACAAUGGACCUAAAUUCGGUAUUUUAAUGUUUAAAUACUCAAGUGAUAGUUAUUAGUACUAUCGUUAUAAGAAUUUCUCGGAAGUUUCGCGUUAUCGCGCUUAAAUUGGAGAUACGCGUUUUCACACGCGCGAUUUAAAUUCAGGAACUUUAGACCCUUAUUUUGGGAUGAUUGAGAGUGAAUAAUAUUUAUAUGAAUAUAAGUGCAUUAGAGGUUUAGUGCACCAGUGAAACAAAUUCGAGAGGAAUCGAACACGAAACGCGCGGGAAAAAGAGUUAACCUUUGAAUCAAUGAGAGCCACACAUUUUAGUUUCACAUGGGUGCAUCACACCAGAUCAAAACCCUCCACUUUAUCACCUCAAAUAGCCGUGCAACUCUUCUUUUCCUUCUUCAUUCCAGCCGUGCAACUCCAAGGAAAAACAAGACCAAGUUCUUCAUUUUUCCUUCUUCAAAUCUUCAUCAAACCUCUUCCAAUUCACUCCAAAUUCGAACUACACUUAACUAAACAUUUAGAGAUCCCAUUGAGCUAAGAAAAGGAGCUGCUAUCCAUGGUUUUCUUGAGCAUCUAAGGGGCCGAAAUUUCUGCCUUCAUCCUCUAAUCAAGUAGGUGUUAAUCCAACACUUAAAUCUUGCUUUAUGAAGACCAUCUUACAUGUAUAAGGUAGUAUUUGCAUUUGGGUAGCUUGUUUAUGGUGUAAAAUGAAAUGGGUGGGCUCUAUGAACUCCCACCUUUGUCUUGAGGACUGAUCUCAUGCUUGAUGAUGGAUUUAAUGGUGGUUUAGUGCUUAAAUUAGUGGAUUAAUGUUGUAUUGUUGGUAGAAAAUCAUAGGAGGUGCUUGGAGCAAAAGUGACCGUUUUACCCCUGCCUUGUCCGACCAUUUCUGUGCACAAUUUUGAGGUUCUAAUGACUUGAUUAUAUUGUUUACAUGUUAUUGUGAGUGUGUACAAAAUUUCAUUGAAAAAUAACAUGAUUUGGUUGGUUAAAUGAGUUGAUUUCCAAAGUUAGCAAAACUGGAAAAUGAAUCCCGUAUUGCCCAGGCAGUCAUCUUGUAUCGGCUAUAACUCUUUACUCCGAUGUCAAAAUUGAGUUCCGUCGGUGGCAUUUGAAACUAGACAUUCCCAGCUUUCCAUUGGUACCAAAUGCACAUUCUAGUUCCACUUGAGUGAGCAACACCAUUCGAUUGAAAAUCACUGUCCUGUUUCGUUUCUCUCCAGGAGACAGGACAGGACUUGUAUCUUCAUGCUCAAAAACGAGCUGUUUGUGAAUGGAAUUUGAAAAUGGUUUCUUCUGAGAAAAUUCAGCUUUAUGAGAGAGCUUUCCAACGCCAUCAACCACGCCCAAUUCCAAGUUGAAUUGAGUGAGUUGUGGCCAAAGUUUGAAACAGCUACAGUGAUAGAAUUUUCCACUUGGACAGAUUUGUAACUAACAAUGACUUGGGACUUGUUAUUUCGAAAUUCUUGAUGUAAAUCACCUAUCAAAUGUAUUUUGAAUUCUUGCUAGACCUGAUUAUCAUAAACGAGACAUGUUUUAGGUAUCUUCCCUUGGUCAAAAGUUUAGAAAAGGAAAUUUUCAUACACGAGGCAGCUUUGCCUUAAAAAUUUGGAAACUUGAGUGAUUUCGUUAAGUGAUUUUCCGUGCAUAUUUUUCUAUGACAUUUGAUAGAGGAAUAGCCCUUAUAUGGUAGUAUAAUCAUACCAAAUUUGGUGCCAUUUCGAGUCUGUUUAGAUGUUCAAACAAAGUCCCAAAGUUCAUGUUUAAAUCUGGAAAUUCUUGAUCGAGGAGGAAUUUUUAGCCAACUUUGAGCUGCUAUAUCUUGGCGCUCAAAACUUCAAUUCUUGUACCGUUUAUUUUGUUUUAAACUUUGAUUGUAGCUCUAAUUGAGUUCUAAAUUUCGGAGGUUAGUUCGUAUUGUAUGAAUUUUGCCGGAUUUUCAAAGAUGGUCAAAAACCAACCCCGAAACUGUCUAAAUGGUCCAAAGCAGCAACUUUGAGUCAAUUUUUGAAUACUUUCUGUUUGGAAUCAUGGAAAAGUAUCUUCUAGGAACUUUUAUCGCUUUUGAAGAAGUUUCCAACGGUAUCAAGGUUUCCAAUUUUGGACCUACAUAGUGCAAGAUACGAUUUUUCUAAAAUUGACACCCAAAGCUGAAAUUUGUCAAUUUCUUAGAAAAUGAGAUUUUGGAAACUUGCCUUCUUUUCUCGAUACCGAUUGAACAUUUUGAACUCGAUUUCAUGGAAAAUAUUAGUCUCUCUCUUUAGACUUUAAAACUUUACUCUUGAGCCUCGAUUAUUAAUAAUUAAGGCCCAAUUAAUGAAUUCCCCUUAGAUUGUAUAACCUUCUUUGAUAAGUAGGGGUUCUAAGUGAUAGUGUAUAAUAGUUGAUGGUUAUUUGCCCAGGCGCUCAAGGGGACCUUCAAGAGGAACUCGAAGUGGACGUCUAGACAUUUGUUUGAGUAUUACUCUCUUGUUGCUAUAGGUGAGUGUUCCAUAUAGGAAUACGUAAUUGGAAUAAGUCUAUGACAUGCAUAACCCAUGAUUAUUAAGUGUUAAGUGCUCUAUGUUAAGUAUUUACCACACUCAUGCAUAUCUGAAUAAGGUAUACUUGAAUUACUCGACAUGAAAUACCUGAAAUAUGUAUAUUUGAACUAUUCGAUAUGAAAUGCUUAAAGAGCAUAUUUAUGUGAUUACUUGAAAUAUUAGAUAUGAAAUGCUUGGAGAGCAUAUCUACAUGAUGUGUUUAAAUGAUUAAUUAUGCUAUGACAGCAUAAGUCGGUUGGAGUGAAUCUCCUCGACUCUUAUGUGGAAAAAGUGAAAACGGCCAAUGGUGGCCUAUUAAAAUGACAUAUGUCUACCAAUUAACCGUAAUUACCACCGUUAACCGUUUACCGUUAACCAUGUUUACUUACCGUUUUCUAAUCUAUUCGGCUACUUGCUUACUUGAUUAUCUGCUUACGUAAUCACCAACUUACUUGAUCACUUGAUUAUCAUGAAUCGCAUGUUAUAUGAAGUUGUCCAUCAUUGUUAGGCGAGUGUGUACUUUACCUCACUCGACCUACUCAAAUUAUGAAUUUUACCUUUUGCCGAAUUACUUGAUUACUUGUGCAUGUUGUAAGCUCUAAGCUGAAUUGGGCCCUGCUCAUCGUUACUAACCUACUCGAGCCAGGACUGGGCUCGGUCGGGUAGGUUGGAACCUUGGGACACCGUUUCGGUAUACUCGAGUAUUACCACUGGAGGGAUAAGGUGAUGGCCAGUCAAACCGAGGGGAUCCGGAAGUCAUAAGGUGCAGAUGACCGACAGAGUUCCACUGGAACACCGUAUCCUACAGUAUAUGUUUACCUGGUAUCAUGAUGAUUGUUUCGUGCUAAAAUGCCAACAUGAAAUCCUGAGCUAUGCCUGUAAUAAGCUCCAAUCACUCGUGAACUAUACAUGCUAAUGUCUCAUACCAUGAUAAAUGUCUCAAAUUACCCGUACAAUGAUUAUCAUCUCAUGAUAACAUGCCAUUGUGUAACCUUGAACCAUGCAUAUGAUAUGCCCAACUUACUUGAUUUAUUUGAACUGUUAGAGUGUCUUGGAAUCUCACUGGGCUGUGUAGCUCAUACCACGUUGUGAAUUUCUUUUACAGGGUUCGAGACCAAGGGUGCUCGUGAGUAGUACUAGAUUGUUUUCUUUUGAAAACUUUAAGUUAUAUUAUAACGGAUGGCUAUUGUACCCUUUUCCGUUGGGUUGUAUUUAAGCUUGAAAGCUACAUAAUUGUAAGUGUGAGAUAUUUGAUGUACUUUAAUUAUGCAUUGAAGUUACUUAAAGUAUUUCGAGCUUUUGAAUGAUGGAUUGUAGUGAGUCCUGGCGAGAGCUGGGCAGGCGUUCCGCGGAUACCCUUUGGUUCGCCUUAGGGAGAAGUGGGGGCGUCACAGUUGGUAUCAGAGCUUAGGCUUCAGAUCUUUGUAGUGUAUCCUAGGCUUAAAUGUUUAGGAUGCCGGACUGUGGGACUGGUCUGAAAGUUAAAUGAUUGCUUGUAGCGAUGAAAUUUAGAGCCAAUUCACGUGGUCUCUACAAAGGAGCAAGAUAGGACCAAGUGGUGUUAUGGUCCUUACUAUGUGAUUGAGUAAAGGUUUAAGUGCCCUUCUAAAAAUGUAAGCUGUGAAUCAUGAAUGUUAUAGGUUGUAAAACCUUUAUCUUGAUGAUUGGAGGGAAUUUGAUAUGUAUGUUGGGUAGGAAUCUCGAAUGUGGUGAUUUACUCUUGGGACCGGCCGGCUCGAGUUGUGAAUUACCUUAUUUCGGAUUCUUGUACCCGAGUACUUGAGAGUUGAGGGCAACCAUAAGGACUUUAUAUCUCCAUUUUUGGGGAAUAAGAAUGAAUCGAUAUUUCAUGUGAAUGGUUACAGGAAACCACUAAUUGUUUGGUUAAGAUGGUACAAUAAUUAAGAGUGGAAGAUGGAAAAUAUUGUAACCCAAAAGAUCCUUGUGUUGGGAUUGAAAUCGAGCAUGUUAGGGAACGAGAAUCAUCUAGUUUCAAUUAAUCUAGUGGAUCCCUACUUGUGAUCUUUCAUAGUGAGACGAUGGGAGUGGAACCUAAGAGUUUGCGCCUUGGAGAUAAAUGUACUUGUGAUAAUCACUUGUUUAUUUUUGUUAUUGACUUUGACUUGGCAUGAACUUUACUUGACCAUAAUUUGUGUUAUGAUUUAAUGAACUCUAGUUUGUGUUUACUUGCAUAGUGAUAAUGUUAUUUGUGUAAGUGACUUCAUCCUCUUUAAAUGUUGCUACCGGUAUAUGAGUAUAGUUCAAUUUUAGCUAAGUGUUAGGUUUAUACAUAUGUGUAUAGACUAGCUGUGAACAUGGAAACUAGAGAACAACAAAAGGGACAUCAACCUAGACAACCCCGAAAUGAAAGAGUAGCUAAUGGGUCCGAUAUUGAUCAAAACGUUGAGCUAAGUGCUGGGAGAGGAAAUGACCAGAUGGGACAAGUUUUAACUCGCAUGACGGAUAUCCUAGAGCUCUUAGUAGCUCAACAAGGUCAAGGUGUUGGACAAGGAAACCAACGUGAAAACCAAGAAAUGGGGGAGGAUCGAGCUUUAGAGCGGUUUCAGAAAUUUUCCCCGCCCAAGUUUGCUGGAGGACCUGAUCCAGAGGUGGUUGAGAAUUGGUUAGAGAAUAUAAGAAAUAUAUUCGAUGCCUUGGAUUACACAGAAGAAAGACAAGUCACCUUUGCUGUAUUUCAACUUGAAGGAGCAGCCCGAGCAUGGUGGAAUGUUAUAAGAAAUAAGUGGAAAAAAGAUCAAACUCCAAAGACUUGGAUAAACUUUGUAAGAGAGUUUAAUGAGAAAUUUCUUCCUCCACUUGUCCAAGAAAAGAGAGAAGAUGAUUUUAUAAAUCUUCGUCAAGGAACUUCGAGUGUGGCUGAGUACGAAACUCGAUUCACAAAGUAAUCUACAUAUGCCCCAGAAUUGGUGGCUACUGAACGGAAGAAAAUAAGACGGUUUAUCCAAGGAUUAGAUUUGGAAAUCCAAGAUGCCCUUGCCGCAGCACAGGUUGAAACAUUUAGUGACGCUCUCGAAAAAGCGCAAAGGGUAGAAAGCACAAAAUCUAACCCUUUUCUAAUGGGUAUUUGAUGAUUGGGUAUUCGUUGACAUGCAGAGCGGAAAAGGGUCACAAAAUAACUGACUCACAACAUGUAGAUCAGGUCAAUCAAAAGCCUCAUGACACGGACACCUAAUUGGUGCCUACCCGUAGCAAAGCUAGAAAGAAGUAUUGCCAUGUCUGAAUUUCAAAAAAUGUAGAACUAUUGAAGCAUUUAAACUAGUUCAUAUCUAAUUUUCUACGUGAACAAGUCACUGCUGAAGGUCUACGAACUUUAAAAGGUAUAGUACUAUUUAAACGUCGAUUAUUAAAGGUCUAGAAGUUUGUAAAAGGGUAAUUUCAUUAACCUCUCUUAAGGUUUUCAACAAUUUCAUUGACCUUCCCUAAAAUUUACAAAAUUAUAUUAACCUCCCUUGAGGUUAAACUUUUGGUAACAAAAUCAAUCUAAGUCAGAAAAAAUAUUAUUAAAAUAAUACUUUGAGAAGAGAUGAAACUUUUAUUCCAUAAAUGCCUCUUAUGCAUGCGUACAAUUUGUAUUAGUAAAAAAAAAAGGAAUGAAAACAAUUAAAAGUUGAAAGCAAUUAACACCGCAUUCCACUGCUCAAAAAGUUUACAUUCAACAAAUUAGACAAUACAAAUAAACAACAAAACUACACUAAUGAUCAUAAGAUUCAAUAAAAUAGACCAGUCAUAUCUCUUAACAUGAGGUUUGCUAUUAUUCUUAUGAUUUUGAGUAGAAAAAAUUUCAAAUUUUGCCUUUUUUCUUCCUCCUUUUUCAUUCACCUCCAUGAAGUUGCUUUGCAACUAUCAUAGUUUAAGAGUUUCAGAAAAAAUUUUCUCAUAAACGGCCUUCUUUUUCUCUUUCUUUGCCCUGUGUUUUCUUUCUUCUACCAAACCCCUUCUUUUUACAUUAUGUAUAACUUAUUUCUAGCCAUUGUCAAGUUUUAUCAAUCACAAAAUGGCGCAUUUGAUAUAUCAAUUAGCACCAUUUUGUAAUUGCAACUUAUUGUUCAUCAUUAAAAAAAUCUCCAACAGUUAUUUUUGUUAAUUAGUUACUAAUAGUUAAUUAGUGCCAUAAUUACUCAAUUGUUAGAUAUUAGUUUCUAAUAAAAUAUAAUGUCUUAGGGUAUAUGAGUAAUUUCUUCCUAUGUGAUGUAAGCAAUUGGGUCCAUAAUUCUACCAUGGGAGGUCAUUGUUAUUUUGCAAAUCUCAGGGAAGACCAGUGAAUUUUUUAAAAGUCUUAAGAGAGGCUUUUUAAAUUACUCCUAAGAAUAAAGGAAUGGAAUUGACUAUAAAGGCCAAAAUUGACGAGAACAAACUACUUUCUCAUAAAUUUUUUUUUUCAGAUUUUGUUGCUGAUGUGAGUGUUAGGUAAAUAAUAUAAUGCCAAGAAUAUGUCUAAUCCGUAAUAAUGAUGAUCAGAGUUGAAAUUAUCCAAACUUGUCCUUAAAAAAAUAAAAAAAGAAUUGACUACAAAUAAUUUUAAAUAAUUGACAAAUAUUUUGCAUUUUACAGUCUCAAUUUCUUUUUUUGUCACAAUGGAUACAUUUAUUUUUUAUUGUACUCUCUCCGUCCCAAUAUUACAAUCACUUUUUGGAAAUCCAACUUUUUAUAGAGACAUAAUAAUCAUUAUGUUUAGAUGAAAUGGUAUUUAAUGAAUUUACAUAUGUAUCCUUUUGAUUCAAAAUACUUCCUUGUUAAAUGUGCACUAAAAUUUUAAAGAGUUGUCUUUCAAAUGGCAAAAUUAGAAAGCAAGUAUCAAAUUUAAAAAUAAUGACUCUUAUUUGGGACAUCAAUAAAAUGAAAGCAUGACAUUAAUAAUGAGACGGAAGAAGUAUUUAUUUGUCUCAAAUCCUCUAUUGACUAGUAGUUCUCAUUACUUUGACAACUUGCGUUGAUUAAGAUAAAAUGAAAUUUAGAACUUUUGUCUGAGUAUCAAAUAUUAAUUACCUUUUAAAAUUCAUGCAUUUUAUAAAAGAGAUAAUUUUAGAAAUCUCCCCUGAGGUUUUUGACUAUUUCACUUAGCACUUUUGAAAUUUUAAAUAUUAUAUUUAUCUUCCUUGAUUUGACACUUUUGGUAAUCAAAACUUAGAAUAGGUUCAAAUUUUUAAUGAAUACCCUAAAAUGUCUUAUCUUGGAAAGUUUAAUUUAUUCUUCUAAAUAAUUGUAAAGUAAUUUGAUACAAUUACAAAGAAUGAGUGUCAAGUUUUUCAUGCUAAUAUUUAUUGUUUGGUAAUCAAUUAUGACAAUAAAUUUAUCACUAUAAUAAACUACUUUUUAUACUACUUUAUUGGGGAAAUAGAUUCUUUUUGAGAUAGAGAAUAAAAUGGCAUCUUAACUUUUUUAAAGUUUGUGGACUAUUUGAGUGGUGAAACUACCAUUGUUUGUUAGUGAUUUUGUUUCUAGGUUAUUAUUAAUUUAUUCUUGAUUUUGAUACAAAAAUAAAGAGCUACAAAAGGUUAGAUGAUAUUAAAAGCUAUCAAACAAAUGUUAUUAGUUUGACGUUUGAUCAGGAUAGAGUUAGGGACAACAUUGAUAGUUUUUUUAGUUUUUUCGAUAAACUAUAAGAGAAAUGAAUAAGAAGGAGAAAGGGAAAAAAUUAUAAAAUGCAUCCUUUGUAUAAGCAUAGCAAAUAAGGGAGUUUCAAUAGAAUGUUAAGUCUAGUAUUGUCAUUUUCAAUCAAUAAAGGAGGUAGGUAUAAUUUUAAAAGUUUGAGGAUACUAAGUGAAAUUAUUAAAAAACUUCAAAGGAGGUUUCUGAAAUUAUCUCCAUCUUAAAUCUCCAUCUUGGUUCUACUAUCCGCGGGCAACUACACCUACUCUCAAUCCGUCGGUAGACAUUCACGCGGCUGAGUACUGAAACACUUCUAAAAUACUUAAUAAAACAUUUUCAAUAAAAAAGAAAAAAAAACUCAAAAAAGAAUGGCCCAUCAAUGGCAACGGCAUCGCCGCAGUGUCUGGCUAUAUAUGUGUAUACGUGUGUAUUCUUUCUCCACAAUUCAUCACAGUUCAUAGGUAUAAUUGCAGAAACCUCCCUGAGGUUUCUAAUAAUUUUACUAGCCUCUCUUAAAGUUUUACAAAAUUACACAAACCUCGCCUAAGGUUAAAGUUUUUAUAAUAAAAUGAGUCCAAUUAUAACAAUUAACAUUAAAAAGUACUUUAAGGAGAGACAUGAAACUUUUAUUCCAUCAAUACCCCUUAUGCAUGUCAAAAGAGAUAAUUAUUCUGUUUUGUUAAAUCUUGUGAUUAUUAUUGUAGUUUUGUUACUUAUUUGUAUUGUUUAAUUUAUUAAAUAUGAACUUUUUGAGUGAUGAAAUGUGUGCAUUAAUUGUUUCUAAUUUUUAAUUAUUUUUAUUCUUUUACUAAUAUAAUAUAUAUAUAUACACACAUAAGGGAUAUUUAUGGACUAAAAAUUUUAUCUCUCUUCUUAAAGUAUUUUUUAAUGUUAUUUUUUCUAAUUGGACUAAUUUUUUUUAUCAAACCUUAAUUUUGGCGGAGGUUUGUGUAAUUUUAUAAACUUUAUAGGAGGCUAUUAAAAUUGUCAGAAAUUCCAGGGAAGUUUUCUAAAAUCAUCCCCAAUUCAUAAUAGGAGUUAACAUUGACAUUCAAGUUUGUGGUUGUAGUGGCAAAGGUAGAUGGCAGGUGUGGAUGGUACAGUUUUGUAAAUAUUUCGAAAAACCCUGGUCUACCAAACAAUUGUACAUAACCGAAUAAGCCAUCAACUCUGAAGGUCUCUCAAAUCUGUUAAGGAAAACAGCACGACAGGGCAAAUUAAGUGGAUUAAGAAUAAGAAAACAAGGACCAGCUAUUACUCACUUAUUUUUUGCUGAUGACACUCUAAUUUUCUGUAAAGCUGCGGGGGAAGAAGCAAGGACUUUGAAAGCAAUUUUGAAUCAGUAUAAGAAAGGAUCUAGUCAAGUUAUUAACUUGGAAAAAUCAUCUAUCUGUUUUAGCAAGAACACUAAGGCUAAAGACAAGAAGGAAACCUGUGAGCCUUUAGAGGGGGUUAGGACAGUGAGCCAAGGUAAAUAUUUGGGCCUUCCUAUGGUGAUCACAAGGACAAAAGGUCAGAUAUUUGGCUACAUUAAAGACAGCAUAAAGGCCAGGCUCAGCAGCUGGAAGAACAAGCUCCUAAGUGCAGUAGGGAAAGAGGUGAUGCUAAAAGCAGUGACAAUGGCCAUGCCAAUUUAUGCAAUGUCUUGUUUUACCAGUUACACUUUGCAAGGAAAUCACAGGACUGAUGGCCAAAUACUGGUGGGGUGAAGCAGAAGGGAGAAACAAAAUACAUUGGUGCUCAUGGGAUAAGAUGCUGAAGGCAAAAAUGGAUGGAGGUUUGGGGUUCAGGAAUUUAAUAUGCUUCAACAAGGCGCUACUGGGAAAGCAGAUUUGGAGGAUGCUCAGAUUUCCAAACCUGCUGGUUAGCAAAAUUCUAAAAGCCAAGUAUUUUCCUAAGGAUUCCAUUUUGAACUGUAAAAUCCCCAAAAACUCUUCCUGGUUCUGGCAAAGUAUAAUGUCAGCUAGAGAGGUAGUUAAGGGGGUUGUACUAAAGAGAGUCGGAUCAGGGAAGAGUAUUAGAAUUUGGAAAGACCAAUGGAUCCCAAACAAUCUGAAUGGAAGACCAACUACAAUGGGGCCAGACAAGGGGGAGGAGCAGAAAGUGGAGGAACUAAUUUCACACUUCAGAUGGAAUAGGAAUGAAGUCUACAGGAGGUUCAAUAGGGAGGAUGCGGAUAAUAUUUUGAAAAUUCCAAUCAGUUUGUCAAAUUCAGGGGACAAGCACUUUUGGAUACACAGCAGACAUGGGGAAUAUUCAGUUAAAUCUUGCUACCAGACUUUACUCAAGGAAGAGAAGAGGAUAGAAAGUGAUGCGAGAGGAGAGUCUGGUUCAAGCUAUGAUGAUUCCAACACAAAUUUGGAAGACUCUUUGGGAGCUGAACAUUAAGCAUAAGAUCAAGCUAUUCAUAUGGAGAUGCAUUACGAAUACAUUGACAGCUAGGGAAUCAAUAUUCAGGCGAACUAAGCAAGGAUCGCCAUUUUGCUCAAGAUGUGGGGAUGGCAUAGAAACAGUAGAACAUAUUCUCUUCCACUAUCAACAGGCUCAGAAGGUGUGGAAGCUUGCACCAGUACAAUGGGAUGGUUUACAGAAUCAAACAGGGUGCUUCAAGCAAUGGUGGACAGAAUUAGUCCAAGCCAGAAGUAGGAAUGGAGGAAGGCAGCAUAUUGCAUUGACAGCUAAUAUACUUUGGCAACUAUGGAAGGACAGAAAUGAAAUGGAAUUUGAAGGGAAAGAGAGAGAUGGAUGGAAAACUGUACAUAAAGCUAGUACAGAAUGGAUGGAGUAUGAGGAAGCCGGGAUGGGGAAAAAAGAGAGGAGUACAUCAGAAACAGAGGAAGCAAGAGAAAGAUCAAGGGAGGAAGGAAGAGAGGAGGAAGACCUGAUGGAACUUCAAAUUGCUACCAAGAAAUCAGCUGAGGGCAAGAAACUGGGAAUUGGUGUUGUAGCCAGGCAGACUGGAGGGAGAAUCAGAGCUGAAUGGAAAUUAGUUGAAAGAAGUUCGGAAAGGGAUAUUCAAGAUGAAGCAGUAAGACUGGCAAUGUUGAAAACAAGACAAUUGAGCUGGCAGAGAAUCAAAAUCAUCAAUGCUAACAAACAGCUUAUCGCUUUGCUUAAAUCUGGGAAAGGUGACAAUCCAAAUACUGCUACAUUGGUUGAAGACAUACAAGUUUUAGCUAAUCUGUUUCAAAUGUGCUCUUUUGAAGAAAGAACUAGUAGUAAUAUGACUCUAUGUAAUCAAAUUAGUCAUUAUGCUUUAAGCAUAUUUAGGGAUGAGGAGAGAUUUUUUGGCUCUUCUUAAGUGUCUUGGUACACUUAGUACAGUUGCUUGGGCCUUUGCUCAGAUAUUGUAAAGUUAGCUUUUUAUGAAAUGACAUCUAUCGUUCCCGUAAAAAAAAAAAAAAAAAGAAUAAGCCAUCAACUCUGCUCUUUUAUAUACCAGUAGCUUUUGGUCCCCGCGCUGGCAUGUAAGUUGUAUUCAAUAAUAUGAUUGAAUUUUGAAUUUUACGUGUAAUAAUUUUUAUGAGUCGGAGCUGUUUAGUUAAAUUUAUCAUUUUUUGUUACAUUAUUGCAUGAUUAAAAGUGUUAAUUGACUUGUUUAAUGAUACAGUGAUAGUUUGUAUUGUCCGCAUAUUAAAUCACGGUUCAAAAUUAGAAAUUUUCAUAUUAUCAUUUGGAAGUGUUUUAGUCAAAUUCGGGUUUUAAUAAUUCUAUUGAAGUUAAAUUAUGAUAGUUUUGUUGUUUAGAAAUUAAUAUCUUAUUAGAAAAUUUCUUAUGGUUGUAAGACUUGUUUAUCAAGUCAUCUAUAAAGAAUCAUAUUAUUGUGUUUAGUUGAAAAUAGUGAAAGAUUAAGAGUCUUGUUUUUAUGAUAUAAUUAAUAGAUUAUUGUUAGUAUUAUUUCUCUUCUCUUAUACAUAUUUUUAUGUGUGUAAAUUGCCUUCCCAUAUGCAUUGAUUUUAUGAAAUAUAUAUCUUAUAUAUUUUUUGGUGAAUUUUUUGGGUUCUACAUGUAUAUUGAUUGUGAAUAAUUUGUGGGUAAAAUGUGGGCGAAUUUCUAAGAAUAUUGAUAAAAUAAAAAAACUAUCAUAAAAUUGUGGGUUUUGAGGGUUUGUUCUGAUUUUAGGGUCGCCGCAUUUAAGGUAUGAGGCUACCAAUAAAAUUACAAUUAAUUUAUAUUUAUUUUUGGUUGCUUUAGUUUUCUAUAAUUUCUCCUCCAUUUUUUUUUCUCCCAAGCUUUCACCGCUCAUGCUCUGCUGACACCGACAUGGACAUGACAGGACGGACAUGACAGCUACAGCUAAUAUGUACAAAUUUCAUCAGUCUUCUUUCUAAUUUCUUGGCAGCAUUCAGUUUUUUUUUUUAAUUUUUAUUUUUUUCCGACGCCGCAAACUCUUGUUUCCGUCGGAAAAUAUUAUCGUUUUCCGCGAUCACAUUUCCCUAUUACCUUUUUCCCUCACAUAUAUUAAAUCGCUACAGUAAUUUUUGCAUGAAAAAUGACGGAAAAUGCAAUCCAAACACAACCUUGAUUUGCGGCAUCAAGUUUUUAAAAUUUUUUUUUCUUGACGCUGCAAAUCAAAUUUGUGGCGUCAUUGUUUUUUCUUGGCCAGUCACGUACCAUUGAUCAGAAUGUGAUUGACGGACGCAGAUUGCGGCCAAAAUGCUUUUUUAAAGUGAAAAAGCAAUUUUUGGUUGCUGCCAAAAUUAAUUUUUUUUAAACUGAAAAAGCAAUUUUUUUUAAGUAAAAUCGCAAACCCCGAUUGCGGCGAUAGUUUGCCACCGUCCAUCCCACUUAACCUACGGUAACUAACGGUUGUCAUUGCCACUCUUAUUAUUUUUUUAUAAAAAACGCUAACGGCCAUGCACUAAUUUUUUUUUUAAAACUAACGUCGCAAUUUGAAUUUUCGGCAUUAGUUUUUCCACCAUCGAUCCUUACAAAGUUUUUAGAUCUACAAAUCAAAGGUCAUGAUUUAAUCAAAAAAUAAUAAUUUGUACUCAAAGUAGCACUAAUCCAAUUAUUUGUUAUAUUGCCAACAAUAACGACUCAUGCCUCAUCUUCACGGAUAACCUCAACUUUUCUCUCUUCUCUAUAUACUCACUUGAGAAAACUCAACUCGCUCAUAACUUUUCUCUUUCUGGUGUGAUCCCCAUCUUCUUCAUAUUUCUCUUAGCUUUUCGACAGUAGCUGGUGGAUUAAGACGACUUGAAUCGAGAAAAGCAACAUUACGAUUUGAGUGGUGGAUCAGAAAGAAAUUUUUUAAAGAAACGAUAUUGUCGGUGAUAAGGUUAGUUUAUUUAAAAAUUUUAUUAAUAAUAAUUUUAUAAUAUUUACAGUUAUUUUAAGUUCUAGAUAUUAUGCUACUUUAUAUUUAUUUAAUUUAAUAGUCAGAUAUUUAUUUAUGGUUUGUUUUUAAGAUUAAAUGUGUAAUUUAUAUUUUAAAAUAUUAUUUGAUUUGUUUGAUUUUUAGAUUAUGUGACAGAUGUAUUUGUUUCUUGAUAAUUUACAUUUUUGAAGAUUAUUUGUUGACGGAUUUUAGAAUUAAUUUUAUAGAGGCAGUAGUCUUUCAAGCGAAUGAUGAAUAAAAGGUGAAUAAUGAAUACUCAUAAAUGGUGAAUGAUGCAAGAUAUGCUGUCAGUAGAUGAUAAUGGUGAAUGAUGCCAGUAAGUUGUAAUUCAUUAGAAGAUAAAAGGUGAAUGAUGAAUAAUAAUAAAUGGUGAAUGGUAAAUAGUAAAAAGUAAGUGGUAAAUGGUAAAUGAUAAAUGAUAAAUAGUGGUGAAUGGUAAAUAGUAAAUAGUAAAUAUUAUUUAAUUUAUAUAUUAAUUAUUACAUUCUAUAAAUAUUGUUCAAUGUUGCAUUAUUUAUUAUUAUUUAAAUUAACAUUAAUAUUAAAAAAUUUUAAAUUAUGACUUUGGCUAAUUUUAUUAGUAAUUUAAUAGCAUGCUUGAUUAUUAUCUAAAUUUAUAAAAUUAACAUUAUUCUAAUAUCAUAUAUUAAAUUUUUGACAAUUCUGGUUUAUAAUAGAAUUUUAGUAAUAUGAUUUAAGAAUUUUAAUUUUAAAAUUAGGUUAAAGGGUUACAUUGUGAUGGUUGGGAAAUUAGGGUUUCAUGUAAAACGUUAAACCCUAAAUCCUAAUUAAGCCUAAUUAAGGUUACAUUUUACGAAAAAAAAACUUCAUCGCGAUUACCUUUUAAUAAAUGUUACAUUUAUUAAAAAGGAAAAAAAGAAUAUAUCACUGCUUAUUCUCAAUGCAGAAGGGUGCUCUUUCUACGUUCAAAUUAUUAAAAAAUAAAUAAAAUACCCAAAUCCCAAAAAAAAAAAAAAAAUAAAGGAAGCGAAGGAAUUGAAUUCCAAAGGAAAACAUCAUCUUGGAUUCUUCUUUGCUAUCUGAUGAUAUGAGCACAAUACUUUAUCUACUCGCGAUCAAAUGUUCCAAUUCCUUGCGCUCAUGAAGCCUUCACAAAAAUUUUUAAAAAAAUACAAAACUAAAGAACUCAAAAUAAAUGAAAAUUAAAAAUAUUUUUAUUAGAAGUCUCACAUCUCAGAUGCGGCGAUCCCUUAUUCCGAAAAUCACCUCAAACAACACCAAUUUUUUGACAAUUUUCACUUUUGACGAUAUUCCAAGAAAUUUGCCGUAAAAUGUGGGUUUGAUUUGUGAGAAAAAUAAUAAUUUUAUUGUAGAUAGAGGUAGAUGUCUAAUUAAACAUGUGCACAAUUAUAAAUUUGUGCUGAUGAUAGUAUUAUAAUAUUAUUAUAGAUAAAUAUGAUUUCUGAUUUCUGAUUCUAAUAAGGGCAUCCACAACGCAGGUGUAAUAGCUCCCUAUUACACCACUCCAUGACACGAUCUCCCAUUGGAGCUGUGUCAUGGAGAUUACACGCAUCAUGAAUAUGAUGCGUGUAAUCCAUGAUGCUGUGGGACCUAUAAUUAUUUUUAAAUGAUUUAAAAUUAGUAUUCAUUUUGUUAUUAUUUGUAUUUUAUUUGAUUUAAAUUAUGUAAUAUUAUGUUAUGGAGUUCAACUAAUUACAUUUGUAUUUUAUUAAUUAAGUAUGGAUUAUUAUGAUAUAUUCGCAUUUGAGGUAUCAAAUAUUUGUUUAAUUUUUUGCAUAAUUAUUUUUGAAAAAAUAACAAUAUAUUAUUUUUGAGAGAUAGAAAAAGAUAUAUUAUUCAAACUUAAAAAUUAAUAAUAUCAUUUUUAGAAAAUAAAAAAUUUAAUGAAAGUUAGUACUUUAUUUUUAAAAAUAACAAAAUUAUUUUUAAAAAUUAUUUUAUUUAUUUAUGGGAUAUGAGUUAUGCAUUAUUAAAAUAAAUAUUUGAUUUAAUUGUGGACCCAUGCUAUUACACCUUGUGGAGUGUAAUCUAUUUUGAGUGAAAGUGUAACAAAAGAGGAGAAAGUGUAAUGCUGACGUAGCAUGUAGAUUAAAAAAGUGUAAUAGCAUUAUGGAUGCACUAACAGAAGAGAUAAAAAAGGAGGGAAAAAACUAUAGCCAACAACCUAUUGUAGGCCAUGCUUGUAGCAAAACUCGUGGCUGUAGCCAAAUACCUCAUGAAGUCAUCAGAAUUACCAUUGAAACUGGCCCGUGGCUGCACUGUAGCAAAACCCCCUUCUCCCUUUUAUACAUUGUAGAUGUCAUGGUUUCAAAAUCGACAAUUCUAGAGAACCGAACAAGCCACCGUUCCCACCAACUCCACUAUUUUAUUUUAUUUUUCAUAGUUUCAAAACUCAAAGCUUCGUAUUAACCAAUGGCUCUGCUUCUGGUCCUCCUCCCAGUUGCCUUCAUCUUCCUAGCCUACAGCCUCUAUGAACGCCUUAGAUUCAAACUGCCACCCGGGCCACGGCCAAAACCGGUGGUCGGAAACAUUUACGACAUAAAACCGGUGAGGUUCAAGUGCUAUGCAGAGUGGUCAAAACUCUAUGGUCCAAUAUUUUCUGUCUACUUUGGUUCCCAGCUGAAUACUGUUGUGAAUACUGCAGAACUGGCCAAAGAAGUUCUUAAAGACAAUGAUCAACAAUUGGCAGAUAGGUACAGGAAUAGACCCUCUGCCAAAAUGAGCAGAAAUGGCCAAGAUUUGAUAUGGGCUGAUUAUGGUCCUCAUUAUGUGAAGGUCAGAAAACUGUGCAAUCUUGAACUCUUCACUCCAAAAAGACUGGAAGGCCUUAGACCUUUAAGAGAAGAUGAAGUUACAGCCAUGGUUGAUUCCAUCUUCAAGGACUGCACCAAACCUGGUAUUGUUUUCUUAAUUUUCCACAAAAAAAAAAAACAUUUUUGUUUUCAGUACUCCAAAUUCUUGGAUUGUUUUUCAUUGGUUUCUUCAUCUGUUUGGUUUAGAUCUUGAACACGACUAUCUCAUUCAUUUAGUGUUUGCUUGCUUACCAUUCAUAUGGUAGGUGAUUUGGACCAUUCAGUCAUAGAUUGUCUUCACAAUACCAAAAUGCAACCGACAAUAAGAAAAGCUCCUAUACAUUUUUGCAAUAUAUGAUUCUAAUUUAAGCUAACUAAAUUAUUUGCUUAGUUUUCAUAACACUCUAAGAUUGUAAUUUAUUGGUAAAGAAAAUUGUAAACGGGUAUGAAUACUGAAAACAAAACCAAUGACAAAAUACAUCAAUGUGGAGGAAAAUAGCCCUCUUAGAUUCACAAAGUUGAAUACUUUGAGCUGACUACAAUUAAUUUUGAAGAAAUAUUGGGGAACAAUUUUCAAUUGGUACAUAUCUCAAAAGUGCAUAUUUCAACCAUCAAUAAUAAAUACUCCUAUUCUUUUUUUUUUCCUUUUUUGUUUGCCUGCCACAUUUAGUGGUGGGAGGCAGGGUUUGUACUUGAUCUCCCACCGCCACUGUGCUAGCUCAGUGGAGCUCAGCGGUUAAAUACUCCUGUUCGUAAGUACAUAUUUCAACAAAUAUCAAUAAUAAAUUCUCCUGUUUAGCCACCCCACUGGUCAGUCCAUCCAUGUUCUCUUUAUGGCAAAUUUGUGCUAAUUUUGUCGGUUCGCCAUCAAAGGUGAGGGAAUUAAGGUACUUACAGCCCUCCAGUCUCCUCACAUUUAUGAUGCCCGUGAUUUUUUUUUUUUUUUUUGUCGAAACGAUAGAUGUCCUAUAAACUAAUCUAGCCUAGUCUAAGGGGAAGGGGAGGGGGUUCGAUGUGAGUACAAAUUCCAUCGAUGAAGGUCAAUUAACACCGCCACAAAUUGUGACAAAUUUGUGGGAGGCAGGAAUUGAACCCCUAACCUCCAGCAUUACCUUUAAUGGUGAUGACCACUGGACCAAAUGGCCAGUGACAUGAUGCCCGUGAUUAAUUUCUUUUUCUUUUUUUAAAAAAAAGCAAAAGUAAUUUAUUAUACUAACCCUUUGAAUUGGAAGAAUAGGUUACAAUUCACCCCUAAAUGUUUGGGAUUGGUGCACAAGCCCCUUAGAUUAGAAAUAAAAGAAUGAUAUACCUUUUGGAAAAAUUAUCCCAGUCUUUUUAGACUCUUUUUUCUUGUAGUUUUUAACUAGUAAUUUUCUUCUUUUACAGUGCCUUUUCUUUUGCUACACUAGCUGUUUUUAAGGUGUUUGAAUUAGCUAUUUUUGAGUCUGUUUGGAUUAGCUAUUUUAGAGUAAUGCUUUAAAAUCUUUUAUCUUAUUGGAUUUUGAUGUUUCACCACUUGAUGUACAUCUUAUGCAAAAUAAAAAAUUUAAUCAACUUAAGUUUGUUGGACAAAAAAUUAAUGAAAAAAAUUAGAAAAAGAAAAGAGCCUUACAUUUAAAUUCAACAAACACUACAUGCUUUUAUUAUUAAAAAAAAAAUACCUGAAAAACAACAUUCUAGAAUUAUGUAACUGUUCUAAUGCUGAACAUUACAAAAGUCAUGCUCAUGUAAAUGGAAUAAUCACUUCUGCUAUACUGGAAUAAUCAUUUAAAUUCUUUUAUUUUAUUGAAUUUUAAUUGUUCACUACUUGAUGUAAAUUUUCUAAACAGUAAAAAUAAUACACAUGAGACACAUUUUUCUACAAUUGUAUGGCUGUUCUACUCCCGAACAUUACCAAAAGUCAUGGCCAUCGAAACGGAAUAAUCGUGACACACCUUUAAGUGUCCAAGAAAAAGCAGGUGAGGUAACUUUCUUCGACAAGUUGAUUGAAGGAGGAGAAACAAACGACAAUUGGGGUGGCAGAAACUGGACAGUCUACUUAUUUCUUUGGAUGAGAAAAAGUUGAUGGACCAAUUUGGGCAGGUAUUGUGUGGGAAAAGAACCAAAGUCGUAGUCACUGGGAAAUUCAAGUUGGAAAUCAAGUUUAAAGUGAGAAAAACGUUUUACAUUUUGUUUCGGGAAAUCAGUGCUGCAAAUCUUCUAAGGAUGCCUUAGAUCAAAUUGAAAUACGAUAUUUGAAAUCUUAAUUUGUUAAAUUACUGAAUUAGAUACUGAAAUCCUAAUAUUUGAAUAUAUUUUACAUUAAGUGAUAAGUGGAUAGUUUUUCGUUUAUUUUUGGAAAUAAGUUUUGCUUUAGGCAAUUUGGAGCCAUUUAAUUAAUUUAGAUAUUUUAUAUCUUUUUAUCAAACAUAUUUGUACAUACUAAGGUCUGAACUUAUUAAAUUUAAAUAUUAAAUUGAAUUAUCAAACAGGGCAAUCUAAAGUCUAGAGUUAAGUAUAGUUGCUAGUUUGAAAUCGUUUUAAAUAGCUCUAAGUAUCCUUAACUUUGAUUGAACUUUUAGAACAUAUAUGGAAAAUUAUUUGAGUAUAUGGAGACAGUUUUUUUAAAUGAUUUGAUAACUGGAAUUAUACCUGACAAUUGGGCGGGUUGGGCGGUUUUUGGGCGGAUUGAUAUUGGGUUUUCAUUUAAAUGGGUGACACCCAAUCCGCCCAACUUUAGAUUGGGUUAAUUUUGGGUUGGGUCAUCUCAAACUCAUGACCCAAAUAUGACCCAAUAUAUUAAUUAAUAGAUUUUGAUACAUAAACUCUCUCAAAUACAUUUUCACAUACAAAAAAAAAUUUUCACACACAUAAACACAUUUUCACAUAGAUAGAUAUAUUUUUACACACUAAAAUACUCAUAGACACCAACACUCACUUCUUAAACUCUUUUGAAAUACGUUAUUUUUACAUAUACAAAUUACAAUACACACCAAUAUACUUUCACAAAUACACACACAUACUAACUAUUUAAACUACUUGGGUGAACUCAUUAUUUUUUAUACAAGUAAGGAUUUUCAAAUUGGGUAUAGUUUUGAUCCAAACUAAGAGAUCGAAGCAACAAUUUUGGGUGGAACAAAACUAAGAGAUCUCGAUGAAGUGAUCAAUAAAUAGGGGGGAGGGGGGCUUGUCUUUUCAUUUUGAAUGAAAAAAAGAAAAGAAAUAGAAGAACAGUAGGAUGCAUUUUUCCGGAACUUGGCAAAAGGAUGGAUGUGAAGAGCGAAGAGUACAAGGAUUUUCUUUUUUCUUUUCUUUUUUUUUUUUUAAAAAAUCCUACUGACAUUUGUGCUGCACCGUUCAUUUCUCAAAUUUUGUUCUUUUUAAGCAUUACUCGUUGAUCAUCCUUCUCAAUGUGUAGAAGUAGUAUAUAUAUGAUAAUUAUACAUACCAGUACAUAUAUGGGUUUUGCUUGAUCCAACAAGGCUGGUCAUUUUUUUUUGUUUCUUGAUUUUAAUUUGUUAAUUUAUUUUUUUAACUUAAUUUGGGUAAUGGAUGCCCAACACAAAUACCCAAACCACCCAAAAUAUAUAUGGGUUUUUAUUACCCAACUCAAAAUUAACCCAAAAUCCAACUUACCCAAUCCAACCUCUCAAAUUAGUGGGUGGGUUGGGUGAGUUGUUGGGUUUUGGGUAUAAUUACCAGCUCUAACGGGAAUAUGUCAAUUUAUUUGGAACUGCAUUAAUCUUUUACACCAAACAUCUUUUAUACUGCCCGAAGGUUUUUAUUAACGUAAACUUUUCUUUUCCUUUCAAAAUUCCAAGUGGGCAAAUACUGAAAGUCUGACCACGCCAAUAGUUUCAAAUAUAAGGCUGUAAAGUUCAAAGAAUUAACUUCACUUGGUCAUAUCUAUGUCCCUUUCGGUCUGAAAUUAACCUGUGGGUGGGAAGAAGAUAAUGAUUAGUCAACUGGCAAUUCCCUACACAUUUUCUCAAAUGCUCAGUUAUAGCCUAAAUUGUAAAAAUUCUUAGUUGACUUAGAACAAAAAAAUUGAAAUAAAAAAGGGGCUAAACCUACGUCUCUCCGUACGAAAUUCACACCUUGUGCAAAUUAACGUAUUAAUGAUACAAGUUAUCUAAAUAAUAAAAAUAUAGUUUCAGAAUGGAUGGUUGUAGAUUUAGUUCUCCAUUGGAUAACUAAUGGGAACUCUUUUUAAUGUCCACUUAAUUUAGUCACAAAUUUUAUUAAAGUUAGGAUGAAAGUGUUGAAUAGGCUAAAGUGGAACAACGGGCUCAGAUCCGCAUUGCUGAAUUUUGUCUAAAUUUUUUUUUUUUUUUUAACACUUGAACAUGCAGAAAACAAAGGCAAGAGUCUGUUGAUGCGCAACUACUUGGGAUCAGUAGCAUUCAACAACAUUACAAGGCUAACAUUUGGGAAGAGGUUCAUGAAUUCAGAGGGUGUGGUUGAUGAACAAGGCCUAGAGUUGAAGGGCAUUGUAUCAAAUGGGAUAAAGAUUAGUGCAAAACUCUCCGUGGCACAUCACAUUCCUUGGCUUAGUUGGAUGUUUGUAGGCGAAAAUGAGGACCUGGAUAAGCACUAUGCGCGGAGAGACAAACUGACCAGAAUGAUCAUGGAAGAGCACACUCUUGCAAGGCAAAAGAGUGGCAAUACUAAGCAGCAUUUUGUUGAUGCAUUGCUCACUCUUCAAAAGCAAUAUGAAUUGAGCGAUGACACUGUCAUUGGACUCCUUUGGGUAAGUAGUGGUCUAUUUUCACUUUGCUAGCUCCAAGGAAAGAAAGGUAGAAGCAUAAGAAAGAUAGCAACUCCAUCUAUUGCAAAAUAGGAUUUAAUGUUGUCCAAAUUAUGCAGGACAUGAUUACUGCUGGCAUGGAUACAACCACAAUCUCAGUAGAAUGGGCAAUGGCAGAGCUGGUAAAGAAUCCAAGGGUGCAGCAAAAGGCGCAAGAGGAACUUGACCGAGUCAUUGGCUCCGAUAGAAUCAUGACUGAAGCUGAUUUUGCAAAGCUCCCAUACUUACAAUGUGUAGCUAAGGAAGCUCUAAGGCUGCACCCUCCAACUCCACUGAUGCUUCCUCAUAGAGCCAAUGCCAAUGUGAAGAUCGGGGGUUAUGACAUCCCUAAAGGGUCUAUUGUGCACGUUAACGUCUGGGCGAUUGCUCGUGAUCCUGCAGCCUGGAAAAAUCCACUGGAAUUCCGACCUGAGAGAUUCCUGGAGGAAGAUGUUGACAUCAAGGGCCACGAUUAUCGGCUCCUGCCUUUUGGUGCUGGAAGGAGGGUCUGCCCUGGUGCACAACUUGCACUCAAUCUGGUCACUUCUAUGCUGGGGCACUUGUUGCACCACUUUACUUGGUCUCCACCACCUGGGGUCAGGCCUGAAGAGAUUGACCUGGAAGAGACCCCUGGAGCAGUUACUUAUAUGAGAACCCCUUUGCAAGCUGUUGCAACACCAAGAUUGCCUGCACAUUUGUACCAUCGUGUGC